This 162426-nucleotide long non-coding RNA is filed under the name Triticum aestivum (bread wheat). RNAcentral describes it as "long non-coding RNA (TAES_LNC014041)". The record is from RNAcentral. Lineage: Eukaryota; Viridiplantae; Streptophyta; Magnoliopsida; Poales; Poaceae.
UUUUAGGGAAAAUUUAUGAAACCAUGGUGUCGUAGGGACGGUAACUACUUUUUUCUUCUUCAAAAUGAUAAUUCAUUGGUAGUGUUCAAAACGUUGGUGCAGCCUGGUCACUUGUUAAUGUUAUUUUGCGUUGAGCACUGGGUGCUUACUUUUCAAGACAUAAUGGGGGAAGAGUUAGUCAACUAUAUCUUGUUGAUGAUCUUUUCAAUCUGGGUCUAUGACCUGCUUUAUAGGCUAGCAUUUCCUCCUUGUGGUUCUUGUCAAUUGUCGACGUGACCCGGUCUUUCUUGUCAUGAGCAUAUUUUUUUGUUCAAGACAUCUUUUCUGUUAGGAUUCUGCUUAGCGCUGGGUACAUGAUUUUCAGGAAAUAGUGAGUAAACAGUUAGUCAACAGUAUGUUGUUGGUGAUCUUUUCAGUAUGGGGAUAUGACCUGCUUUCAUAGGGUACCGCGGCCCCCAUUUGGUUCUUGCCAAGAGUCAACUAGAGGACUUGAAAAUUUCUUACCAGCGCGCACAUGAGUGUCGUCUUAUUUCCAAUUCAUCUUUUCUGUUCCUUAGGCGGCAGAACCUGACUCGCCCCGCUAUUGUUUGUUUGUUUGUUUCAGGUGAAGAGAUCGAUGUGCCGGAUCAAGCACGUGCUGACGGAGCGGGCCAUUGCGGACCCUGACCCGAGGAGGACUGCGGAGAUGAAGCGGAUGAUCAACGCCAUGUGACCGAUCCACGCCGCGCCACGCUACUACUGUCCGUAAGCAGCAGCCGUAGCAGAAUUAGCAUCUAUCUAGUGGAAAGAACGAAUUUGCUCGCUUUCCCUUCUUGUGUUGUAUGCCUCCCCCCGUGAGAUGCAUAAGACCAGCAAUCCUUGAGAAUCGCCCCCGACAGUUCCCCAGAUGAACGUCAAUGGACUUGUGUUGGAAUAAUCGCAACCGUCUUUUUCUUUGUGUGUGUGUGUGUGUGUGUGUGUGUGUGUGGCAAAGUACCAUCCGGCUGUUUGUUUGCACAAUGUGUUAUGGAUGUCCAUUGGUUUCAUUUCUGGCUCUGCGUAGCCAGAGCUUCGUUUUCAGUCGGCCAUUCAUUCAUUUAGUCGUGCAAUGUUUUUUUUUAUCAUGUGAAUGCAGGACAGGAAAUGUGUCCUUGUGUCUUGUAAACAAUACGUACAUGAGCAAUCCUUCCGGCACCAGCCGCACGGGCAUAUCUCCAUCACUAUCACGCACUACAAAAAUACAAAUCCCCAGCCACCAUUCUCCCUGGAACGCUCCAUCAACAUUUGUUUUUAAUUGAUCGCCAUCUGGUUUAAGUUAACCCGCCGACUCACCCGAUGAUUGGAAAGGGGCCUCACUUCUGCAAAUUCUGCAGCGAAUCCAGCGCCCACGACCUCGCUUGAGCAGCACUUGUCAGUAUUGGGCAAAUCGUCAACAUUUUUCAAUUUCGUGGACACUUCUACGAAUUUUUGACAUUUUCUAAAAUCAAGAGCAUUUUUUGAAUUCAUGAACAUUUUAUACUAUUUGCAUUUUUUAAAACAAUUUUCUUGAAUCGGCGAACAAUUCUAGAAUGGACGAACAUUGUUUUGGAAAUUGGUGGAACAGUUUUUGAAAUUUAUGAACAUUUUUUUGAUUUAACGAACAUUUUUUAAUUUCAUGAUCAUUUUUUGAAUCAGCGAAUAUUUUACGAAUGAGUACACUAUUUUGUAAGUCACGAACAAUUUUUGAAUUUUUAGGAUAUUCUUCUGUUCAUGAACAUUCUUUGAAUUGGCAAAAUUUUGUUCAAUUUCAUUAAAAUUUCUUUAAUACAUGAAUUUUAUAAAACCCAUGAACAUUUUCGGAUUUCCCAAAAAAUUGUUUUCAAAAUUUCGAACUUUUUGAAUAAGCAACGUUUUUACAUAAAACACGAACAUUUUGUGAAUCAACAAACAUUGUAUGGUUUAUUAAAUAUUUUAUUCAAAAUUCUCAUUUUUUAAUUUUUGAAAAUUUUUAAAGUCCAAAAUUAUUUAAAGUAUAAAAAUAAUAAUAAAAAAAUUUAAAAACAGGCCGCAUGGACAUGUGCCGGCCCAAAUGGGCGCGCUGCGUCUUCUCCUAGUGCGCAGGCGCACUAUAGGAGGUCCCUACUGCAUGGGCCGACCCAGGCGAGGGAUUCCCUUUGUGAGGCGUUUUUUUAUCACUUAUAGGUGGCGUUGGUGGGUAAUAUUUUACAAUUUUGGGGGCCAUUUCCAUGACGUAUUUCAAGAAGCAAUAGCCCCUUUAUUAUUAAUUAGGUAUAGAUAAUGGGGCCAGUCCAUGCUCCAUCGUAUACCUGCUCGUGAUGUGGCCGACAGCACCGGGGGUCACUGCCGCGUCUGUCCUCUGAUGAUGCACGUAUCUUGUGGAACACUCCUAAGUAUCAAGCGUGAGGUUCCCAUGAAUUACUCCUUCCGUAAUAUAAGAUGUUAUCUCAUUCAAUAUGUGAGUAUAUUGGAUGUAGUAACGUCUUAUAUUAUGGGACAGAGGGAGUAGUUACUAGUUAGUAGUGGUGCCACUUUGUUGNNNNNNNNNNNNNNNNNNNNNNNNNNNNNNNNNNNNNNNNNNNNNNNNNNNNNNNNNNNNNNNNNNNNNNNNNNNNNNNNNNNNNNNNNNNNNNNNNNNNNNNNNNNNNNNNNNNNNNNNNNNNNNNNNNNNNNNNNNNNNNNNNNNNNNNNNNNNNNNNNNNNNNNNNNNNNNNNNNNNNNNNNNNNNNNNNNNNNNNNNNNNNNNNNNNNNNNNNNNNNNNNNNNNNNNNNNNNNNNNNNNNNNNNNNNNNNNNNNNNNNNNNNNNNNNNNNNNNNNNNNNNNNNNNNNNNNNNNNNNNNNNNNNNNNNNNNNNNNNNNNNNNNNNNNNNNNNNNNNNNNNNNNNNNNNNNNNNNNNNNNNNNNNNNNNNNNNNNNNNNNNNNNNNNNNNNNNNNNNNNNNNNNNNNNNNNNNNNNNNNNNNNNNNNNNNNNNNNNNNNNNNNNNNNNNNNNNNNNNNNNNACAUGUUUAUCAUGACGUUGGCUUGCAGAACAGCUGCACUGCAACCACGCACGAGGUUCUCGUGAAUUACUAUAUGUAUGUAUGUAUGUAUCGCUUGGUGUUUUGUUUAGUUGUGGCAGAGCUCCUUGUUGGUUGUCCUCGGUGCUCGUAGACACCUAUGCAAUCGCUGUAGGUUGCUCUAUCUCUUCUUUUAAGUUUUUUUUCUGAUCGAAAGGGGUCCCCCCGCCCCUUUUGAUUAAAAACGAGGCAAAAAAGAAACACAUAAUGACUAUUCACAACGCUGGGGCUAAACCGAAGUACCUGAGCUAGUAAGUUCUCAGACCGACCGACAUCAUGAGCAUAAGGAAAUUCAUACAGGAGCUAACUAUCACAUAAGCAUCAACAUCAGCUGGAAUGGGACCUCAGAUAGAUGCCAUGUUGAUCAAUUCUGGUGUUCACUUUAUUCUUCAUCUCGAGGUAAUCCUCUUCUCCGAUCUAGCAGAAGCAUGUGUUCCUUAAUCAAUUUUGAUUGAGUGUCCGAGCAGAGAAUCUUCCAUUGAUGAAGCGACACACUUGCUUUUCCAGAAGAAUCCAUAUAUCUUUCCACACUACUCCUUGAAAACACAAAUCAUUUCGCAGUGUCCAUAAGCUCCAGAUGGAUGCAAUACAUGCCAUACCAAUCAAGUUAUUACUUCAAUUCCACAGAUCAGGUAAUUCAGAUAUACUAGUAGGGGAAAUAAACUGAAAAACUUCAGCAAUGACUCUCCACAAUUUUUUUAUGAGUUAUAUAUGCACAUGUCCGCUUAAUUAUACAUGCAAACGUGUGCGCAUGCAGUUUUCACUGGAUCUUGUUAAUCAUUGAAGUUGACAAGGGAAAAGUUCAAGUACUGGACUCACUACUUAAAAAAGCUGCUAACUACGAAAUCGUGAGGGGGAUGGUCAACAGGUAAUUUCAAUCAUUAUCCAACUAUAUGUUGGCCUCUUUUUAGGUCAUCAUUUCCUGAUACCAACUAAUUAAUAACUCCUUUAUGCCAGUUUCAAAAAAAAAUAACUCCUUUCUUCAUUUUAUUUGCCGGCGGGCAGGGCUUGACAAAAGUUCAUCAAACAGGUUGAAGGCCCACGGAAAAAAGAGCUGAAAUUGAUCCGACCCAAGGCAAUUAAUUAAGUAGCUAGUACCAGCUAGCUACCAUGCAUAUCUUUAAUUCUAAUUUUAAUACCAUUAAUUAUCAUGCUUGACCAAUUAUUAUUUGAUUGAAUUCUAUUCUCGUAAAGGCCCUGAAGCAGGUGCAUGGGACUGAUUUAUGUGUAUUUUAUGUUUGCGAGAACAUUCACAUGAUGACUACCGAAAGGACCAGAACUGAUAGAGACCAAUGGGUACGUUUGCCAGAACACUAUUCAUAAUUUUUACAUCAUUACCUAAUAUAUAUACACACAACUAAUAAUACAUGUAUACUUUGAUCUAUUCUUUAAAGAUGAAGGAGAUGCAGGAUCAGGUCCUACCGGAUGCUCGCGUACGAGCACUUCAAAAGGAAAUAGCGGGAUUUUUGCUCGACCAGGUUAUAGAUCCCAAAGGAGAAUUCCAUUACCCGCUACCGCUAUAAUGCCUCCAUGUAAUGAUCUGCAAAUUGUAGGAGAAAUUGUAUAUACCAAAUUGUAUAUAUACAUGUGUAUGUGUGAAUGGUGGUGCAAGACAUNNNNNNNNNNNNNNNNNNNNNNNNNNNNNNNNNNNNNNNNNNNNNNNNNNNNNNNNNNNNNNNNNNNNNNNNNNNNNNNNNNNNNNNNNNNNNNNNNNNNNNNNNNNNNNNNNNNNNNNNNNNNNNNNNNNNNNNNNNNNNNNNNNNNNNNNNNNNNNNNNNNNNNNNNNNNNNNNNNNNNNNNNNNNNNNNNNNNNNNNNNNNNNNNNNNNNNNNNNNNNNNNNNNCGGUUCUAUGAGAAAUUCUAUUUAUAUAUAUGCAUAACGUGUACAAUAUGUAGUAUCGUAAAAUACCAGCAAAUGAAAAAAAUUAAAUGGAAAAAAUUAAAGGAAAAAUAAAUCAUAAAACCAAAACCCCUAAACCUUUUAGUACCGGUUGGUGUUACCAACCGGUACUAAAGGUCCCCCAACCCCCGGCGCUGGCUCGUGCCACUGAAGGAAAUAUGCCCUAGAUGCAAUAAUAAGUUAUUAUUUAUUUCCUUAUAUCAUGAUAAAUAUUUAUUAUUCAUGCUAGAAUUGUAUUAACCGAAAACAUAAUACUUAUGUGAAUACAUAGACAAACAAAGUGUCACUAGUAUGCCUCUACUUGACUAGCUCGUUGAUCAAAGAUGGUUAUGUUUCCUAGCCAUUGACAUGAGUUGUCAUUUGAUUAAUGGGAUCACAUCAUUAGGAGAAUGAUGUGAUUGACUUGACCCAUUCCGUUAGCUUAGCACACGAUCGUUUAGUAUUCUGCUAAUGCUUUCUUCAUGACUUAUACAUGUUCCUAUGACUAUGAGAUUAUGCAACUCCCGUUUACCGGAGGAACACUUUGUGUACUACCAAACGUCACAACGUAACUGGGUGAUUAUAAAGGUGCUCUACAGGUGUCUCCAAAGGUACUUGUUGGGUUGGCGUAUUUCGAGAUUAAGAUUUGUCACUCCGAUUGUCGGAGAGGUAUCUUUGGGCCCAUUCGGUAAUGCACAUCACUAUAAGCCUUGCAAGCAUUGCAACUAAUGAGUUAGUUGCGGGAUGAUGUAUUGUAGAACGAGUAAAGAGACUUACCGGUAACGAGAUUGAACUAGGUAUUGAGAUACCGACGAUCGAAUCUCGGGCAAGUAACAUACCGAUGACAAAGGGAACAACGUAUGUUGUUAUGCGGUCUGACCAAUAAAGAUCUUCGUAGAAUAUGUAGGAGCCAAUAUGAGCAUCCAGGUUCCGCUAUUGGUGAUUGACCAGAGACGUGUCUCGGUCAUGUCUACAUAGUUCUCGAACCCGUAGGGUCCGCACACUUAAAGUUUCGAUGACAGUUAUAUUAUGAGUUUAUGAGUUUUGAUGUACCAAAGGUUGUUCGGAGUCCCGGAUGUGAUCACGGACAUGACGAGGAGUCUCAAAAUGGUAGAGACAUGAAGAUUGAUAUAUUGGAAGCCUAUAUUUGGAUAUCGGAAGUGUUCCAGGUGAAAUCGGGAUUUUACCGGAGUACCGAGGGGUUACCGGAACCCCCCGGGGGGUUAAUCGGCCACAGUGGGCCUUAGUGGAGAAGAGGAGAGGCGGCCAGGGCAAGGGCCGCGUGCCCCUCCCCCCUAGUCCGAAUAGGACAAGGAGAAGGGGGCGCCGCCCCCCCUUUCCUUCUCCUCCACUUCUUUCCCCCCUUCUCCUAUUCCAACAAGGAAGGGAGGGAGUCCUACUCCCGGUGGGAGUAGGACUCCUCCUGGCGCGCCUCCUCCUGGCCGGCCGCACCUCCCCCUUGCUCCUUUAUAUACGGGGGCAGGGGGGCACCCUAGAAACACAGCAAUUGAUCGUUUGAUCUUUUAGCCGUGUGCGGUGCCCGCUCCACCAUAGUCCACCUCGAUAAUACUGUAGCAGUGCUUAGGCGAAGCCCUGCGUCGGUAGAACAUCAUCAUCGUCACCACACCGUCGUGCUGACGAAACUCUCCCUCAGCACUCGUCUGGAUCGGAGUUCGAGGGACGUCAUCGGGCUGAACGUGUGCUGAACUCGGAGGUGCCGUGCGUUCGGUACUUGAUCAGUCGGAUCGUGAAGACGUACGACUACAUCAACCGCGUUGUGCUAACGCUUACGCUUUCGGUUUACGAGGGUCAAGGGUACGUGGACACACUCUUCCCUCUCGUUGCUAUGCAUCACCAUGAUCCUUUGUGUGCGUAGGAUUUUUUUUGAAAUUACUACGUUCCCCAACAUCCACGUGGUGACCCUUUAGUGGCUGUUCAUGUUGAACCAGGACUAAAGGGGGGGGGGGGGGGCUUUAGUCCCCACCCUUCAGUGCUGGUUAUAGAACCGACACUAAGGGGCCUCACGAACCGGUGCUAAAGCCCAAUUCUGCACUAAUGGGGGUAAACUGCUCAGUUAGGAGGCCAAACUUAUUUUACUAAGGACAUGCAUCAAGUAUUCCCAUGUAUUUGAUGCUUAUCAUUAGGUUCCCUAAAUGGGAUAUUAAUGCCAUUACUUCUCAGAUGGCUCACUUUCUUUGCGAAAACAGUGGCAAUAAUCAUAGAUACCACUUGAAAAAUAUGGUGUUGGUGUCUCAGAGAAAAGCUUUUUGGGGAUUGGAUCUGCCUAAUUUGAGAGAUUUUUUUUCUUUAUUAGCUUCUUGGGCCAAAAUAUAUUUCGUGGAAAUAGAAUAGUAGAUUCUUGUGGAUCAUAAAUAUAGCACUUUUAAUACCAACAUUGUUUGGUGCAAACAGGGUGUUGGUUCUCCAUUUGGAAGGAAUUUACAAGGGCAGGCUUUUCCUAUUGUUAGACCUUGGUAAUGGAAAUGGCAUUAGUUUUUGGCAUGACAUUUCGGCUUGUGAUACUACUUUGAAAACUUAGUUUUGGGAAAUUUUUGAGAACUAUCAAUAACAUAAUGUUGCGAAAUGUAGUAGAAAGUAUUGUUUCGUCCUACGAAUCAUACUCCCAAGAUAAGUAUGAAGAUUCAAGUUAGAUUGGAUCUGAUAUUUACAAACAAGAGUGCGACGAAAGAUGUGCUCGCGUAGAUCGUUGGUGUAGACUCCCAUAGUUAUGAUUUACAACCUCCCAACCAUGAUAAUUUCCCACCUCGAACAAAUAUCAAAAGCAUGAUAUCUCUGUCAGUAUCAAGUGUCAACGCAUACAAAAUUUACAGUUCAAUAGAGAUUCAUCUUCCAAAGCUAAGCUAUGCCAAAGAAAUAGAGAUAGGGUGGAGUAGCCUUUCGACGGUCAAGCAAUUUCCAUGGAGAGAGAGAGAGAGAGAGAGAGAGAGAGAGAGAGAGAGAGAGUGGGAGCCCUAGAGCCACAUUGGAUGCAAUCUAGGGGCUGCCCCUCACAUAUAUAUAGGAGCGUGGGAGGUGGGGCUGCAUUGGAGGAGGAGGCACCUCCUCAUUGGGCCGGCGAACCAAGAGGUGGGUGCCCUACCAAAGCCUAGCCGCCCAAGUGGCUUUGCCCCUAGGCAAAAAGGGGCACCCACUAUUUGGGCCUUUUAGGGCCAUGUGCCCCCCCCCACUUGGGCUUGCCAAGUUGACAAACCCAUGACACCAUAUAUAUUUAUCUGGGAGGUCCCAGAACACUUUGAAACCCUCCUUGAUUUUCCGGUGAUUUUUUAGUCUUCCUGGACUUUCCCGGUUUUCCAAAACUUCUCCAGUUUUCUGUGAAACACUUUAGUUUUGCUCCGAAACAUUUUUUGUUCUUCGUCGAAAGAUUUUUAUCUGCUCGAAACUUUCUCGGUGAAUUGCUCAAGAAGUUAACACUUAUAGUACUAACAAAGUAGUGAACCUUAAGCAGAUGACCCUGCAGGUUUCGUAAAGUGCAGAAAUGACCUGGAACUCCAUCGGUAAAUGAUCAAUAGCGAAACCUUGGACAUCCAUAUUGACCCCUACACUUGUAUGAAUUAUUAUUCGACUGAACUUUAGUUUCCCGUACAAAAUUCCUUUUCUUCGUUAUACUUUACAAAACUUGAUGCGAGGCUUAUCGGUAUCCAUGUGAAGCAAGUCUUGAUCAUUAAACCAAGUAAUCCUUGUUACCAAUUUUAUUUCUUUUCUUUUCUUGUUUCCGUAUUCUAGCGUCCCCGUGAUCAUAUCAUGUUGUAUCUAGAUAGACGAUGAUUGAUAUCAUAAUACAGAGAGGUCACGGAGAAUCUCUCUCCAUCGCCAAAGGAGCAAAUCUCAAUCUUUAGCUAUCGAGUCAUUGAGAUACUUUUUUGAUGCACCCCAAAGUUGCCGUUAUGAUCACCCUGUUACGGGUAAUGUUGCACGAACCCCAAAGUCUCUGUCCGACACGAAGGUACAUUGAUAUUAUCAUGGUCUAAGUAAGUGAGUAUACGUAAACAUUUGCAUGAUUAUACUUAUAAAAAUAUGACGAUGUGAUCGAGAAGUAUAUCAUUAAGUUGGGUAUGUCAACACCAUUGUUCCACCAACAAUGUGUUUACAUUAUUCCCGACAUCCAUUCUUACUUUGACAAUGCGCAUGAUCAGGAAAACAUGAUCGUCAACAAUACAUGGUAUAGUUUUAAAACUGAGACUAGGGAUCUAGUUGGUGUUUAUUAUUUUACACAUGCUAAUGAGUUUUUCCUCUGAAUCUCAUUUUUGUGCCAGGACCAUUGCAACUAUAGCAUAGAAAGAUAAACAGUAAUUAUGAACAUGGAAAUAAAUAAUAAUGUUAUUAUUGCCUUUAGGGCAUAUUUCCUUCACAUAAUUGCUCUAUCUCACAUGUUUGGGCUUACGGUGAAACUUUUUGUUCCCAAUUUUAACGCCGACCAACUUAUAUGGCUGGUGGAAGCAUCCAGAACAUAUACCACCAAAUCCUUCUAGAUAUGAUUAAUUUUGGUGGGGUUUUUGCCCCUUUUUGGAAGUGGUUCUGGAAGAUUCCUAUUCCUCCCAAUUUUCAUGUUUGAAUUGCCUGUUGCUAAUGACCAGUUUUCGAAUAGAGAUAAAUUAGGUAAGAUACAUAAUAUAUAUUGAGGACUUAACCUCUUUAUUUUGUGGUGAGAUGGAGAAUGUUCACCACUUGGCUUUUUAUAUAUACAAAUAUCUAUGUAUGAUUUUUCAAUUUUUCAACCCAAACAAAAACUAUAGUUUUUUAGUGAAAAAAUAAUUUUGAAAUUUUGACAACCAUGUUCAAAAAGUGACAUAUUUAUGAUACAGAGGGAGUAGUGCUGAUGAUAAGGUAGAUAGCAAGGAAAAAGGCAAGUCUGAAUUCAGCAUGGUCAUCACAGAACAAAAUAGACACUGCAGGUUUAAACAUGCACAACAAAUGUUUAACAAAGCCAAAAUGUACCGAUUGAAGGUGCAAGUUGGGUUGCAUACAUAAGUUUUGAUGCCUCAAAAAAUUCUGCAACUGCAAGCAAGUUGUAUCAUUCUUUUGGAGGACAAUUUCAGUGAUCGAUAUUUCCUCGUGUCUCGUAUAAUGUAUACACCUAAAAUCAGAAAUUCCGAUCAGAAUCUGGGCUGCAAGUUUCUAGGUGAUGUGUUAUGGUAUAUGUAUACUUCAAUUUUUAAUAUGUAUGCAAAAUAAUAGACCUCUUAUAUGUCAUAUUGAUCUGCAGGUUGUAGGUAGUGAAAUAAUCACAGAGAUCUUGCAGAAAAGCCAACUUGAGUUACACAUGAUUAAACCUCUAGCUCAGAAACUGUUCGGAAAAGAAAUGGUAAAGGAUUGACAUACAGGUGAGGGGCUCCACUUCAGCUUGGGCCAGGCCAAUGUGUCGAGUCUAGUUUUGUUUUUUGAGAACAGCGCCGAGUCAAGCUACCAGGCUACAUACGAGCUAAUGGAGUUUCCGGCCUCACCCUACGGGAUGGACUCGUGUACUGCCCAGCUUGCUACCCACUGGACAAUGCAAAAUAUCAUGAUCUGCUGCAUAAACGAGCAGACAGUAACAAUGUAUGAUCCGUCUGACAGAACUAGAAAAAAAUAAUCAGAAAACAAACUUAGUAAAGAGAAACCGGUUGGAAGUUAAUCUCGUGCAAAAAGAUCUAGUUGCAUCGGUGUUGAAUGCAUCUCAUGCACCACGAGCUUAUCGACGAUGAGAGUGGAGCCGGUAGCAUUGUUGAAAACGUACAGCCCAGCCGCCUCAUAGAUGGCCUCAGUCGGGUACACUCGGGACGUCGCCGUCAAUCUCCCGCCCAUAACGAAGCUCUCCACAAUGGAAUGAUCCACAAGAAUCCUAGCGGAUAAGGCCUCUCCGUUGAGCACCGGAACAGUGCUGCCCACCACACGCUUUACAACAUUCCUGGCCAGCGAUGACUGCGACUCGUCAUGGCAGAAGUGGGUCCGGAGGUCCCCGUCAAGGCUCCUAGACAUGUAGAAGUACAUUGCCAUUUGUUCACUGUGACCGUUGGUGAGGAGGAGGCCGAAGGGGCCGAGCGCACCCCGGUUGGUGGCACCACCGCUAGUGCUGCAGUUGUAGCCGAUGUCGGCCUCGUUGUGGGCUGCGAUGUCAGAAGUGUUGAGGCAGAAGGAGGCCUCUAUGUCGAGCUGAGCGGCUUGCCGGAGAUGCAGGGGGAAGAUGGAGCCAGUGCCGAUGGUGAUGCCACUGAGGUCAGUUGUAUUAUGAUGGAGGGUCUCAAUCUCCUCCACCGGCCAUUGGAGGAGGUUCGUCCGGGUCUUCUCGUCCAGCGCCACCGUCCUCGGAAUCGCCUACAUCAUACACCAUUAAUUAGAGAGUUCAUUUUAAUUCAAGCUAGGUAAUUCCGGUGAUCAUGAUGGCACUUUGAUAUCAAGAACCACAACCUUUUCUUCUAGCUAAUAAGAUGUUUCUGUUCGUCAGAUGAUCUCUUGCCUGCUCAUGGAUUCAGCAGGCAACUUAAAAGGUUCUCUUAUGUGCGAAAAAGUACAAGCUGGCUUAUAACACAAACGUGAUGGAAAUGCUCAAUCUCAACCUUUUUGAGUUAGAUUCGAUCUUCUCAGAGAGCCUAAUAGUGAAAUGAGUCGGAGAAAAAGCAUAGCCAAAAUAUUUUUGAAGUCACAAAUACAAAUAAUUACUACAUGUGUUCACUAUUAUACGAUGUUUUGGAUAUUUUAAUAUAUGCUAAAUAUGGACCAAAAUGAGUGAAUAAACACAGUAAAACAUGUCUAUAUACAUCCGAAUCAGGAAAUUUUUGAACAUCUUAUAAUAAUGAACGGAGCGAGAAUCUAUCUAUCAAACAUGCAUAAUGAAUUAAUGCAAGAUAACUAUGNNNNNNNNNNNNNNNNNNNNNNNNNNNNNNNNNNNNNNNNNNNNNNNNNNNNNNNNNNNNNNNNNNNNNNNNNNNNNNNNNNNNNNNNNNNNNNNNNNNNNNNNNNNNNNNNNNNNNNNNNNNNNNNNNNNNNNNNNNNNNNNNNNNNNNNNNNNNNNNNNNNNNNNNNNNNNNNNNNNNNNNNNNNNNNNNNNNNNNNNNNNNNNNNNNNNNNNNNNNNNNNNNNNNNNNNNNNNNNNNNNNNNNNNNNNNNNNNNNNNNNNNNNNNNNNNNNNNNNNNNNNNNNNNNNNNNNNNNNNNNNNNNNNNNNNNNNNNNNNNNNNNNNNNNNNNNNNNNNNNNNNNNNNNNNNNNNNNNNNNNNNNNNNNNNNNNNNNNNNNNNNNNNNNNNNNNNNNNNNNNNNNNNNNNNNNNNNNNNNNNNNNNNNUAUGUAUGUAUGUAUCGAGCAUGCAUAAAUAGCGAAUGGAACUGAUGAUAGAUGCUAAACACGUGGUAAAACAGAUCAAAUAUAUGUACAAUAAAGAUACCUGGAGGUUUGCCCAUCCCUUGGCGAGGUCGGUCCGGUUGGAUUCUGUCUCACCAACAUACGCCCACAUCACACGUCGCCGCUUUGCCGGAUCAUAGAAUGUCGUGGACGCAAAUAACUUUCCCCAAUUGUACGUCAGUCCGAUUCCCACAUCUGCUUCUAGGUCCAGCGGUGUCCAUGUGUUGGUCACUGCGUCAUACUUUCCCAAUGCGUAGUAGUCAUGUCGUUCAUCGUCCAUGCUCGCCUUCAGGACGUACAACUCUUCCUGCAGUGAUGAGUUGCUAUUGCCCCCAACAGGGUAGAAGUCGACGCACUCCCACAUGCCGGUGCCCUCGACGCGGUGGACCGGACGCGGGAUGAGCUCGAACUUGACGAAGUCUUUUGUCUUGUACAUGAGGGCGAUGCCAGCAUGCCCGUUGUUGUCCUUGGACCCGAUCAUGGUGCGCCAUGUGUUGUCGGACUUGUCAAACCAUGCGGUCAUGGGGUCACGGAAGUCCUUUUUGUAUGUCCCGGGGGGCGGGAAGAGGACCGGGUUGGCGGGGUGCUUGAUCCAGGUGCGGAGGAGAGGGUCAUGAGGGUCUGCAGGUUCGGCAACGCACUGUACCUGGGCGAGCGUGUCGGUGUUCCCUGUGUAGAGCAGGACGACCUUGCCGUCGGGAAGUAUGGUGGCGGAGCCCGUCAAAACGCCGUCAAUGUCGUACCAUCGGUCAGGCACCAUGGCGAGGGGUAGGUGGUGCCAGUGGACCAUGUCUCGCGACACGGCGUGGCCCCACGAGAUGUUUCCCCACGUGACACCCUCCGGGUUGUACUGGUAAAAGAAGUGGUACCAUCCACGGUAGUACAUUGGAGCUGCAUGUUAUUCGUGUUUCAAUUAAUCAGUACUCCUAGUUCCUUGCCAAUGGAUAGACAUUAGACAUAGAGAGAGACGACAGCUGGUCAGGAUUAAAAGUGAUGAGGAUCCUACUCACUCACCGUUUGGAUCUGCAUGCAUACAUGCGUGCAUGUCGCCGGAGCACGUAAGCAAAAGGUGGUCAGUUUCUUUCUCCGCCAAGCAAACAAACAAAACGACAGCAAAAAAGGCAGCUAGCAAUUGCCAGUCAGUUUCUUCCUCCAAACAUAGAGCAAGGCGAGGAGAAAGAACACAGGAGGAUUUGCAUCUAAAAAUUCCAUCAUCGGAAGUAAUGGAUUCCAUACCGUUCAUGUAGUUCUUCUCCGGCUGGAAAUGGUAACCGGUGCGCUGCCACUGCAGCAUGGCGUUGCUCCACGGGAAGCCAUCGGCCUCAUCGCCGAUUUCCCCCACCGUCUUCUCCGACGACGGCACGGCCGCCUCCUCCCGCCUGGCUCUCCGGAGACGGAGCACCGGGCUAACCACGUCGCCCAGAUCCCCCACCCUGGCCCCUGGGAGGAGCGAGUGGGUGACGACGAACACCACCAUGGCCGCGGCGCCCAGCACGGCAACGCACUCGCGCCACUUCAUGCCGCCGCCGCUCCGCUGCUGCAUCGACGCGUACGAGUACAGGACGGGCGGCGUGCCGGCGCGUGACUUCAUCGCGACGGCCGCGGCUAGAAAACUGAAGAGGAAAGCUUUCGACCGGGGUCUUUCUUGAGUCUUAGAGAGCGCAAUUUAUAGCUGCGCCGAGGCCAGGGAAAGUUAGUACUAAAUCACUAAUUUAGACUCAUCUUUACACUAACAUCCAUAUAUGUGGGCGUUUGCCUCUCGUCUAUAUGCAUGGAUCAACGCCCAUUUGUAUUUGCAUGAAUCUUGGUAUGUUUUGUUAGAUUUUUUAAUGCUACAUAAGACUAGGUUGGUGUGUGGGCAUACGUCCGGUCGCCCACACGUUCGUUUCACUACGUGAAGGGGCUGAUAUGUGGGCGUUUAGCAGUUCGCCCACACGUCGGUUUUCAUGUACGCAGAGGGGCUGGUGUGUGGGUGUUUAUCAGUUCGCCCACACGUCCGUCUUCUCUCCCAUACCCAAAGCUGUCAGUUGCCAUGUGUUUUGCAGGGUACAUGACAACUGCCCUAGUGUGCUUGUAAGCAGAUGACAACUCUCUCUUUACCCGAACAUUUUAUUUUUGCCGUGUCUUUUUUAGUGUUAUAUGGCAACUGCCUAGUGUUAGUAGGUGGCAACUCCUAAAGAUACCACCUUCGUCCACACGCCCGUCUCCUCUCACACACCAAGUUGUCAGUUGCCAUAGGCGUGUUUGGUUUGUCGGCUCGCACCUGCAUCGCACCACACAUGCAUAAUCUGGCCUGUUUGGUGUCCUGUGUGGCCUCCUCAGCCUGGCCCAACUGAUGCAAACAGAGGCCCGUCAGCCAGGCUGAGAGGAAUGCAGGAAUCGGACGUUCCUGCGAUGCAGCCUCGUGCCUGCACCCGCGCUUCCACUUAAAACGAACCGGUACACGGAUAGGCCCUGAUAUUUACCAGAAUUACUUCAAAAGUGCCACCGCAACUCUCUUUCAUCUCCUCUCAGAUCAGAUCGAGGACCCAAACCAAUCGCUGCCGCCGCCGUCGGGAGCUCCUUCUUGUGCCACCGGUCAGGACUACCUCGUCCGCAACUGGUCAGAGCUCCCUCGUCCUCGACCCCGCCACCCUAGCUCCCUCUUUCGCCAUCGCUCCGAGCUCCAUAGUCCGUUGCGACUCUGCCGCUGGAGUUCCAUGCCCCUCGCCCGCCGGCGCCUGGAUGCAUCUACUUGGCAAGACCUGCUUCGGAAGGGGAGGCGCGCCUACAACGGCUCGGCCGGACUGUCCGUGGUCGCGGCGGCGUCAUGGCCUCAUGGGGAGCUGGUGGUGUAGGAGCUGGCCGAUUUCUCAUACAAGCUUCCAAACGCCAUCUCACAUUGACCUGUCCCUCAACAUGCACACAACCAAACAUACAUCUCAACCCAUUUUUCCAUCAGCUUAGCCAGACUAGACUCACCGAGGAUGGUGGAUGCGAUGCAUCGUGAGGCUAUGCAUGAAACCAAACACGCCCCAUGUGUUUUGCAGGGUACAUGACAACUGCCCUAGUGUGCUUUUAAGCAGAUGACAACUCUCUCUUUACCCGAAUAUGUUAUUUUGCCAUGUCUUUUUGUAGUGCUACAUGGCAACUGCCUAGUGUUAGUAGGUAGCAACUCCUAAAGUUUUCAAAUCAUGGCAAUUGUUGUAGACCAGACCAUACAUGACAACAUCUGCAGUUGUCCAAAAAUGGCAUCUGGCACUUGACCUGAGAUGGCAACUGCAGUUGAGCAACCAUGGCAACUGUAGUUGUCAGACAUGGCAACUGUAGCUCAGCAACAUGGCAACUGCAGUUAAACGAACAUGAAAAAAGAUUCGGACCAUGACAACUGCGGGGACGUGUGGUGACUGUCACGUGGGGCGUGUGGCUCGCAGGUGGGGAGGGACGACGGCCGAGAGAGGUCGUGCAGGCCGUGGGGUCGCUCACCCGGACGUGUGGGCGAACGUGACGAACACCGGACGUGCGGGCUGUGGCGGGGUGUGUCCGGACGCGCGGGUGCGGACGAGCCUGUGUCGAUGCCACACGGGGCGUGCGGCACAUGCCUCCUAAAUGCCACACGUGUGAUGGAUAUCGGCGUCCAUAUUGCGAAUGAAUUUAGACUCAUCUUAAUCCAAAAGAUAUAUACGUGCCCUAUUAAUUAAUUUAGACACGUGCAUACAACAAACUUUAGUGAGUACCGUGAUGUCAAAAAAAAAAGACUAUAGUGAGUACCAAUUUUAGGCAUAACAUUCAAUGCUCCAAAUUAACAGUGCAGACAGAUCCAAACAAAAUACAGUUGAGGAGAGCAGGCACAACCAAAAUACAGUUAAAGGAAACAAUACAGAGUACUAGCCUCGCCGGCCAGGACGAACGAGUGGUUUCGGCCUCGCCGAUCAAGGUAAAAGGGUAACAGUCCUUAUCAUAAGUGUCAGGAAUAAGAUGCAUCAACCGUUAAAUAGACUAGACAUGUCAUGACGUGGUGUGGUUACAUUGUUCAUACGCACUUAGGUCAAACUGACUUACGAAGAUAGUGUGUGCAUCUUCAGUCUGAAUAAAUAAAACGAUAUUCGUAUUCAAAGUCUACAAGUUUGAGUACAACAUGCGUAAAAGGUCACUUAUUUCUGAUAUGAAGGGCUCGAUGAUGGUAUGAUAAAUGGCAAUUAGUCAAAAGUUACCUCAACAGGGUCAUCACACAGUAAAAUAGACACUAUAGAUUGAAGACCUUUUGCAAAACCAAAACCUACGGAUCGAAAGCUGCAAGUUGAUCUGCAUACAAAACUUACCUUGUGGUAAAAGGGAUCCGCCAUACCCACAAUUUUUUAGAUGAACAGGGAGGCCUCUCCCCGGUUCCAUCUAGAAUGAAACCAUCUGAAUACAGCCCACUUGUGUCUGAGGGUUCCUUAUUAGAAGCACACAUGCGCGCAAUAGCUAAGCUGAUGCUAAACGGUAGAAAAGGAAAAACAUGGGAAGAUCAAGUUAUUACCCUCGAGCAGUCCAAUGAUCUGCCAGGGAGUGAUACAGAGACAUGAGGGCCAGGGUACAGCGAGCACCCGCCCCUUAUCAUAGCGCGAUCAUAUCUUCACGCCUUCUGAACUUGAAUGGCGGCACCAGUGCAGCUUGGGGUGACCAGCAGAUGGCGAGGGUGGACACCGGGCUGGUCAUGGCGACCUUGUCAUUUGUCUCGCUUCGUGACAGGAGAUUGGAAGCAUCCUUUUUCUUCUGAGAUCCCGAGGUUACUCCAGCCAGAAUCAACUUCAAAUCUUGUGGCCUUCAUCUUCAGCCACUCAAGAUCCUCAAGGGUUGUUGGAGAAGUUUUGUCAGGGCACUCAUGAACGCCUCAAUCUUUGGUUUGCCGGCCUCUGGGGUCAAAAUCAUCCAGAAUUUGAGCAUUUCGAGGAUCAAACUCCACACAUGGAUAAUAGAGGUCCAACUGGCGUUGUUAAAAAACAUAGAUUUACUAUAUUUCCGCAAACACCAUAGGAUAGCAGAGCUAAUAAUGUUCACAGCCAAGUUCUUUUUGUUAGAAACCCAAAAUCGAGCAACAGACUCAAAGUUUGCGCCUAUCUCCAUUUGGAAAUGAUGGCUAACAAAGGACCAUACAUUCCUGGCAACUACACAAUCAAAGAAUAAAUGGUGAUUUGACUCAUUAUCAGCACAGAACACACAAUCUAGGGAUUUGAUUAUGUGCCUUUUCCUCAGGUAAUCCCUGGUCAUCAGCUUAUUUUGGGAAAACAACCAGAGAAACACAUGAAUCUUGGGGGGCACUGCCAGUUUCCACACAGCUGGCAGAAACAAAGGCUGCACACCCCUAAAAUUGAUCACAUGAUAUAAAGAACUAGAAGAAUAAACCCCUUUUGUUUUCUAGUUGCCAGAUGAGGGCAUCUGGGUCAUUUCUGAAGGUGAUCCCCCCAGCAAUCUCUACAAUUUGGUACCAUUGCUCCAUGAGCCUGUAAUCAAUGUUUCUCCUAAAUGUAAGUUUAAGGACCUCACCAUCCCAUACCUCACUAAUACUUUUAGGAGAUAAACGCAUCAUUGGUCAUUGAACUCUUGUGAGAUGAGUACAUUGAUCAUUCCUCACUCAAAAUGUGAUGAACCGGUAACAACACUCACUUUUAUGAGCAAACUGGUCACUCUGCCGUUUCCAGCCGUAACGGGCGCUAAGGUGGCAUGCUGACUCAGCGUUGGGCCGACGCCCGUGGCACAUGCGCAUAUCAGAGGGCGGGAUAUUGCUACUUCUUGAGGUUGCGUUGCUUUUUCCCUUGAAGAGGAAAGGGUGAUGCAGCAAAGUAGAGAUAAGUAUUUCCCUCAAUUGAGAACCAAGGUAUCAAUACAGUAGGAGAAGAACGCGCAAAUCACCAAUUAAUACCUACACAAACAAUCAAACACUUGCACCCAACGCUAUAAAGGGGUUAUCAAUCCCUUCGCGGUUACUUGCAAAAGUAAGAUCUGAUAGAGAUAGAUAAAUAAAAGUAAAAUAUUUUGGGUUUUUGAUUUAUAGAACUGAAAGUAAAAGAUUGCAAAAUAGUAGAUCAGAAAGUUAUAUGAUAGAAAAUAGACCCGGGGGGCAUAGGUUUCACUAGAGGCUUCUCUAAUGAUAGCAAAUAAUACGGUGGGUGAACAAAUUACUGCCGAGCAAUUGAUAGAAAAGCGCAAAGUUAUGACGAUAUCCAAGGCAAUGAUUAUGUAAUAUAGGCAUCACAUCCGUGUCAAGUAGACCGACACCUGCGUGCAUCUAGAGUAUUAAGUUCAUAAAGAACAGAGUAACGCCUUAAGUAAGAUGACAUGAUGUAGAUGAAUAAACUCAAGCAAUAUGAUGAAAACCCCAUCUUUUUAUCCUUGAUGGCAACAAUACAAUAUGUGCCUCGCUACCCCUACUUUGUCACUGGGUGAGGACACCGCAAGAUUGAUCCCAAAGCCAAGCACUUCUCCCAUUGCAAGAAAAACCAAUCUAGUUGGCCAAACCAAACCGAUAAUUCGAAGAGAAUUACAAGGAUAUCAAAUCAUGCAUAUAAGAAUUCAGAGAAGAUUCAAAUAAUAUCCAUAGAUAAGCUGAUCAUAAAUCCACAAUUCAUAGGAUCUCGACAAACACACCACAAAAUAAGAUUACAUCAGAUAGAUCUCCAAGAACAUCGAGGAGAACAUGGUAUUGAGAAUCAAAGAGAGAGAAGAAGCCAUCUAGCUACUAGCUAUGGACCCGUAGGUCUGUGGUAAACUACUCACGCUACAUCGGAAGGGCAAUAGAGUUGAUGUAGAUGCCCUCCAUGAUCGAAUCCCCCUCCGGCAGGAUGCUGGAAAAGGCCUCAAGAUGGGACCUCACGGGGUAUAGAAGGUUGCAGCGGCAGAAAAGUGUUUUCGUGGAUGCUUCUGAGGGUUUUGGAAUAUUUCUGAAUUUAUAGGACAAAGAAGUAGGCCAGUGGAGUCAUGGGGGGAGGGGCACAAGGCAGGGGGACGCGCACACCCCCCUAGGGCGCGCCCUCCACCCUUGUCGCCGCCUCGUGGCUCUUAUGACUUGGAUCUCAAGUCCCCUGGGUGUCUUCUGGUCCAAGAAAAAUCAUCCUAAAGUUUCAUUCCGUUUGGACUCUAUUUAAUAUUUCUUUUCUGCAAAACUCAAAAACAAGGAAAAAACUGGCACUGGGCUCUACAUUAAUAAGUUAGUCCCGAAAAUAAUAUAAAAUAACAUAUUAAUGCAUAUAAAACAUCCAAAACAGAUAAUAUAACAAUAAAAAAUUAUAGAUACGUUGGAGACGUAUCAUGCAUCCCCAAGCUUAAUUCCUGCUCAUCCUCGAGUAGGUAAAUGAUAAAAAUAGAAUUUUUGAUGUGGAAUGCUACCUAACAUAUUUAUCAAUGUAAUUCUUAUUUAUUGUGGCAUGAAUGUUCAGAUCCAUAAGAUUCAAAACAAAAGUUUAUCAAUAUCAAAACAAUAAUACUUCAAUCAUACUAAAAAGCAAAUUAUGAAGCUUCAAAAAUAACAUGGCUAAAGAAAGUUAUCCCUACAAAAUCAUAUAGUCUAGUUAUGCUCCCUCUUCUAAACACAAAGUAUAAAUCAUGCCCAUAUCGGUGUCAGCCAAGCAAUUGUUUCAUAGUUUGUAACGUGAUUCAGCUUUUUCAACUCUUCACGCAAUACAUGAGCGUGAGCCAUGGACAUAGCACUAUGGAUGGAAUAGAAGGUGGUAUUGGACAAAAGGAGGGAGAAAGUCUCACGUCAACUAGGCAAAUUAAUGGACUAUGGAGAUGUCCAUCAAUUGAUGUCAAUGUGAGUGAGUAGGUAUUGCCAUGUAACGGAUGCACUAGAGCUAUAAGUGUAUGAAAGCUCAAAAGAAAAAUAACUGGGUAUGCAUCCAACUUGCUUGCUCAUGAAGACCUAGGGCAAUUUGAGGAAGCCCAUCGUCGGAAUACACAAGCCAAGUUAUAUAAUGAAAAAUUCCCACUAGUAUAUGAAAGUGACAACAUAGGAAACUCUUUAUCAUGAAGAUCAUGGUGCUACUUUGAAGCACAAGUAUGGAAAAUUUGGCUCUUGUUGCGAUGACAUCGAUCCAAUGGCGAUGGGUGCAUGAUCAGAUGGUACUUCUAUUUAUAUAUACUAGCAUAUAUGCCUGUGCAUUGCAAAGGGAGAGAUAUUUUUUUGUGAGAAGCAUCGGGAAAGAUAAUUGAUGUGUCCAUAAAAACGGUCUCAACGGCGGUGGGGCAACAGAGCGAGGAGAUGCGGUGUUCUUGCGGGUCAUGUUUGCCCGGCGAAAUCUGGAUAGUGGUGGGGUUGGUCUGACUGGCGGCCACCAUCCAACUUGUGCCUUUUUUUCUCCAGGUCUGCCUCUGUGUCGAGGUUGUGGUUGCCUCCUCACUUUGUGGCUACACGGCGACCUUCGGGGCAAAGUUGCUUCAACCAAUCUCUCCUACGAUGGUGUAACCGGAUGGGUUACUAAUUGCAGUAAAUCCCGUUUCAUUGGCAUAAUCAUCACAUAACCAUGUAGUCCUUAUUUUACCAUGGUGUAUUCUCUUUAAUUAUUUUAGCACUCACUUGCCCAUAAUUACUUUUAAUUAUAGCCAACCAAUAUAUUCUCUUUUAUUGUCAAAUAGCACGUGGAACGCACAACAGCUCACGUCUGGGCUAGGCCACUGGUAGGCACCAAAACGACCUAUGUUGGUAAGGCGCGAAAAAAAGAAUGAGUUGAAGGAUCAAACUGUUGGGGAACGUAGUAAUUUCAAAAAAAUUCCUACGCACACGCAAGAUCAUGGUGAUGCAUAGCAACGAGAGGGGAGAGUGUGUCCACGUACCCUCGUAGACCGAAAGCGGAAGCGUUAGCACAACGCGGUUGAUGUAGUCGUACGUCUUCACGAUCCGACCGAUCAAGUAUCGAACGCGCGGCACCUCCGAGUUCAGCACAUGUUCAACUCGAUGACGUCCCUCGAACUCUGAUCCAGCCGAGCUUUGAGGGAGAGUUCCGCCAGCACGACGGCGUGGUGACGAUGAUGAUGUUCUACCGACGUAGGGCUUCGCCUAAGCACCUCUACGAUAUGACCGAGGUGGAUUAUGGUGGAGGGGGGCACCGCACACGGCUAAGAGAUCCAAGGGAUCAAUUGUUGUGUCUAUGGGGUGCUCCCCUACCCCCGUAUAUAAAUGAGCAAGGGAGAGGCCGGCCCUAGAGGGGGCGCGCCAAAUGUGGGGAGUCCUACAGGUUCAAGAACUAUGUAGACAUGACCGAGACACGUCUCCGGUCAAUAACCAAUAGCGGAACCUGGAUGCUCAUAUUGGCUCCUACAUAUUCUACGAAGAUCUUUAUCGAUCAGACCGCAUAACAACAUACGUUGUUCCCUUUGUCAUCGGUAUGUUACUUGCCCGAGAUUCGAUCGUCGGUAUCUCAAUACCUAGUUCAAUCUCGUUACCGGCAAGUCUCUUUACUCGUUUCGUAAUACAUCAUCCUGCAACUAACUAAUUAGUUGCAAUGCUUGCAAGGCUUAUAGUGAUGUGCAUUACCGAGUGGGCCCAGAGAUACCUCUCCGACAAUCGGAGUGACAAAUCCUAAUCUCGAAAUAUGCCAACCCAACAAGUACCUUCGGAGACACCUGUAGAGCACCUUUAUAAUCACCCAGUUACGUUGUGACGUUUGGUAGCACACAAAGUGUUCCUCCGGUAAACGGGAGUUGCAUAAUUCAUAGUCAUAGGAACAUGUAUAAGUCAUGAAGAAAGCAAUAGUAACAUACUAAACGAUCAAUUGCUAAGCUAACGGAAUGGGUCAAGUCAAUCACAUCAUUCUCCUAAUGAUGUGAUCCCGUUAAUCAAAUGACAACUCUUUGUCCAUGGCUAGGAAAUAUAACCAUCUUUGAUCAACGAGCUAGUCAAGUAGAGGCAUACUAGUGACACUCUGUUUGUCUAUGUAUUCACACAUGUAUCAUGUUUCCGGUUAAUACAAUUCUAGCAUGAAUAAUAAACAUUUAUCAUGAUAUAAGGAAAUAAAUAAUAACUUUAUUAUUGCCUCUAGGGCAUAUUUCGUUCAGUCUGCCACUUGCACUAGAGUCAAUAAUCUAGUUCACAUCGCCAUGUGAUUUAACAACAAUAGUUCACAUCGUCAUGUGACCAACACCCAAAGGGUUUACUAGAGUCAAUAAUCUAGUUCACAUCGUUAUGUGAUUAACACCCGAAGAGUACUAUGGUGUGAUCAUGUUUUGCUUGUGAGAGAAGUUUAGUCAACGGGUCUGCCACAUUCAGAUCCGCAUGUAUUUUGCAAAUUUCUAUGUCAACAAUGCUCUACACAGAGCUACUCUAGCUAAUUGCUCCCACUUUCAAUAUGCAUCCAGAUUGAGACUUAGAGUCAUCCGGAUCAGUGUCAAAACUUGCAUCGACGUAACCCUUUACGACGAACCUUUUGUCACCUCCAUAAUCGAGAAACAUAUUCUUAUUCCACUAAGGAUAAUUUUGACCGCUGUCCAGUGAUCUACUCCUAGAUCACUAUUGUACUCCCUUGCUUAACUCAGUGUACAAUAGAUCUGGUACACAGCAUGGCAUACUUUAUAGAACCUAUGGCUGAGGCAUAGGGAAUGACUUUCAUUCUCUUUCUAUCUUCUGCCGUGGUCGGUCUUUGAGUCUUACUCAAUUUCACACCUUAAAAUACAGGCAAGAACUCCUUCUUUGACUGUUCCAUUUUGAACUACUUCAAAAUCUUUGUCAAGGUAUGUACUCAUUGAAAAAUCUUAUCAAGCGUUUUGAUCUAUCUAUAUAGAUCUUGAUGCUCAAUGUGUAAGCAACUUCACCGAGGUCUUUAUUUAAAAAAAACUCCUUUCAAAUACUCCUUUAUGCUUUCCAGAAAAUUCUACAUUAUUUCCGAUCAACAAUAUGUCAUUCACAUAUACUUAUCAGAAAUGCUGUAGUGCUCCCACUCACUUUCUUGUAAAUACAGUCUUCACCGCAAGUCUGUAUAAAACUAUAUGCUUUGAUCAACUCAUCAAAGUGUAUAUUCCAACUCCGAGAUGCUUGCACCAGUCCAUAGAUGGAUUGCUGGAGCUUGCAUAUUCUGUUAACACCUUUAGGAUUGACAAAACCUUCUGGUUGCAUCAUAUACAACUCUUCUUUAAUAAAUCCAUUAAGGAAUGCAGUUUUGUUUAUCGAUUUGCCAGAUUUCAUAAAAUGCGGCAAUUGCUAACAUGAUUCGGACAGACUUAAGCAUAGACACGAGUGAGAAACUCUCAUCGUAGUCAACACCUUGAAUUUGUCGAAAACCUUUUGCGACAAUUCUCUCUUUGUAGAUAGUAACACUACUAUCAGCGUCCGUCUUCCUCUUGAAGAUCCAUUUAUUUUCUAUGGCUUACCGAUCAUCGGGCAAGUCAAUGAUACGUCUCCAAUGUAUCUAUAAUUUUUGAUUGCUCCAUGCUAUAUUAUCUACUGUUUUAGACUAUAUUGGGCUUUAUUUUCCACUUUUAUAUUAUUUUUGGGACUAACCUAUUAACCAGAGGCCCAACCCAGAAUUGUUGUGUUUUUCCUAUUUCAGUGUUUCGAAGAAACGGAAUAUCAAACGGAGUCCAAACGGAAUAAUCCUUUCUGGAACGUGAUUUUCUUCCCGAAUAUGACCCAGGAGACUUGGACCCUACGCCAAGGAAGCUUCAAGGUGGGCACGAGGUAGGGGGGCGCGCCCUACACCCUCAGGAGCGCCCCCACUCUCGUGGGCCCACCAAAGCUCCACCGACGUACUUCUUCCUCCUAUAUAUACCCACGUACCCCCAAACGAACAUAUACGGAGCCAAAAACCUAAUUCCACCGCCGCAACUUUCUGUAUCCACAAGAUCCCAUCUUGGGGCCUGUUCCGGAGCUCCGCCGGAGAGGACCAUCAUCAUGGAGGGCUUAUCAUCAUAGCCUCUCCGAUGAAGUGUAAGUAGUUUACCUCAGACCUUCGGGUCCAUAGUUAUUAGCUAGAUGGCUUCUUCUCUCUUUUUGGAUCUCAAUACAAUGUUCUCCCCCUCUCUUGUGGAGAUCUAUUCGAUGUAAUCUUCUUCUUUUUGCGGUGUGUUUGUUGAGACCGAUGAAUUGUGGGUUUAUGAUCAAGUCUAUCUAUGAAUAAUAUUUGAUUCUUUUCUGAAUUCUUUUAUGUAUAAUUGGUUAUCUUUACAAGUCUCUUCGAAUUAUCCGUUUGGUUUGGCCAACUAGAUUGGUAGUUCUUGCCAUGGGAGAAGUGCUUAGCUUUGGGUUCGAUCUUGCGGUGUCCUUUCCCAGUGACAGAAGGAGCAGCAAGGCACGUAUUUUAUCGCUGCCAUCGAGGGUAACAAGAUGGGUUUAUUUCAUAUUGCAUGAAUUUAUCUCUCUACAUCAUGUCAUCUUGCUUAAAGCGUUACUCUGUUUUUAACUUAAUACUCUAGAUGCAUGCUGGAUAGCGGUCAAUGAGUGGAGUAAUAGUAUUAGAUGCAGAAUCGUUUCGAUCUACUUGUCACGGACGUGAUGCCUAUAUACAUGAUCAUGCCUAGAUAUUCUCAUAACUAUGCUCAAUUCUGUCAAUUGCUCAACAGUAAUUUGUUCACCCGCCGUAGAAUACUUAUGCUCUUGAGAGAAGCCACUAGUGAAACCUAUGGCCCCCGGGUCUAUUCUCAUCAUAUCAAUCUCCAUCACUUUAAUCUUGCUUUGCUUUUUACUUUGUCUUUUACUUUUUACUUUGCAUCUUUAUACCAAAAAUACCAAAAAUAUUAUCUCUAUGAGAUCUCACUCUCGUAAGUGACCGUGAAGGGAUUGGCAACCCCUAAUCGCGUUGGUUGCGAGUAGCUAUCGUUUUGUGCAGGUACGAGGGACUUGAGUGUGGCCUCCUACUGGAUUGAUACCUUGGUUCUCAAAAACUGAGGGAAAUACUUACGCUACUCUGCUGCAUCAUCCUCUCCUCUUCGGUGAAAUCCAAUGCAAGCUCAAGAGGUAGCAAGAAGAAUUUCUGGCGCCGUUGCCGGGGAGUCUACGCAAAAAGUCAACAUACCAAGUACCCAUCACAAUCCCUAUCUCUCGCAUUACAUUAGUUGCCAUUUGCCUCUCGUUUUCCUCUCCCCCACUUCACCCUUGCCGUUUUAUUCGCCCUCUCUUUCUCCUUCUCCUUCUCCUUCUCCUUCUCCAUCUCCGUUUGCCUUUUUCUCGCUUGCCUUUUGUUUGCUCGUGUGUUGGAUUUCUUGUUUGUCGCGAUGGCUCAAGAUACUACCAAAUUGUGUGACUUCACCAAUAGCAACAAUAAUGAUUUGCUUAGCACUCCGAUUGCUCCUCUUGCCAAUACUGAAUCUUGUGAAAUCAAUACUGCUUUGUUGAAUCUUGUUAUGAAAGAUGAAUUCGCCGGCCUUCCUAGUGAAGAUGCCGCUACUCAUCUGAAUAGCUCCGUUGAUUUAUGUGAUAUGCAAAAGAAAAAAGAUGUCGAUAAUGAUGUCGUUAAAUUGAAGCUAUUUCCUUUUUCGCUUAGAGAUCGUGCUAAAGCUUGGUUUUCAUCUUUGCCUAAAAAUAGUAUUGAUUCUUGGAACAAGUGCAAAGAUGCUUUUAUCUCUAAGUAUUUUCCUCCCGUUAAGAUCAUCUCUCUUAGAAAUGAUAUUAUGAAUUUUAAGCAACUUGAUCAUGAACAUGUUGCACAAGCUUGGGAGAAUGAAAUUAAUGAUACGUAAUUGCCCUACUCAUGGUUUGAAUUUGUGGAUGAUUAUACAAAAAAUUUAUGCCGGAUUGAAUUUUGCUUCUAGAAAUCUUUUAGAUUCGGCCGCGGGAGGCACUUUUAUGGAAAUCACUUUAGGAGAUGCUACUAAACUCCUAGAUAAUAUUAUGGUUAAUUAUUCUCAAUGGCAUACUGGAAGAUCUUCUAAUAAAAAAGUGCAUGCGAUAGAAGAAAUCAAUGUUUUGAGUGGAAAGAUGGAUGAACUUACGAAAUUAUUUGUUACUAAGAGUGUUUCUUCUGAUCCUAAUGAUAUGCCUUUGUCUACUUUGAUUGAGAAUAACAAUGAAUCUAUGGAUGUGAAUUUUGUUGGUAGGAAUAAUUUUGGUAACAACGCGUAUAGAGGGAAUUUUAAUCCUAGGCCAUAUCCUAGUAAUCCUUCUAAUAAUUAUGGAAAUUCCUACAACAACUCUUAUGGAAAUUAUAAUAAGAUGCCCUCUGAAUUUGAGAAUAGUGUUAAAGAGUUUAUGAAUUCACAAAAGAAUUUUAAUGCUUUGCUUGAAGAGAAAUUGCUUAAAGUUGAUGAUUUGGCUAGGAAUGUUGAUAGAAUUUCUCUUGAGGUUGAUUCUUUAAAGCUUAGAUCUAUUCCUCCUAAGCAUGAUAUCAAUGAGUCUCUCAAAGCCAUGAGAAUUUCCAUUGAUGAGUGCAAGGAAAGAACCGCUAGGAUGCGUGCUUCCAAAGAUGCCUUUAUUAAAGCGUGUUCUUCCAAUUCUUAUGAAAAUCAAGAUGAAGAUCUAAAAGUUAUUGAUGUGUCCCCUAUCAAAUCUUUGUUUUGCAAUAUGAAUCUUGAUGAAACUGAAUAUGAUCUUCCUUUACCUAGAAGGCAUUCUAAAUUUUUUGAGUAUUUAGAUCUUUAUGAUGAAAUUGAUGAAAGUGGAUUUGAAGGAAAUAAAAAUCUAGAUGUUGCUGAACCCACUAUAUUGGAUUUCAAGGAAUUUAAUUAUGAAAUUUGCUCUUUGAUUGAUUGUAUUUCCUUGUUGCAAUCCGUGCUAAAUUCUCCACAUGCUUAUAGUCAAAAGAAAGCCUUCACCGAACAUAUUGUUGAUGCCUUGAUGCAAUCUUAUGAAAUCCCUAGAAAACUCUAUGAUGAGUGGGAACCAACUACUAAAAUUAAAAUUAAAGAUCAUGAGUUUUAUGCUUUGUGUGAUUUGGGUGCUAGUGUCUCCACCAUCCCCAAAACUUUGUGUGAUUUGCUAGAUUUCCGCGAUCUUGAUGAUUGCUCUUUAAACUUACAUCUCACGGAUUCUACUAUUAAGAAACCUAUGGGAAGGAUUAAUGAUGUUCUUAUUGUUGCAAAUAGGAAUUAUGUGCCCGUAGAUUAAAUUGUUCUUGAUAUAGAUUGCAAUCCUUCUUGCCCUAUUAUUCUUGGUAGACCUUUCCUUAGAACGGUUGGUGCGAUUAUUGAUAUGAAGGAAGGGAAUAUUAGAUUCCCAUUUCCAUUAAAAAGGGAUGGAACACUUUACAAGAAAGAAAAUAAAAUUGCCAUAUGAAACUAUCAUGAGAGCCGCUUAUGGAUUGCCUUCCAAAGAUGGCAAUGCCUAGAUCUAUCCUCGCUUUUAUGCCUAGCUAGGGGCGUUAAACGAUAGCGCUUGUUGGGAGGCAACCCAAUUUUAUUUUUAGUUUUUUGUGUUUUUCUUUUGUUAGGGAAUAAAUAACCCAUCUACCUUCUGUUUGGAUGUGGUUUUGUGUUUUAAUUAGUGUUUGUGCCAAGCUAGACCUAUUGGAUCUUCUUGGAUGAUAGUUAUUUGAUCUUGCUGUAAUUUCCAGAAACUUUGCAUUCAGUGCCAGAAUUGUUAAAAAUCAUCAGAACGUGAUAAAAUACUGAUUCCAAUUGAUGCUGAUCAAUAAACAAAUUUUCUAGGUCGUCUAAUUUUGGUAGAUUUUUUGGAGUUCCAGAAGUUUGCGUUAGUUACAGAUUACUACAGACUGUUCUGAUUUUGACAGAUUCUGUUUUUCGUGUGUUGUUUGCUUAUUUUGAUGAAUCUAUGGUUAGUAAAAUAGUUUAUAAUCCAUAGAGAAGUUGGAAUACAGUAGUUUUAACACCAAUAUAAAUAAAGAAUAAGUUAAUUACAGUACCUUGAAGUGGUCUUUUGUUUUCUUUCUCUAACAGAGCUCACGAGAUUUCUAUUGAGUUUUGUGUUGUGAAGUUUUCAAGUUUUGGGUGAAUUCUUUUGAUGGAUUAUGGAACAAGGAGUGGCAAGAGCCUAAGCUUGGGGAUGACCAUGGCACUCCCAAGAUAAUCCAAGGACACCAAAAUGUCAAAGCUUGGGGAUGCCCCGGAAGGCAUCCCCUCUUUCGUCCACUUCCAUCGGUAAUUUACUUGGAGCUAUAUUUUUAUUCACCAACAUGAUAUGUGGUUUGCUUGGAGCGUCUCGUAUUAUUUAUGUCUUUGUUUGUUAGUGUGCCACAAUCAUCCUUUCUGUACACACCUUUUGAGAGAGCCAUACAUGAAUUGGAAUUUGAUAGAAUACUCUAUGUGCUUCACUUAUAUCUUUUGAGCUAUGUAGUUUUGCUCUAUGUGCUUCACUUAUAUCUUUUGAGCGUUAUAAUUUUGCUUUAUGUGCUUCAUUUAGAUCUUUUAGAGCACGGUGGUAGUUUGUUUUAAAGAAACUAUUGAUCUCUCAUGCUUCACUUAAAUUAUUUUCAGAGUCUUAAUAGCAUGGUAAUUUGCUUAACAAUAAUAUGCUUGGUAUUCAAGAUUUGUGAAACUUUCUUUUGAGUGCGUUGAAUACUAAAAGAAGAUUGAAGCAUGAUAAUUGUUUCGAGAUACGGAGGUGAUAAUAUUAGAGUCAUGCUAGUUUAGUAGUUGUGAAUUUAAAGAAUACUUGUGUUAAAGUUUGUGAUUCCCAUAGCAUGCACGUAUGGUGAACCGUUAUGUGAUGAAGUCGGAGCAUGAUUUAUUUAUUGAUUGUCUUCCUUAUGAGUGGCGGUCGGGGACGAGUGAUGGUCUUUUCCUACCAAUCUAUCCCCCUACGAGCAUGCGCACAAUACUUUGCUUUGAUAACUUCUAGAUUUUUGCAAUAAGUAUAUGAGUUCUUUAUGACUAAUGUUGAGUCCAUGGAUUAUACACACGUUUUCCCAUCCUCCCACCAUUGCUAGCCUCUCUAAUACCGCGCACCUUUCGCCGGUAUCAUACACCCACCAUAUACCUUCCUCAAAACAGCCACCAUACCUACCUAUCAUGGCAUUUCCAUAGCCAUUCUGAGAUAUAUUGUCAUGCAACUUUCCACCGUUCCGUUUAUCAUGACACGCUCCAUUAUUGUCAUAUUGCUAGCAUGAUCAUGUAGUUGACAUCGUAUUUGUGGCAAAGCCACCGUUCAUAAUUAUCUCAUACAUGUCACUCUUGAUUCAUUGCAUAUCCCGGUUCACUGCCGGAGGCAUUCAUAUAGAGUCAUAUUUGUUCUAAGUAUCGAGUUGUAAGAAAAAUAAAAGUGUGAUGAUCAUCAUUUUUUAGAGCAUUGUCCCAAGUGAGGAAAGAAUGAUGGAGACUAUGAUUCCCCCAUAAGUCGGGAUGAGACUCCGGACGAAAAAUAAAAAAAUAAUAAGAAAAGAGGCCAUGAAAAAAAGGAAAAGGCCCAAAUAAAAAAAAUGAGAGAAAAAGAGAGAAGGGACAAUGUUACUAUCCUUUUACCACACUUGUGCUUCAAAGUAGCACCAUGAUCUUCAUGAUAGAGAGUCUCUUGUUAUGUCACUUUCAUAUACUAGUGAGAAUUUUUCAUUAUAGAACUUGGCUUGUAUAUUCCAAUGAUGGGCUUCCUCAAAAUUGCCCUAGGUCUUCGUGAGCAAGCAAGUUGGAUGCACACCCACUUAGUUUCUUUUGAUGAGCUUUCAUAUACUUAUAGCUCUAGUGCAUCCGUUGCAUGGCAAUCCCUACUCACUCACAUCGAUAUCUAUUGAUGGGCAUCUCCAUAGCCCGUUGAUACGCCUAGUUGAUGUGAGACUAUCUUCCCCUCUUUUUGGUCUUCUCCACAACCACCGUUCUAUUCCACCUAUAGUGCUAUAUCCAUGGCUCACGCUCAUGUAUUGCGUGAAGAUUGAAAAAGUUUUGAAAAAGUUAGAGUAUGAAACAAUUGCUUGGCUUGUCAUCGGGGUUGUGCAUGAUUUAAAUACUUUAUGUGGUGAAGAUAGAGCAUAGCCAGACUAUAUGAUUUUAUAGGGAUAACUUUCUUUGGCCAUGUUAUUUUGAGAAGACAUAAUUGCUUUAUUAGUAUGCUUGAAGUAUUAUUAUUCUUUAUGUCAAUAUGAACUUUUGUCUUGAAUCUUUAUAAUCAGAAUAUUCACACCACAAUUAAGAAAUUUUGCAUUGAAAUUAUGCCAAGUAGCACUCCGCAUCAAAAAUUCUCUUUUUAUCAUUUACCUACUCGAGGACGAGCAGGAAUUAAGCUUGGGGAUGCCUGAUACGUCUCCAACGUAUCUAUAAUUUUUUAUUGCUCCAUGCUAUAUUAUCUACUGUUUUGGACUAUAUUGGGCUUUAUUUUCCACUUUUACAUUAUUUUUGGGACUAACCUAUUAACAGGAGGCCCAGCCCAGAAUUGCUGUUUUUUUGCCUAUUUCAGUGUUUCGAAGAAACGGAAUAUCAAACGGAGUCCAAACGGAAUAAUCCUUUCUGGAACGUGAUUUUCUUCCCGAAUAUGACCCAGGAGACUUGGACCCUACGCCAAGGAAGCUUCGAGGUGGGCACGAGGUGGGGGCGCGCCCUACACCCCCAGGAGCGCCCCCACCCUCGUGGGCCCACCGAAGCUCCACCGAUGUACUUCUUCCUCCUAUAUAUACCCACGUACCCCCAAAUGAACAGAUACGGAGCCAAAAACCUAAUUCCACUGCCGCAACUUUCUGUAUCCACGAGAUCCCAUCUUGGGGCUUGUUCCGGAGCUCCACCGGAGAGGGCCGUCAUCACGGAGGGCUUCUACAUCAUCAUAGCCUCUCCGAUGAAGUGCGAGUAGUUUACCUCAGACCUUUGGGUCCAUAGUUAUUAGCUAGAUGGCUUCUUCUCUCUUUUUGGAUCUCAAUACAAUGUUCUCCCCCUCUCUUGUGGAGAUCUAUUCGAUGUAAUCUUCUUCUUUUUGCGGUAUGUUUGUUGAGACCGAUGAAUUGUGGGUUUAUGAUCAAGUCUAUCUAUGAAUAAUAUUUGAUUCUUUUCUGAAUUCUUUUAUGUAUGAUUGGUUAUCUUUGCAAGUCUCUUCGAAUUAUCCGUUUGGUUUGGCCAACUAGAUUGGUAGUUCUUGCCAUGGGAGAAGUGCUUAGCUUUGGGUUCGAUCUUGCGGUGUCCUUUCCUAGUGAUAGAAGGGGCAGCAAGGCACGUAUUGUAUCGUUGCCAUCGAGGAUAACAAGAUGGGGUUUAUUUCAUAUUGCAUGAAUUUAUCUCUCUACAUCAUGUCAUCUUGCUUAAAGCGUUACUCUGUUUUUAACUUAAUACUCUAGAUGCAUGCUAGAUAGCGGUCGAUGAGUGGAGUAAUAGUAGUAGAUGCAGAAUCAUUUCGAUCUACUUGCCACGGACGUGAUGCCUAUAUACAUGAUCAUGCCUAGAUAUUCUCAUAACUAUGCUCAAUUCUGUCAAUUGCUCAACAGUAAUUUGUUCACCCACUGUAGAAUACUUAUGCUCUUGAGAGAAGCCACUAGUGAAACCUAUGGCCCCCGGGUCUAUUCUCAUCAUAUCAAUCUCCAUCACUUUAAUCUUGCUUUGCUUUUUAAUUUGUCUUUUACUUUUUACUUUGCAUCUUUAUACCAAAAAUACCAAAAAUAUUAUCUCUAUCGGAUCUCACUCUCGUAAGUGACCGUGAAGGGAUUGACAACCCCUAAUCGCGUUGGUUGCGAGUAGCUAUCAUUUUGUGCAGGUACGAGGGACUUGAGCAUGGCCUCCUACUGCAUUGAUACCUAGGUUCUCAAAAACUGAGGGAAAUACUUACGCUACUCUGCUGCAUCAUCCUCUCCUCUUCGGGGAAAUCCAACGCAAGCUCAAGAGGUAGCAGUCAACCAAAGUCCACACUUUGUUCUCAUACAUGGAUCCCAUCUCAGAUUUCAUGGCCUCAAGCCAUUUUUUUGCGGAAUCUGGGCUCAUCAUCGCUUCCUCAUAGUUCGUAGGUUCGUCAUGGUCAAGUAACAUGACCUCCAGAACAGGAUUACCGUACCACUCUAGUGCGGAUCUCACUCUGGUUGACCUAUGAGGUUCGGUAGUAACUUGAUCUGAAGUUACAUGAUCAUCAUCAUUAGCUUCCUCACAAAUUGGUGUAGGAGUCACAUGAACAAAUUUCUGUGAUGAACUACUUUCCAAUAAGGGAGUAGGUACAGUUACCUCAUCAAGUUCUACUUUUCCCCCACUCACUUCUUUCGCGAGAAACUCCUUCUCUAGAAAGGAUCCAUUCUUGGAAACGAAUAUCUUGCCUUCGGAUCUGUGAUAGAAGGUGUACCCAACAUUUUCUUUUGGGUAUCCUAUGAAGACACACUUCUCCGAUUUGGGUCCGAGCUUAUCAGUUUGAAACUUCUUCACAUAAGCAUCGCCGCCCCAAACUUUAAGAAACGAUAGCUUAGGUUUCUUGCUAAACCAUAGUUCAUACCGUGUCAUCUCAACAGAUUUAGAUGGUGCCCUUUUUAAUGUGAAUGCAGCUGUCUCUAAUGCAUAACCCCAAAACUAUAUGGUACAUCGGUAAGAAGCAUCAUAGAUUGCACUAUAUCCAAUAAAGUACGGUUAUGACGUUUGGACACACCAUUAUGCUGUGGUGUUCCAGGUGGCACAAAUUUGUGAAACUAUUGCACAUUGUUUUAAUUGAAGACCAAACUCGUAACUCAAAUAUUUGUCUCCAUGAUCAGAUCGUAGAAACUUUAUUUUCUUGUCACGAUGAUUUUCCACUUCACUCUGAAAUUCUUUGAACUUUUCAAAUGUUUCAGACUUAUGUUUCAUUAAGUAGAUAUAUCCAUAUCUGCUCAAAUCAUCUAUGAAGGUCAGAAAAUAACGAUACCCGCCGCGAGCCUCAACACUCAUCGGACCGCAUACAUCAGUAUGUAUUAUUUCCAAUAAGUCAGUUGCUCGCUCCAUUGUUCCGGAGAACAGAGUCUUAGUUAUCUUGCCCAUGAGGCAUGAUUCGCAAGCAUCAAGUGAUUCAUAAUCAAGUGAUUCCAAAUGCCCAUCAGCAUGGAGUUUCUUCAUGCGCUUUACACCAAUAGGACCUAAACGGCAGUGCCACAAAUAAGUUGCACUAUCAUUAUUAACUUUGCAACUUUUGGCUUCAAUAUAAUGAAUAUGUGUAUCACUACAAUCGAGAUCCAACAGAACAACAAUUAUUCUCCAAUUUAAAUGAAUAACCGUAUUGCAAUAAACAUGAUCAAAUCAUAUUCAUGCUCAACACAAAGACCAUAGAAGGUUUAUUUAGGUUCAACACUAAUCCCAAAAGUAUAGGGAGUGUGCGAUGAUGAUCAUAUCAUCUUGGAACUGCUUCCAACACACAUCGUCACUUCACUCUUAACUAGUUUCUGUUCAUUCUGCAACUCCCGUUUCGAGUUACUACUCUUAGCAACUGAACUAGUAUCAAAUACCGAGGGGUUGCUAUAAACACUAGUAAAGUACACAUCAAUAACAUGUAUAUCCAAUAUACCUUUGUUUACUUUGCCAUCCUUCUUAUCCGCCAAAUACUUGGGGCAGUUCCGCUUCCAGUGACCAGUCCCUUUGCAGUAGAAGCACUCAGUCUUAGGCUUAGGUCCAGACUUAGGAUUCUUCACUUGAGCAGCAACUUGCUUUCCGUUCUUUUUGAAGUUCCCCUUCUUCCCUUUGCCCUUUUCUUGAAACUGGUGGUCUUGUCAACCAUCAACGCUUGAUGCUUUUCUUGAUUUCUACCUUCAUCGAUUUCAGCAUCAUGAAGAGCUUGGGAAUCGUUUCCGUUAUCCCUUGCAUAUUAUAGUUCAUCACGAAGUUCUAGCAACUUGGUGAUGGUGACUAGAGAAGUCUGUCAAUCACUAUCUUAUCUGGAAGAUUAACUCCCACUUGAUUCAAGUGAUUGUAGUACUCAGACAAUCUGAGCAUAUGCUCACUGGUUGAGCUAUUCUCCUCCAUCUUUGUAGGCAAAGUAAUGUCAGAGGUCUCAUACCUCUUGACACGGGUAUGAGUAUGAAAUACCAAUUUCAACUCUUGGAACAUCUUAUAUGCUCUGUGACAUUCAAAACAUUUUUGAAGUUCCGGUUCUAAGCCGUAAAGCAUGGUGCACUAAACUAUCAAGUAGUCAUCAUACCGAGCUUUUGUCCAAACGUUCAAAACAUCUGCAUCUGCUCCUGCAAUAGUUCUGUCACCUAGCGGUGCAUCAAGGACAUAAUUCUUCUGUGCAACAAUGAGGAUAAACCUCAGAUCACGGACCAAGUCCACAUCAUUGCUACUAUCAUCUUUCAACAUAUUUUUCUCUAGGAACAUAUCAAAAUAAAUGGGGAGCAACAUCGCGAGCUAUUGAUCUACAACAUAAAUAUGCUAAUACUACCAGGACUAAGUUCAUGAUAAAUUAAAGUUCAAUUAAUCAUAUUACUUAAGAACUCCCACUUAGAUAGGCAUCCCUCUAAUCAUCUAAGUGAUCACGUGAUCCAUAUCAACUAAACCAUAACCGAUCAUCACGUGAAAUGGAGUAGUUUUCUAUGGUGACCAUCAUUAUGUUGAUCAUAUCUACUAUACGAUUCACGCUCGACCUUUCGGUCUCAGUGUUCUGAGGCCAUAUCUGCAUAUGCUAGGCUCGUCAAGUUUAACCUGAGUAUUCUGCAUGUGCAAAACUGGCUUGUGAUGACCCACAAGUAUAGGGGAUCUAUCGUAGUCCUUUCGAUAAGCAAGAGUGUCGAACCCAACGAGGAGCAGAAGGAAAUGAUAAAGCGGUUUUCAGCAAGGUAUUCUCUGCAAGUACUGAAAUAAGUGGUAACAGAUAUUUUUGUGACAAGAUAAAUUGUAACGAGCAACAAGUAACAAAAGUAAAUAAAGUGCAGCAAGGUGGCCCAAUCCUUUUUGCAGAAAAGGACAAGCCGGAACAAACUCUUAUAAUAGGAAAAGCGCUCCCGAGGACACAUGGGAAUAUCGUCAAGCUAGUUUUCAUCACGUUCAUAUGAUUCAUGUUGGAUACUUUGAUAAUUUGAUAUGUGGGUGGACCGGUGCUUGGGUGCUGUUCUUACUUGAACAAGCAUCCCACUUAUGAUUAACCUCUAUUGCAAGCAUCCGCAACUACAACAAAAGUAUUAAGGUAAACCUAACCAUAGCAUGAAACAUAUGGAUCCAAAUCAGCCCCUUACGAAGCAACGCAUAAACUAGGGUUUAAGCUUCUUUCACUCUAGCAACCCAUCAUCUACUUAUUACUUCCCAAUGCCUUCCUCUAGGCCCAAAUAAUGGUGAAGUGUUAUGUAGUCGACGUUCACAUAACACCACUAGAGGCUAGACAACAUACAUCUUAUCAAAAUAUCAAACGAAUACCAAAUUCACAUGACUACUAAUAGCAAGACUUCUCCCUUGUCCUCAGGAACAAACGUAAUUACUCACAAAGCAUAUUCAUGUUCAUAAUCAGAGGGGUAAUAAUAUGCAUAUAGGAUCUGAACAUAUGAUCUUCCACCAAAUAAACCAACUAGCAUCAACUACAAGGAAUAAUCAACACUACUAGCAACCUACUAGCACCAAUCCCGGACUUUGAGACAAGAAUUGGACACAAGAGAUGAACUAGGGUUUGGAGAUGAGAUGGUGCUGGUGAAGAUGUUGAUGGAGAUUGCCCUCUCCCGAUGAGAGGAACGUUGGUGAUGACGAUGGUGAUGAUUUCCCCCUCCCGGAGGGAAGUAUCCCUGGCAGAACAGCUCUGCCGGAGCUCUAGAUUGGUUCCGCCUCGUGGCGGCGGAGUCUCGUCCUGAAAGGUUCCCUCUGAUUUUUUUCUCAUCAAAAGACUUCAUAUAGCAGAAGAUGGAUGUCGGAGACCCACCAGGGGGCCCACGAGGUAGGGGGGCGUGCCCUAGGAGGGGGGCGCGCCCCCCACCCUCGUGAGCAGGGUGUGGGCCCCCUGGCCUUCAUCUUUGGCGAGGAUUUUUCUUUAUUUAUUUUAAGAUAUUCCGUGGAGUUUCAGGAGUUUUGGAGUUGCGCAGAAUAGGUCUCUAAUAUUUGCUCCUUUUCCAGCCUAGAAUUCCAGCGGCCGCAUUCUCCCUCGUCAUGUAAACCUUGUAAAAUAAGAGAGAAUAGCCAUAAAUAUUGUGACAUAACAUGAAAUAACAGCCCAUAAUGCAAUAAAUAUCGAUAUAAAAGCAUGAUGCAAAAUGGACGUAUCAACUCCCCCAAGCUUAGACCUCGCUUGUCCUCAAGCGAAAAGCCGAUAACAAUAAAUAUGUCCUCAUGUUUAGAGGUAGAGGCGUCGAUAAAAAAUAAAAUACGGACAUGAAGGCAUCAUGAUUAUUCUCACAACAGCAACAUAUAUAGAUUUUGUCAUAUGAUUACUUAUGUUCAAGUGAUGAUCUAUUCACAAUGCAAAAGUAUGAAUCAUAAACCUUAUCGGGCUCCAACAAACUAUAAUCUCAGUCAUUGAAGCAAUUGCAAUUUAUCAUAACAUCGGAAAGAGUCUAUGACAGAGCUUAAAAGCAAGUCCACAUACUCAACUAUCAUCUAGUCAUUCAUAAUUGCUAACACUCACGCAAUACUUGUCGUUACGGAGUUUUAAUCGGACACAGAGAAAGAUAGGGGCUUAUAGUUUUGCCCCACAACCUUUUACCUCAAGGGUAAUGUCAACAGUAAUAAUUCAUGCUCCCCUACAUCCAAUUAGAUAUAUAUAUCAUGUUCUUCCCAACAUGCUAGGCUUGCCAAAAGGAUAAAAUGAAAAAGGAAAGGUGAAGAUCACCAAGACUCUUGCAUAAGGUAGAAGAUAAUAAAAGAUAGGCCCUUCGCAGAGGGAAGCAGAGGUUGCCAUGCGCUUUUAUGGUUGGAUGCACAAAAUCUCAAUGCGAAAGAAUGUCACUUUAUAUUGCCCCUUGUGAUAUGAACCUUUAUUAUGCAGUCCGUCGCUUUUAUUACUUCCACAUCACAAGAUCGUAUAAAGCUUAUUCCUCCCACACCAAUCAAUCAUACAUAUUUAGAGCAAUUUUUAUUGCUUUGCACCGAUGACAACUUACUUGAAGGAUCUUACUCAAUCCAUAUGUAGAUAUAGUGGACUCUCAUGGCAAAACUAGUUUAAGGGUAUUUGGAAGCACAAGUAGUAUUUCUACUUGGUGCUGAGAAUUUGGCUAGCAUGAGGGGGAAAGGCAAGCUCAACAAGUUAGAGGAUCCAUGACAACAUACUUUAUCUCAGAUAUAAGAAAGACAUAACUCAUUACAUUAUCUUCCUUGUCCAACAUCAACCCUUUAGCAUGUCAUAUUUUAAUGAGUGCUCCCAAUCAUAAAAGAUGUCAAUGAUAAUAUAUCUAUAUGUGAAACCUCUCUUUCCUUAUUACUUCCUAUUAAUUGCAACGAUGACCAAAGCUAUGUCUGCCAACUCCCAACAACUUUUAAUCAUCAUACUCUUUCUAUGUGAAGUCAUUACUCUCAAUAUGAUCAAUAUGAACUCCUUGUUUCUUUUUAUUCUUUUUCUUCUUUUCUAUUAUUCACCCAAGAUCAUGGCAAAAUAAUCAAGCCCUUGACUCAACACUAAUCUUUAUUAUAUAUAGCUCACGGACUCGAUUACAAAGAGUGAUCAUAAAGCAAAACUCAAAACUAGAUCAUGCCAUAAACUUUAUUCUACUAGAUCAAGAUACUACUAAUAGGAUCGAACUAAGAAAAACGGUAAAGAUAGGAGUUGUGAUUGUGAUACGAUACCGGGGCACCUCCCCCAAGCUUGGCAGUUGCCAAGGGGAGUGCCCAUACCCAUGUGAUUAUAUCUCCUUGGUUGGUGAAGAAGGUGGAGGUGUUGUCGAUGAUGCAGGCUUGGAGUUCAUCUUCCAAGGCAUAGGCUCACCAUCAUAGAAGGAUGAUCGAGUCUCCGAGAUCCUCAGAUCUGCAGCCAAACUCAUCCUUUUGAAUCUAUAUUCAUACUCACAGUUUUGGUUUUGCAGGUCAUAAAUUUGGGCUUGGAGGUGCUCGAUCUUCUCAUGAAGCUUGAAGAUGGCCUCCCCUAUGUUGUGAGCAUCCAACUUGUGGUUGCUAGUGAACUCCGCAAUCAUCAUGUGGCUGGAGUUGAGUCCACGCUCCACCAUCCCUUGACACUUGAAAACUUGUUGCUCCACUGCUUCGAGCCUCGUCUCCACGCUUCCGGUCCCCUUUGGUCCCUCUUCAUCGCGGAUGUGCAGCAACCCAUCACGCAACUCAAUGGUUUAAGGGUGUCGCAGCACCUCCGCGAGGUAAGGGUUGAUAACCUUCUCAAAAAACUUGUCCUUGGAAGCACUUGGGGCCGUCAUGAUGACCUGGAUCUGUCAGAAAAACAGCUCGAAACAAGAACAGAGGAGAUUUGUGUGAUACGGGAGUCAAAACCUUCGGGAGUAUAUAUAAUGAAUUUUUACCGACCAAAAUACAUAACGUGCAAGAAAACGGAGUCCGGAGGGCACACGAGGUGCUCACGAGGUAGGGGGACGCGCCCAGAGGGGCAGGGCGUGCCCACCACCCUUGUGGGGCCCUCGUGUCCUCCCCGGACUACUGCUUAUUUUUCUAAAUAUUCCAAAACAGAGAAAAAAUGCCUUAAAAAUUGUUUUGGAGUCGGUUUACUUACCGUACCACAUACCUAUUCCUUUUCGGAGUCUGAAACGUUCUGGAAAGUGUCCCUUAUGUAUUCUGCCGGGGUUACGGUUUCAAUAAUAUUGGUUUCAACAUUUAUGGGAUUACCUGAGAUAUAAUGUUUGAUCCUUUGACCGUUUAGCACCUUCGGAUUCGUGCCCUCGAAGUUGUUGAUUUUUAUGGCACCGGAACGAUAGACCUCCUCGAUAACAUAAGGGCCUUCCCAUUUAGAGAGAAGUUUUCCUGCAAAAAAUCUUAAACGAGAGUUGUAUAGCAAUACAUAAUCACCUACAUUAAACUCACGCUUUUGUAUCCUUUUGUCAUGCCAUCUUUUAACUUUUUCUUUAAACAACUUGGCAUUUUCAUAAGCUUGGGUUCUCCAUUCAUCAAGUGAGCUAAUAUCAAAUAACCUCUUCUCACCGGCAAGUUUGAAAUCAUAGUUGAGCUCUUUAAUAGCCCAAUAUGCCUUAUGUUCUAGUUCGAGAGGUAAGUGACAUGCUUUUCCAUAAACCUUUUUAUACGGAGACAUACCCAUAGGAUUUUUAUAUGCAGUUCUAUAAGCCCAUAAUGCAUCAUCAAGUUUCUUGGACCAAUUCUUUCUAGACCUAUUAACAGUCUUUUGCAAAAUUAAUUUGAGCUCUCUAUUGCUCAAUUCUACUUGACCACUAGACUGCGGGUGAUAAGGAGAUGCAAUUCUAUGAUUAACAUCAUACUUAGCAAACAUUUUACAGAAAGCACCAUGAAUAAAGUGUGAACCACCAUCAGUCAUUAAAUAUCUAGGGACUCCAAACCUCGGAAAAAUAACUUCCUUAAGCAUUUUAAUAGAAGUGUUAUGAUCAGCACUACUAGUUGGAAUAGCUUCUAUCCACUUAGUAACGUAAUCAACAGCAACUAGAAUAUGUGUGUAUCCAUUAGAGGCAGGAAAAGGUCCCAUAUAAUCAAAGCCACAAACAUCAAAUGGUUCAAUAACAAGUGAAUUGUUCAUAGGCAUUUCUUGACGUCUAUUGAUAUUACCAAUUCUUUGACAUUCAUCACAAGACAAGACAAACUUACGGGCAUCCUUGAAGAGAGUAGGCCAAUAAAAACCAGAUUGCAAUACCUUAUGUGCAGUUCUGUCUCCAGCGUGGUGUCCUCCAUAAGCUUCGGAGUGACACUUGCGUAGGAUCUGUUCCUGUUCAUGCUCAGGUACACAACGUCUAAUAACACCAUCUACUCCUUCUUUAUAAAGAUGUGGGUCAUCCCAAAAGUAAUGUCUCAAAUCAUAGAAAAACUUCUUCUUUUUUUGGUAUGUGAAGCUAGGUGGUAUAAACUUAGCAACAAUAUAAUUAGCAUAAUCAGCAUACAAAGGAGUACUAUGAGAAGUACUUAUAACAUUUAAUUGUUCAUCAGGAAAGCUAUCAUUAAUAGGUAGUGGGUCAUCAAGAACAUUCUCUAACCUAGACAAGUUGUCUGCAACGGGGUUCUCAGCUCCUUUUCUAUCAACAAUAUGUAAAUCAAAUUCUUGUAGCAGGGGAACCCAUCUAAUGAGUCUAGGUUUAGCAUCUUUCUUUUCCAUAAUAUAUUUAAUAGCAGCAUGAUCAGUGUGAAUAGUUACUUUAGAAUCAACAAUAUAAGGUCUGAACUUAUCACAAGCGAAUACAACUGCUAAAAGUUCUUUUUCAGUAGUAGCAUAAUUUCUUUGAGCAUUGUCUAGAGUCUUACUAGCAUAAUGAAUAACAUUUAAUUUCUUAUCAACUCUUUGCCCUAGAACAACACCUACAACAUAAUCACUAGAAUCACACAUAAUUUCAAAGGGUAAAUUCCAAUCAGGUGGCUGAACAACAGGUGCAGAGACUAAUGCUUUCUUAAGUAUUUCAAAUGCUUCUACACAAUCAUCAUCAAAGACAAAUGGUAUAUCUUUUUGCAAUAAAUUAGUCAGAGGCCGAGAAAUUUUUGAGAAGUCCUUAAUGAACCUCCUAUAAAAUCCGGCGUGACCAAGGAAACUUCUUAUACCUUUGAUGUCCUUGGGACAUGGCAUCUUUUCAAUAGCAUCAACCUUGGCUUUAUCAACUUCAAUAUACCUCUUUCAGAAACUUUGUGCCCCAAGACAAUACCUUCAUUAACCAUAAAGUGGCACUUUUCCCAAUUCCAGACAAGAUUAGUUUCUUCACAUCUCUGCAGAACUUGAUCAAGAUUGCUCAAGCAAUCAUCAAAAGAGGAACCAUGGAUGAAAAAGUCAUCCAUGAAAACCUCACAAAUCUUUUCACAAAAGUCAGAGAAUAUAGCCAUCAUGCAUCUUUGAAAGGUAGCAGGUGCAUUACAUAAACCAAAAGGCAUACGCCUAUAAGAAAAAGUACCAAAAGGGCAUGUAAAAGUAGUCUUUGAUUGAUCUCUAGCCGACACAGGUAUUUGAGAGAAACCAGAAUAGCCAUCUAGAAAGCAGUAAUGUGUAUGUUUGCAUAAUAUUUCUAGCAUUUGAUCAAUAAAAGGUAAGGGGUAAUGAUCUUUCUUAGUAGCUUUAUUUAAUUUACGGAAAUCAAUUACCAUCCUAUAACCUGUGAUAAUUCUUUGUGGGAUCAAUUCAUCUUUAUCAUUAGGAACAAAAGUAAUACCUCCCUUCUUAGGGACACAAUGGACAUGACUUACCCACUGGCUAUCAACAACUGGAUAAAUUAUACCUGCCUCCAGAAGUUUGAGUAUUUCUUUUCUUACCACUUCUUUCAUUUUAGGAUUCAGACGUCGUUGAGGAUCACGAACUGGUUUGGCAUCCUCUUCCAAAUUUAUUUUAUGUUGACAUAAAGUGGGACUAAUGCCCUUAAGAUCAUCAAGAGUAUAUCCAAUAGCAGCACGGUGCUUCUUCAGAGUUUUCAAUAAUCUUUCUUCUUCAUGCUCUGAAAGGUUAGCACUAAUAAUAACAGGAUAUAUCUUGUUUUCAUCAAGAUAAGCAUAUUUAAGAUUAUCAGGCAAAGGUUUAAGCUCAAACACGGGAUCACCCUUGGGUGGAGGAGGAUCCCCUAAAAUUUCAACAGGCAAAUUGUGUUGCAGAAUAGGUUCUUGUUUAAAGAAUACUUCAUCUAUGUCCCUUCUUUCAUUCAUGAACAUAUCAUUUUCAUGGUCUAGCAAAUAGUGUUCUAAAGGAUCACUGGGAGGUACGGCAAUAGAAGCAAGACCAAUAAUUUCAUCCUUACUAGGCAAUUAUUCCUCACGAUGUUGUUUACUAAAUUUAGAGAAAUUAAACUCAUGAACCAUAUCAUCCAAGCCAAUAGUAACAACAUUCUUUUCGCAGUCUAUCCUAGCAUUAACAAUGUUCAAGAAGGGUCUACCAAAUAUAAUGGGACAAAAGAUAUCUUGUGGAGAAGUGAGAACGAGAAAAUUAGCAGGAUAUUUAGUUUUCCACACAAGACUUCAACAUCUCUAACAAUUCCCAUCGCUGAAAUAGUAUCUCUAUUGGCUAGUUUAGUUGUGACAUCAAUAUCUUCUAAUUCAGCAGGUGCAAUUUCAUGCUUGAUUUCUUUAUACAAGUCAUAAGGUAUAACACUAGCACUAGCACCCAUAUCACAUAAGCCAUGAUAACAAUGAUCUCCUAUUUUAACAGAAAUAACAAGCACGCCUACCACAGGUCUAUGUUUAUCUUUAUCACAAGGCUUAGCAAUUCUAGCAGUUUCACCAUUGAACUGAAUAACAUGCCCAUCAAUAUUAUCAGACAAGAGAUCUUUAACAAUAGCAAUAUUAGGUUCUACUUUAACUUGCUCAGGGGGUACAUAAGUUCUAAUAUUGCUUUUACGAACAACAGUUGAAGCUUUAGCAUGAUCCUUUAUUCUAACAGGGAAAGGUGGUCUCUCAACAUAAGAAGUAGGAACAAUAGGAUCAUUGUAAGUGACAGUCUUUUCUUCAACUUUAAUAGGUGCAGCUACUUUUACUUCUAUGGGAGGAUGAUAUUUAAACCACUUCUCCUUAGGGAGAUCAACAUAAGUAGCAAAAGAUUCACAGAAAGAAGCUACCAUCUCAGAGUCAAGUCCAUAUUUAGUGCUAAACUUACGGAAAAUAUCGGUGUCCAUAAAAGAUUUAACACAAUCAAACUUAGGUGUCAUACCUGACUCUUUACCUUCGUCGAGGUCCCAAUCUUCAGAGUUGCGUUUAAUUCUAUCCAAUAAAUUCCAUUUAAAUUCAAUAGUCUUCAUCAUAAAAGAGCCAGCACAAGAAGUAUCGAGCAUGGUUUGAUUAUUAUGAGAAAGCCGAGCAUAUAAAAUUUGCAUAAUUAUUUCUCUCGAGAGCUCAUGAUUGGGGCAUGAAUAUAACAUUGAUUUAAGACUCCCCCAAGCUUGAGCGAUGCUUUCUUCUUCGCGAGGCCAGAAAUUAUAUAUAUAAUUGCGAUCACGAUGAACAAGAUGCAUAGGGUAAUACUUUUGAUGAAAUUUCAACUUCAAUCUUUUAUAGUUCCAUGAUCUCGUAUCAUCACAUAGCCUAUACCAUAUCAAUGCGUCUCCCUUCAAAGAUAAAGGGAAGACCUUCUUCUUAGCAACAUCAUCGGGUACACCUGCAAGCUUAAAUAAUCCACAAACAUCAUCCACAUAUAUUAAGUGCUCAUCAGGAUGCUUUGUUCCAUCUCCUGUAAAAGGGUUAGCUAGCAGUUUUUCCAUCAUACCCGAAGGAAUUUCAAAAGGAGUUUCAUUUUCAAUAGGUUCAGUAGGUUGAGGAGCAACUCUUUGCUCUACUGGACGAGGUGAAGAUACCCCGAACAAGCCCCUCACAGAAUUACUUUCCAUAGUAGCAAGUGACAGUAAAUUUCAGCACACUAUAUAAAUUUUUCCUUACCAAAUUCCACCUACCAAAGGCGCUACACUCCCUGGCAACGGUGCCAGAAAAGAGUCUUGAUGACCCACAAGUAUAGGGGAUCUAUCGUAGUCCUUUCGAUAAGUAAGAGUGUCGAACCCAACGAGGAGCAGAAGGAAAUGAUAAGCGGUUUUCAGCAAGGUAUUCUCUGCAAGUACUGAAAUAAGUGGUAACAGAUAGUUUUGUGACAAUAUAAAAUGUAACGAGCAACAAGUAACAAAAGUAAAUAAAGUGCAGCAAGGUGGCCCAAUCCUUUUUGUAGCAAAGGACAAGUCGGAACAAACUCUUAUAAUAGGAAAAGCGCUCCCGGGGACACAUGGGAAUAUCGUCAAGCUAGUUUUCAUCACGUUCAUAUGAUUCGCGUUCGAUACUUUGAUAAUUUGAUAUGUGGGUGGACCGGUGCUUGGGUGCUGUUCUUACGUGAACAAGCAUCCCACUUAUGAUCAACCUCUAUUGCAAGCAUCCGCAACUACAACAAAAGUAUUAAGGUAAACCUAACCAUAGCAUGAAACAUAUGGAUCCAAAUCGGCCCCUUACGAAGCAACACAUAAACUAGGGUUUAAGCUUCUGUCACUCUAGCAACCCAUCAUCUACUUAUUACUUCCCAAUGCCUUCCUCUAGGCCCAAAUAAUGGUGAAGUGUUAUGUAGUCGACGUUCACAUAACACCACUAGAGGCUAGACAACAUACAUCUUAUCAAAAUAUCAAACGAAUACCAAAUUCACAUGACUACUAAUGGCAAGACUUCUCCCUUGUCCUCAGGAACAAACGUAAUUACUCACAAAGCAUAUUCAUGUUCAUAAUCAGAGGGGUAAUAAUAUGCAUACAGGAUCUGAACAUAUGAUCUUCCAUCAAAUAAACCAUCUAGCAUCAACUACAAGGAGUAAUCAACACUACUAGCAACCUACUAGUACCAAUCCCGGACUUUGAGACAAGAAUUGGAUACAAGAGAUGAACUAGGGUUUGGAGAUGAGAUGGUGCUGGUGAAGAUGUUGAUGGAGAUUGCCCUCUCCCGAUGAGAGGAACGUUGGUGAUGAAGAUUGUGAUGAUUUCCCCCUCCCGGAGGGAAGUAUCCCCGGCAGAACAGCUCUGCCGGAGCUCUAGAUUGGUUCCGCCAAGGUUCCGCCUCGUGGCGGCGGAGUCUCGUCUCGAAAGGUUCCCUCUGAUUUUUUUCUCAUCAAAAGACUUCAUAUAGCAGAAGAUGGACGUCGAAGACCCACCAGGGGGCCCACAAGGUAGGGGGCACGCCCUAGGAGGGGGGCGCGCCCCCUACCCUCGUGAGCAGGGUGUGGGCCCCCUGGCCUUCAUCUUUGGCGAGGAUUUUUCUUUAUUUAUUUUAAGAUAUUCCGUGGAGUUUCAAGAUUUUUGGAGUUGCGCAGAAUAGGUCUCUAAUAUUUGCUCCUUUUCCAGCCUAGAAUUCCAGCUGCCGACAUUCUCCCUCCUCAUGUAAACCUUGUAAAAUAAGAGAGAAUAGCCAUAAAUAUUGUGACAUAAUGUGAAAUAACAGCCCAUAAUACAAUAAAUAUCGAUAUAAAAGCAUGAUGCAAAAUGGACGUAUCAGCUUGCACCCGUUGUAGAUGGACGUAGAGCCUAUCACACCCGAUCAUCACGUGGUGUCUGGGCACGACGAACUUUGGCAAUGGUGCAUACUCAGGGAGAACACUAUUAUCUUGAAAUUUAGUGAGAGAUCAUCUUAUAAUGCUACUGUCAAUCAAAACAAGAUAAGAUGCAUAAAAGAUAAACAUCACAUGCAAUCAAUAUAAGUGAUAUGAUAUGGCCAUCAUCAUCUUGUGCUUGUGAUCUCCAUCUUCGAAGCACCGUCAUGAUCACCAUCUUCACCUACGCGACACCUUGAUCUCCAUCGUAGCAUCGUUGUCGUCUCGCCAACUUAUGCUUCUACGACUAUCGCUACCGCUUAGUGAUAAAGUAAAGCAUUACAGGGCGUUUGCAUUGCAUACAAUAAAGCGACAACCAUAUGGCUCCUGCCAGUUGCCGAUAACUCGGUUACAAAACAUGAUCAUCUCAUACAAUAAAAUAUAGCAUCAUGCCUUGACCAUAUCACAUCACAACAUGCCCUGCAAAAACAAGUUAGACGUCCUCUACUUUGUUGUUGCAAGUUUUACGUGGCUGCUACGGGUUGAGCAAGAACCGUUCUUACCUACGCAUCAAAACCACAACGAUAGUUCGUUAAGUUAGUGUUGUUUUAACCUUCUCAAGGACCGGGCGUAGCCACACUCGGUUCAACUAAAGUUGGAGAAACUGACAUCCGCCAGCCACCUGUGUGCAAAGCACGUCGGUAGAACCAGUCUCGCGUAAGCGUACGCGUAAUGUCGGUCCGAGCCACUUCAUCCAACAAUACCGCCGAACCAAAAUGUGACAUGUUGGUAAGCAGUAUGACUUGUAUCGCCCACAACUCACUUGUGUUCUACUCGUGCAAAUAACAUCAACGCAUAAAACCUGGCUCGGAUGCCACUGUUGAGAAACGUAGUAAUUUCAAAAAAAUUCCUACGCACACGCAAGAUCAUGGUGAUGCAUAGCAACGAGAGGGAAGAGUGUGUCCACGUACCCUCGUAGACCGAAAGUGGAAGCGUUAGCACAACGCGGUUGAUGUACUCGUACGUCUUCACGAUCCGACCGAUCAAGUACCGAACGCACGACACCUCCGAGUUCAGCACACGUUCAACUUGAUGACGUCCCUCGAACUCCGAUCCAGCUGAGCUUUGAGGGAGAGUUCCGUCAGCACGACGGCGUGGUGACGAUGAUGAUGUUCUACCAACGUAGGGCUUCGCCUAAGCACCUCUACGAUAUGACCGAGGUGGAUAUGGUGGAGGGGGGCACCGCACACGGCUAAGAGAUCCAAGGGAUCAAUUGUUUUGUCUAUGGGGUGCUCCCCUGCCCCCGUAUAUAAAGGAGCAAGGGAGAGGUCGGCCCUAGAGGGGGCGCGCCAAGUGUGGGGAGUCCUACGGGUUCGAGAACUAUGUAGACAUGACCGAGACACGUCUCCGGUCAAUAACCAAUAGCGGAACCUGGAUGCUCAUAUUGGCUCCUACAUAUUCUACGAAGAUCUUUAUCGAUCAGACCGCAUAACAACAUACGCUGUUCCCUUUGUCAUCGGUAUGUUACUUGCCCGAGAUUCGAUCGUCGUUAUCUCAAUACCUAGUUCAAUCUUGUUACCGGCAAGUCUUUUUACUCGUUCCGUAAUACAUCAUCCCGCAACUAACUCAUUAGUUGCAAUGCUUGCAAAGCUUAUAGUGAUGUGCAUUACGGAGUGAACCCAGAGAUACCUCUCCGACAAUCGGAGUGACAAAUCCUAAUCUCGAAAUACGCCAACCCAACAAGUACCUUCAGAGACACCUGUAGAGCACCUUUAUAAUCACCCAGUUACGUUGUGACGUUUGGUAGCACACAAAGUGUUCCUCCGGUAAACGGGAGUUGCAUAAUCUCAUAGUCAUAGGAACAUGUAUAAGUCAUGAAGAAAGCAAUAGCAACAUACUAAACGAUCAAGUGCUAAGCUAACGGAAUGGGUCAAGUCAAUCACAUCAUUCUCCUAAUGAUGUGAUCCCGUUAAUCAAAUGACAACUCUUUAUCUAUGGCUAGGAAACAUAAUCAUCUUUGAUCAACGAGCUAGUCAAGUAGAGGCAUACUAGUGACACUCUGUUUGUCUAUGUAUUCACAUAUGUAUCAUGUUUCCGGUUAAUACAAUUCUAGCAUGAAUAAUAAACAUUUAUCAUGAUAUAAGGAAAUAAAUAAUAACUUUGUUAUUGACUCUAGGGCAUAUUUCCUUCACAAACUCAUGACCUCAAAAACUUGACCAUGUGUUGCUAGCCACUCGAACAAAUAGCUCCUGCUAACCAAGGACCAGCGUGAAUGUUUAAGAACAUAUUACAACAUAUAUACUCAAUUUUUUUGUUCUGCUCUUUUUUGAACUUUCAAAAAUAAAGUAAUAAUUAUGAAUUGCCGAAAGUUCUUUGAAACACGAGCAAUUUUUGAAAUCCAAUUUUUUCAAAAAAUGUGCGCAUUUUUUAGUAGUAUCAUUAUUUUUUGAAAUAAUACGAACAAAACUGGAAACCGGAAGAUUUUCUGAAAUUCAGGACUUUUUUCGAAAACCUCAACCUUUUAUAAAAAAGGAACAUUUUUUGAAUUUGUACACAAUUUUUUAAAACAAAAACAUGUGUUUUAACAUUUUUUGAAAAUAUGUUGUUUCUUCAACACGAACAUUAUUUUGAAUUUGUGAAUAUUCCAAUAAAACAAGAAUAUUUUGCUAAUUGGCGUCAUGUUUGAAAACGCAGUUAUUUUUAAAUCUUGAACAAUUUCGGAAAACUCAAACAAUUUUUUGGCAAAAUGUGAACCCUUUCUGCAUUUUGCACAACUUUUGGAACGAGAAGAAAAAUUAGAAGUUCCGCACAUUUUACAACAUGGGAACAAAAUUUUGAAAUUCUGAAGAUUUUUUGAAAAUUUGAAUAGAAAUGGUAAUUUUGAAAAAAGAAAAAUAAACUUGGAAGGGAAAAAGGGAAAAGGAAAGAGAAAGGUAUAGAAAGAGAAAAAAUAGAAAUAGAACACAGAGAAGAACGAGAACGGGCCGGCACAAUCUUGGGCGCCCUAUACGAAACUAUGACUCAUUGUCGCAUUGUGCGAUAAAUAGGGCUUUGCAGCUGCGUGGGCAGUUAAUAAAUGGGCUGGCUUUGCUGGGCCGCAGCACGCACGGCCCAUGUACGAAAUUCGGGAUGAAAUUGUUUUUUUAGUAGAUGGACGAAGAAAAAUUGAACACCACCUCGAAUAGAAAACAAAAUCUUUUUGAUGGUGAACGGAUGAAAUUAUUUACUAGCACAAAUGUCCGUGCAUUGCAAUGGUAGAGAAAAAUACCGCACUUCCCUAACCCAAUGGCUCAAGACCCUCCUUCUCCUCCCAUGGCCCACCGCCAGAUAUUAUGACAUUAACAAAUUAUUUGUAGUCCUCCACACUGCCAUUAAAUUAUAUGUUGCGCAAAAACAUAAACAUGAAACUAUUUUGUAAGUGUAUGAAAGGUGUGUGCAAUUUAACUCACUGAAAUAUCUUCUUGGUUGCGAGUAUCUCUUCACGUCUUUGUUGGUGUUUCUUACUGAUGCCCAAUAAAUAUCGCAUUAUGCCAAAAAUAUUUAAGUCCAUUUUAGUACAUUGUAUUUGCUUCACUAUGAAGGCAACACAAAUUUCCAUGAACCAUUGUUCGUUAGGUUUACGGACUGAGUACCAUAGCACUAUUCAUGUCUAAUGAUAUUAGGAGUGUUGUACAAAAAUCCUUAAUCCAUGGCUAAUAUAAUAGAGAAAAGUAUGGAGUUUGUGUUGCACACAACAUGGAAUCCGAGUCCGUCUCUUUGUACUUUGGUGACGGGCCAAUGAAAACACAAAACCUGCACCGCGUGCCACUAUGUGCCAUCUUUUGUAUUCAACUCCGACAAACGUCACAAAGAAGAUUACGCUCUUCUCUAGUAACAUUGUGAAAUUAAAGUUGUUUCACUAAAAAUAAAUAUAAAUAUCUAAAUUCUUGUUUGUUUUUGCGGAAAACCUUUGUCAAACUUGCAAUAGUUGUUAGGUUUUCUUGCUUUUUGUGAGUUAAUUUUACUUGUGUCAGGUGUGUAGAUGAUCUGAAAACUACGACUCCUAGCUAUUCAGCAUGGAUGGUGAGCUAUCUAAAAAACAAAGGAAACUACGACUCUAUGACAUGAAGAUAUAGAAAAAAAACUUAAUUCAAGUGGAUGAUGGAAACCUUUAACCAUUUUUCAUUAGGAGAAAAAAUGACGUGUAUAUAUUAUUAGAUAGAAGCAUUGGCCCUUAUGUUAUAAAUCAAUCAUUACAUGCGAGUAUACAAUCCCAUUUGAACGUUCACAUUUGAGAAAUCUGUUGUUUUAAAGCAACAAUCAAGUACCUAUUUUUAACUGCGGCUCUCUUUUUCAUUAUAAUUCUCAAAAAAAAUUGCACAUGUGAACAUUCUUUAUCAUGAUUUAAACAAUAUAAUUCGCAGGUGUUAAACAAUCCCAACAUAAUUUGCUCUUGAGUAAAUUUGACGUCAACAUUCCACUUGCCUGACACCAUGUGUAGCUUGUUGUUUUGCACAAAUCCUCGAGCUAUUUGCAUUCAUGGAAGGGGUAAACAAUGCGCGGGCGGGUAAUAAUAAUAUACACACGCGGGCUCUUUAUUUUUCCCUCUAUCCUUCUUAUACUGGGACGGUUUCCCACUUUCCUUAUUUUCUGUGUCAAACUUUAAAAAUCCCUCCUUUCCUUCUCUAUGCAUUUUCCUUCCUCAUUAUUACGGGAUGGCUUCCCGCUUUCCAAUUUUUUCUCUACCAAAAACCUGGAAUCCCUCCUUUCCUUCUUUAUUUUUUCACAUUCAAUUCCGACUCCCUCCUUUCCUUCUUUAUUUUUGGACAUUAAAUUAAAAUCUAAAAUCCCUCCUUUCCUUCUGUAUUCAUUUUCCUUCCCCCUCCUUUCCUUCUUUAUUUUCUUUCUUUCCUUCCUUAUUACGGGACGACUUUCCCCUUUACCCAGGUGGCUCGCUGAUGUUUAAGCAAUUUAUGUACGUAUAUAAAUUGCUUAGUUUUCGUGUAUAGAACCGAUGUGGUACUAAUCAAUUCCAUGACGAACCAACUCUAUGACACAAGUAUUAUCUAGCUCGUGUGGUAGCAGCCCUAGAGAUCUCUCGUGAGAUAAUGAGUUCGAAACCUGAUGCCUAUUAGUUAGUUUUUGUUCGGCCCACACAACAUUUUUCUCCACUGAACCAGCUGCGUGCGGCCCAAGAUGACGUAUAAACGAAAAAAGGCCCAUGAGAACGGACGUGACGUGCGGCCCAAGAUGACGUACAAACGAAAAAAAGGCCCAUGAGAACGGACGUGAAUAAAAUCACACAGACAGAAACUAUUAGUACCAACGAAAAAAGGCCCAUGAGAACGGACGUGACGUGCGGCCAAAGAUGACGUACAAACGAAAAAAAGGCCCAUGAGAACGGACGUGAAUAAAAUCACACAGACAGAAACUAUUAGUACCAACGAAAAAAGGCCCAUGAGAACAGACGUGACGUGCGGCCAAAGAUGACGUACAAACGAAAAAAAGGCCCAUGAGAACGGACGUGAAUAAAAUCACACAGACAGAAACUAUUAGUACCACCUUGGAUAGUUGAAAACUUAAAAGUAUAAUUAAUAAUAUGGGUGAACGGAUGAAAAAAAUUGAAGAAACACACCUUGCUUUAUUAGUAGGUAUAGACUAGGAAAAUUGCCCGUGCGUUGCAACGGAAAAUACACCAAAAACACAAGGAAAACUACUAAAAAAAUGCAUGGAAAACCCCCAGAAAAGCGUUAUGUAUGUUUUUGACAUUCUCACUGUGUCCUACUCCUCUACCCAAUGAUUCGGCCUAGGGGAGCACGCGAAAGUAUUUACGCAAGGCAGGUGUCCUUGGUGAAUCCUACCAACGUGAGCAUCUGGUCUAGGGCGUUCACCCUCUUCGGUUAGUCGAGGCCAACAAGACAACAAACGGUUCCAAGAUAUAAAGCAUUAGGAACAUGGAGCAUGUGCUACAAUUAAACAAAUGGACAACAUGGCACGGCAGCAUCAGAAGAUGUCAAGGAGGCCACGUCUUCCUCAACUCUGACCGCCAUCUAUCAAAAUUUUGUUUUCAUAUACUAUGAAAGAUAGGUGAAAAAAUGACAUGAUUUUGGAACCUAAUCCUGAAAUAUGAGCUCACAAGUGGAGAUGAAGGGUGGUAGGAACAAUCUCGAAGAGACUUCAUCAAGAGAAAACAAUGUUGGUCCUUCACAAAGUAGAAAGAAUUGGUAGACAUUGAUCUUGUAAAACUCGAGACAUACACCUAAUAUUUGGGUAGCAACAAAAGAUGAACAUUAUUAGAGGUGAGGCCAAGUAUAGCAACAAUGGGAGGAUAAAAAAAGCACGACAAAAUAUUGUUCUCUAAGUUGAAUGCAGUAACCAUCAGUUUUACAAAAUAUGCGCCUAGCCUUGAGCUUUGCACUAAAGAAUUAAUUCAAGUUGUAUACAACUAUAGUGUUUAUAUGCACCUGCAACUUGAUUGGUCUUCAUCAUAGAACACAAUCUUUGAUAAGUGAUUAUAACUAUCUCACACUAAAGUGAAUUAAUGAAGCUAGGUACUCAACUCAGGGAAUUGUCAGGUCUGUACAUAUGCGUGUCUCCAUGAACAUGAUCUUGGUCUCUUGUGCAUGCUUGAUGGUAAAGUAACCUGCAAAAAGCAUCAUCCAGCAUUAACUCGAACAGAUUAGUUCAAGUUCUUCAUUUGCUCUCUCACCAGGAAUACAUAAUAGAUAUCACUUUUUACAUUUAGCAUAAUCUGGUGAACAAUGUCACUUUUUACUUUUUACAUUUAGCAUAAUAGAUAUCACCUUUUACAUUUGCUCUCUCAAACAUUUUUUUGGCAAAAUGUGAACAUUUUCUGUAUUUUGCCCAAAUUUUGGAACGAGAAGAAAAAUUAGAAGUUCCCCACAUUUUACAACAUGGGAACAAAAUUUUGAAAUUCUGAAGAUUUUUUGAAAAUUUGAAUAAAAAUGGUAAUUUUGAAAAAAAUUUGAAAAAAGAAAAAUAAACUUGGAAGGGAAAAAGGGAAAAGGAAAGAGAAAGGUAAAGAAAGAGAAAAAUAGAAAUAGAACACAGAGAAGAACGAGAACGGGCCGGCAUAAUCUUGGGCGCCCUAUACGAAACUCUGACUCUUUGUCGCAUUGUGCGAAAAAUAGGGCUUUGCAGCUGCGUGAGCAAGAAAUAAAUGGGCUGGCUUUGUUGGGCCGCAGCACGCACGGCUCAUGUACGAAAUUCGGGAUGAAAUUGUUUUUUUUAGUAGAUGGACGAAGAAAAAUUGAACACCACCUUUAAUAGAAAACAAAAUCUUUUUGAUGGUGAACGGAUGAAAAAUUUAAAAAACACACCUUCCUUUAUUAUUUACUAGGAAAUAUGCCCGUGCGUUGCAACGGGAGGAAAGUAAUAUCUCAGCAUUCCUCAUAUCGCCGCAAACUUCUUCCACAUCCUCUAUGUGAACACAACGCCCGAUCUAUAUUGUCGCAUAUAUCCUCCUUCCAGCCAUCGCCGGCCCGCGAGAUCUUGAUAGUGGUGGCGUUGGUCGGGGUGGUGGCGACCAUCCAACUGGUGCCUUUUUUCCUCCGGAUCCGCCUCCGUCUCGGAGUUGUGGUUGCGUCCUCAUUUGGUUGCUACACGGCGACCUUCGAGGCACAAUUGCUUCGACCACUCUCUUCUACAACGAUGUAACCGGAUGGAUUACUAAUUGCAGCGCAUAAAUUUUAUUUGAUUGGCAUAAUUAGGGCAUAACCAGGAAUGAAAGUUCUCUUCAUUAUCAGGGUUAUUCUCUUCGACUAUUUUUGCGCUCAUGUGCCCACAAAUUUAAUUAAUUGCAGCAAAACCAGCAUAUUCUCUUUUAUUAGCACAUGCCCACAAUUUUUUCAAUUAUAGGCUGUAGCCAACCAACAUAUUGUCUUUUAUUAUUUUGAAAUUUGUAAAAAAUGAAUUGCCGAAUAUUCAUGUAAAAGUGAAUUUUUUUGAAUAUCAUUUUUUUUAAAUAUUCCUUCCAUUUAAAAAAACAUGAACAAAAUUUGAAACGACGUCAUUUUCUGAAGACAUGAACUUUUUAUGAAAACACAAACAUUUUUUGAAGCUAUGUCCGACUUUUGAAAAUGGAACAUGUUUUCAAAGUUCAGAUUUUUUUUACAAAAUGUGUUUUUAAAUGCGGGCAUUAUUUUCAAUUUGUGAACAUUUACUAAAACAAGAAUAUUUUUUCGAAUUUGGAAUAUGCUUAAAAUGCAUUUUUUGAAAAUCCUAAACAAUUUUGUAAAACAAAAACAUUUUUUGGAAAAAAAUCAAAUAUGUUCUGAAUUUCGAAAAAAAAUCUGAACGAGAAUCUUUCUUCCCACACAUUUGUAAAAACGGGAACACAAUAUUGUAAUGCUGAACAUUUUUUGAAUUUUUAUUACAGAAAACUGAACUUUUUUAUGAACUUUUUUAAUUAUGAAAUAAGGUAAAAAUAAAAAAUAGAUGGAAGGAAAGCAAAACGGGCCGACGCAGUUUUGGGCGCCCUGGGCGAAGCUCUGACUAUCUGCCGCACUGUGCGUCAAAUAGUCUUUUUGCGGCUUCAUAAGCAGGCAAAUAAGUGGGCUGGUUUUGCUGGCCACAGCAUGUGCGGCCCUAGUACGAAAAUCUGGAUUGCUAAAAUAAAAAAAUAGACAGAUGCACAAAAUUUUAGUACCACCUCGGAUAGAACAAUAAAUUUCAACAGGAACAGAUGAAAAAGUGGGAGAAACGCAUCUUGCUUUAUUAGUAGGUAUAGACUAGGAAAAUUGCCCGUUCGUUGCAACGGAAGAAAAGAAAAUUUCCACACGCUCCAAGUGACCUAUCCAUGUUACCAAUCUCUUCACCACCAUGGUCACAUUGUCCACCUCACGACAAACAUGACAAUCUCUAGCCAAUGAGCUUGGUCAUCCCACUCUAGCACGCUGCUUUCGAAAGACCUUAUGGUGUGUCACAAUGGAAAAAAUUAUUGCCAUACCCAGCCUCCGUCUUAAAAAACAGAAUACAUCUAAACUGAUAAAUAUCUACCUAAUUUUUUCUGUUACAGUGAAAAAUGCAAAUUAUGCCAGCUAUGGUUGAAUCGAAAAAUAAUAGUAUAAUUAUUCUAAACUGAUAAAUACAUCUAAUUUUUUUUGAUUAGCUGUUACCACUGAGACAUAAAGUUUGGAAUUGAAACACGUAUUUUUUAUGAUAAUUUUCUAGAAUUGAUACACAUAUCGUUCAGUAAAUCCAAAUAUUCAGAGUGAUGGUGGAAACAAGCAAAAUAAAAUAAAAGCAUUCUUUAUAAGAAAACUACAUAAAAUAUCAUAUGGCCCUAGCCCAAUAAUAACACUUAAAAUCAAGUGAAACAUCUAUUCAAUUCUCUUCUAAAAAUGAAGGAUGUAAAUAUAGAAAAAACAAAUCAGUGAGAAAAACAACAUAGAUCAUUUAAUCAAUCAGUUUUUUCGUGCAUGUCUUUCUCAUACCGCAACUGUUAUAGUUAAACAUAUUCAAUGAUUUAAUACACAUUAGAGGAAAAUAAACCACAUAGCUAGUACGGCCACUUUAGUGCACUUCAUUUGAAAGAGUCAAGCACGAAUCAAAAUAAUGCAUAGAUCUACCUAAGAAAGCAACAAUUUGCACCCGAUAAAUAAUAAAGAACAAAAUAAAAUAUGGCAGCUACGAAUUUUGAAGAACAUACAUAAACAUGGAUGUGGACAUGCCUCCAAUCCUUGCAGCAGUCACGAAAUCGCCUAUCUCGUAAAGACUGUCAAAUAACGGCAGUGGUACUUACCGGCCAAACGGUCGCCUUUUGAAUCGUUCCAUCACGUGGCUGGGCCAAAGUUUUUUCCAUUCCUCAUCCCUUGUUAUUCUCGCUUACUGAUUCCCGAGACGCUUCCUUGAUACCUAGGAACUUGAAAGAGAUAUAUAAAUUGAAAGGAUUGAAUAUAAGAAAGCAAGAUGGGACUAUUUAUUAAUUAAUUUGAGGCCAGAUAAUCAAUGAAAUGCGACUGUGUUGUUAAACGGGCUGAGGCCAGGUGGUCGAUUAGUUCGGCCGACCUCGUUGUAGUGGACGAUAUUAAGUACCUAACUUGCCCCUGAAAAAAGUACCUAACUCGCAUCGCACGACUUUUGGACCUUAUUUCCGCAUGUCCACUCUUGUAUCAAAAGGAGUUUUGCGUUGUAUUUAAACACACACAGCAGCUCAGCUGAGCUGGUUGGCGCCACGAGUAUCAACCCAACAUUCCAGAAAUCGAAUCCCACGCCAGAUCCAAGAGAGACACACGGUUGAUUAUUCCAUGGAAUUAAGCUUUGAUUAACUGAUCAGGCAUGUGAUUGUGAUCUAUACAUUAAUUAAUAUCUUUUUUCCUUAAAAACAGACACAACUUGCAACAGAUCGGAGAUCGCGGUACAUAGCAAGGCCAGCGAUGACGGACGAAAAAAUUGAUGGUCCCACUAUGGAAAAAAGAACUGGAGAAACAAACCUCCCUUUAAUAUUAGGUAAAGAUUAGUAAAAGUAAUUAGUAGUAAUAUAAUAAGGGGUAUAGAUAUAGAUAUAGAUGAAAAUAUAAUGAGCAUGUAAGGUGCAUCAUGGCCUCCAAGGAGCAAGAUCGGAGAGACACACGGUUGAUUAUUCGAUGGAAUUAAGCUCUGAUUAACUGAUCAGGCAUGUGAUUGUGAUCUGUACAUUAACUAAUACCCUUUUCCCUUAAAAAAAGACACAGCUAGUAACAGAUCGGAGAUCGCCGUACGUAGCAAGGCCUGCAAUGCCGGACGAAAAAAUUGAUGGUCCCACUAUGGACAAAAAAAGUGAAGAAACAAUCCUUCCUUUAAUAUUAGGUAAAGAUUAAUAAAAGUAAUUAAUAGUAAUAUAAUAAGGGGUGUAGAUAUAGAUAUCUAUAUCUAUAUCUAUACCUAAUAAUAAAGCAAGGUGUGUUUCUUCAAUUUUUCAUCCGUUCACCACCGAAAAGGUUUUUGUUCUAUCCAAGGUGGUACUAAAUUUUUGUGCGUCCAUCUAUUAAAAAAGAAAAACAGUUUUGUUCCGAAAUUUGUACGUGGGCUGCGCAUGCUUUGGCCCAGGAAAGCAUGCCCGUUUGUUUCCUGCCUGUUCAUCUAAAUAACCAUUAUUACCACACAGGGCGGCAAAUAGUCGAAAUUUCGCACAUGCCGCAAAAAUUGGGUCCCCCAGUUUCCGUUUUUUCUCUAUUCUAUUUCUAUUUUUAUUUUCCUUAUUUUCCAUUUAUCCUUCUUUUUUAUUUUUUUCUUUCCAUGUUCAUUUUAAUUUUUUAUUUUUUCAUAAAUUCUAUUUUUCAUUUUUUCAGAAUUUCAUUUUUUAUAAUUUCGUAAAAUAAGAAGAAUUCAAAAUGUUGAUCCAAUUUUGAAAUAUGUUUGGAUCUUUAAUUUUUUUAUACUCAUUCCAUUUUUUCCAAAACUAAAAAAAUGUUCGAAUUUUUAAAAAAGUGUUUAGUUAUUCCAAAAUUGUUUGAGAUUUUCAAAAUGAAUUGUGUUUUAGAAAAUGAUACAAAUUCGAAAAAUAUUCAUCUUUAUUGAAGUGUUCACAAAUUUAAAGUAUUAUUUGUGUUUGAAAAGCACGUUUAAAAAAUUGUUUUCAAUGUUCAAAACAUGUUUCCAUUUUCACAAAUAGAAAAAAAUUGUUUUCUUAAAAAGAGGUUCAUGUUUACAAAACAUGUUUGUGAAUUAAAAAAACAUUUCAAGUUUUGUUCAUAUUUUUCCAAAUUUAAUGAAUUUUUCAAAAACAAUGCUCGCAUUUUUUAGAAAAGAAUCGGGAUUUAAAAAAUUGUUCAUAUUUCGAAGAAUAAUCAGAAUUUCAUAAUUAUUACUUUAGUUUUUGAAAAUCUCAAAAAGGAUAAAACAAUGAAAAAAUUGUUCGAAUGUUACGCUACAUUAUGUUCUUAAACAUUCGUUUUGGCCAUUUCUGUUUGUUCGAAUGGCUAUCAGCAUGUGUUCGAGAUAUUGAGGUCAUGAGUAUAAUAUUUCAACUCAACGGUUGUUUUGGAUUUUUGUUCAUGUCUUACAAACACACGUCGUUUUGGUAACUGCGAGUGGCCUAACCCAGACGCGAACUGUUGUGCAUUCCACUUGUCAUUCGAUGAUAAAAGAGAAUAUGUUGGUUGGCUAUAAUUAAAAGAAAUUGUAGGCACAUGCCAAUAAGAGGAUAUGUUAGUUUGGCCCCGAUUAAAAAAAUAUAGGCAAAUAAGCGCUAAAAUAUUAAAAAAAAACCCUAGUAAAGCAGAGACUACCUGGUUAUGCGCUGAUUAUGGCAAUGAAAUGGGAUUCACUAAAUUAGUAAUCCAUCUGGUUACGCCAUCGCAGGAGAGUGUGGUCGAAAGAACUAUGCCCCGAAGGUCACCGUGCAGUCACAAAAUGAGGAGGCAACCAUAACCUAAACACGGAGGCGAACCCGGAGGGAAAAAAAGGCGCGAGUUGAGUGGUGCCCACCACACCGACCAACCCCACCACUAUGAAGAUCUCGUGGGCCAAACAUGACCCCUGGGAAUACCACAAUUCCUCACUCUGUCACCCCACUGUUGCAGAGACCAUUUUGAUGCACACAUCAAUUACCUCUCUCGAUGCUUCUUCCAAAAAAAAUCUCCCGUUGCAAUGCACGGGCAUAUGUGCUAGUAGAUAAAAAUACAACGAGCAUGUCAGGUGCAUCAUGGCAUCCAAGGAGCAAGAUCCAAAAGAGACACACCGUUGAUUAUUCCACGGAAUUAAGCUUUGAUUAACUGAUUAGGCAUAUGGUUGUGAUCUAUACAUUAAUUAAUAAACAAAACGGAGGGGUUACAUGCGUGUUGCAUGCAGGUAGGCGUCGUUUUCCCUGUGAAAUCGGCACUGGCCAACAUCGCUUGUUCUCUAGCGUGUGUUUAUAUAUGCAUUCAAAGUAAUGCCACCACUGAGAUUUUUGUGGCUGACCAGCUCUCCAUAUCAAUCGAAUAUUGUGUACACGCCUACAGCUUAAUAAACAAUAUACUAUAUAGGUCCACCGUGCAGGGUGGCAACUGGCAACCAUCAUUUGUUCUCUGGCUCGUGUUUUCUAGGACAUGCAUCAAAGGAAAGGUCGCCAUUGUGAUCGUUGUCGAGAUUUGUGGCCAGUGGCCGACAGUCCAUGGAAUAUCCCGCCUACAUCUUCAACAAAUCAUAUAGGGUUUAAUCACCUCAUUGGUGGUUGAGUGUGGGCCUACCAUGAUAGCUCUUUCUAGUUGGUGCCAUUUCACUCUCGGUCUACAUGGACACAGGUAUCUGGCAAAAAAAAAAUCUGGCAAAAAAAAACAUGGACACAGGUAUUUCUGAAAAAACUUGAAAAAGAAACUUUGGAAGCGCCAAAACAAAUAUGGGCAUAUUUAUUUACUGAUUUGCUAGUUCUCAUCUAGACUACAAUUUACUAAUUUGCAUGUUUUUUUUGUGGGUGACCUAGACGAGAACUAAAUCUUGCCUAGCUCCUGCGUCAUCUGAUUUUAUGAGGAGAUUCAUAUGUAUUUUUUCAUUUUGUUUUUUUAUUUGAUUGAUUUAUGUAUUUCAUUACUUUUGUGGGUUUUCAUUUUGUCUCUUUUUAUGCCCUGCGCAACUGCAGUUGCACGUUCGCCGUGUGCAACUAUAGUUACGUAUUUUCUAAAAGAUAAGUACAAUAAAGAAGUGCACACCUAGCCGCCGCCUUCAAGAACCCUAGCUUUCCGCCUCCCACCGGCGCCGGCGCUGGUCCAUCCCGUCUCCGGUGGCCCUAUGGCCAUGGAGGCGGAGUGGAUCUCGGCCCUUGCCGGUGGGAGGGCUCCUUUUUUAGAUCUUUUUUCGAGUUUUGUUAGGGUUUUGUGUCCUGCUAAGGAAGGCGAGACGGUGGCGGCUCCCUGAAGAUGGAAUAAAGGUCUCCACGCCUAGCCCCCGUGUCGGUGAUGCGUCUUGCAUCGUCGGUGGGCGUGUGGAGUUGUGUCUCCGGCGGAUCUGUCUUUGGUGGAUUUGCUCGGAUCUGUUCGUCCUUCGUCUUCGUUCGUGUGUUUGUUGUUCUGGUUGGAUCCUUUUGAUCUACACUCUUCAUCCGCGGCGGUUGUUGUUCUGGUGCGUUGGUUCUACGAGGCCUUAGCACGACGACUUUCUGACUGUCUACUACAACAAGGUUUGCCCGGCUCCGGCGAGGGAGGGGCGAUGACAGCGGCACGCCUUCGGCUCGCUUCAGUGCUUGUAGUCGGCGCUAGGUGGUCUACGAAUCUGGAUGUAAUUUUUACUAUUUCUAGUGUUCGUUGUACUACCAUGAUUGAAGAUGAAUAGAUUGGAAUUUUUUUCCUGCAAAAAAAUAAAAUAAAAAAUAAAAGGAGGAAACAAUAAAACUGAAAGAAGGGAAAAGGGGAAAAGGAAACAACAAAACAUCCUAUGCUGAGGUCAUUUGUGGUGAGAUUUACAUAAAUCUCAUCUAGAUGAGAGCUACUUGCACCCUAUUAUAUACUCCCUUCAAUUCCAUAUUAUAAUGUACAUCAAUGUUCAUGAAAAAUAAAACGUAUGUAUGUUUUGACAAGAAUUGUAGCAUAAAUAUCAACAUCCACAAUAUAAAAUAAAUAAAAUAUGAAAAUAAUGUUCAUGAUGGAUUCAAUGGUACAAAUUUGGUAAAAUAGAUGUUAAUAUUAUUCAUUCUAAACUCUGUCAAACAUGCAUAAGUUUGACUUUCAAAAAAAAUACACCUAUUUUGGAACGAAGGGGCUGCUGAUUUGGAAACUUUUGAAAUGAAAAGACAUAUUUUCACCGUCCUUGGUCUCGGCUUAGGGUGCUGCAUCUUGAGAACCACAAAGAACUCAUUAUUUUCAUCGAGUGCCUCCGUCGAGGGCAAUGUUUUGGAUCCUGGAUGAAAAAAAGUCACGUGGGGCAUCAAGAUUUUCGUUUACCACAAUAACGAAAAAAUACUAGGUAGUUACCAUGCAAAUUUUUAAUGAAUUUUGAAAUGCUAGAAAAUUCGUCAGAAUUUUUUUCAAAAUUGAUUUGAAUUCAAAAGUUUGGAAUCUUUUGCUUCAAAAUGCGAUUUCUCGUGGGGUACCAGGAUCUGCGGUUACUGCCCAUUAACCGAUUUUUUUUCUCGGUACCGAAAACCUUCAUCAAGGGCCCUUGCGCCUGAGCACGAUCGAUUUGGCUCUCGGGCUGCAUAGAGCUUGACAUUUGUUUAAAAAAUCCAGAUUUCAAAGAUCUAAAGAAAGUUUAUAUGCAUAUGCAUCCUUGGAAGUUUCAAAAAAAUUCCCAAAAAGGGGAGCAUAUUCAGAACCUCUCAUAACGUUUCCCUAUCAAAGGGAAAGAUUAGGAUUCUAGAAACAUGUCUUCUGAACAUUCAAAAUAAAAGUUUUUCAAAGAUAGAAAUGAGAGCAUGGGAGUACAUAAUAUAUGAGAGCACCUAAUAUUCUUCGAUUAGUUCAUGUACACAUUAAAUCUUGCCCUCUCUCCUAAUUUAUUCUAUGGCGCCUCAUAAAAAUUUUAAGCUGUAAAAUGUACAUACCAGCAACUAUGCAACGACGGUUGAAUACACACUUAGAGCAUCUCUGACAGAUAAUGCAAAAUAAGCCAAGUGCCCCAAAACUAUCUUUUAGGGCAUUUGGACCCAAACAACAGUGCUCCGGUAGAUUCCCUAUCUCUAUAUUGUGCUGCAAAAAAAAUUAGGGCACCCCAUGUUUUACCACCAAGUGUUGCAACUAUACAGCAGCCGCACCGCUGCCGCAAAAGAAAAUUUGUGCCUGCCACUUGUGAACUGAGUUGGGAUUUCCCUGAAGAGGUGAGGAUGAUGCAGUAUAGUAGAGAUAAGUAAUUCCCUUAGUUAAGAACCGAGGUUAUCAAUCAGUAGGAGAACCAAACAACACCUCGUUAACAACACCUGCUCACAAACAACAAAUCCUUGCAACCCAACGCGAACAAGGGGUUGUCGAUCCCUCGAUGGUUACAGGUGAGAUUAAAUUAUGUGGUGUUUGAUAGAUAGAUCAAACAAAAAUAAAAUAAAUAAAGUAAAAACACAGCAAGAUAUUUUAGGAUUUUUAUAUAUCAUAAAAGAUAUACUCGGGGGCCAUGGUUUUCACUAGAGGCUUCUCUCUUGAAAAUGGCAUACGGUGGGUAAACAAAUUACUGUGAGGCAAUUGAUAGAAAAACAAAUAAUUAUGACAAUAUCCAAGGCAAUGAUCAUAUAUAGGCAUCAUGUCCGAGACAAGUAGACCGAAACGAUUCUGCAUCUACUACUAUUAUUCCACAUCCAGUAUGCAUCUAGAGUAGUAAGUUCAUAAAGAACGGAGUAACGCCUUAAGCAAGAUGACAUGAUGUAGACAAGAUAAACUCACAUAUGAAUAAACAUCUUUUUACCCUUAAUAGCAAAGAUCCAUACAUGUCAUGCCCCCUUCUAUCACUGGGAUUGAGCACUUCAAGAUCGAACCCAUUACAAAGCACCUCUUCCCAUUGCAAGAUAAAUCAAUCUAGUUUGUCAAACCAAAUCAGUAGAUUGGAGAAGAAAUACGAAGCUAUAGUAAUCAUGCAUAAAGAGAUCAGAGAAAACUCAAAUAAUAUUCAUGGAUAGAUCUGAUCAUAAACGUACAAUUCAUCGGAUCCCAACAGACACACAUCAAAAAAGAAUUACAUUGGGUAGAACUCCAAGAACAUCAAGGAGAACAUUGUAUUCAAAAAUAUCGAGAGAGAGAGAGAGAGAAGAAGCCAUCUAGCUACUAGAUAUGGACCCGUAGGUCUGUGGUAAACUACUCACGCAUCAUAGGAAGGGCAACAAGGUUUAUGUAGAGCCCCUCCGUGAUUGAUUCCCCCUCCGGCGGAGUACCGGAAAAGGUCCCCAGAUGGGAUCUCUAGAGAAUAGAGAAUUUAUAAAGGCUGAGUUAGGUCUACUACUUCUUGAUCUUGCGUUGUUUUUUCCCUUGAAGAGGAAAGGAUGAUGCAGCAAAGUAGAGAUAAGUAUUUCCCUCAGUAGAGAACCAAGGUAUCAAUCCAGUAGGAGGUACAAGCAAGUCUCCAAUCUAUUCACCUGCACAAACAAUCAAACACUUGCACCCAAUGCGAUAAAGGGGUUGUCAAUCCCUUGACGGAUAAUUGUGAUGGUGAGAUCUGAUAGAGAUAUAUAUAUAAAAGAUUACUAAAAACAAAAUAAAAACAAAUAAAUUGCAGCAAGGUAUUUUUGGGUUUUUGGGUUUAUAGAUCUGAGAAUAUACGAUGGAAAAUAGACCCGGGGGCCAUAGGUUUCACUAGAGGCUUCUCUCUUGAAAGAAAAUAUCAUGGUGGGUGAACAAAUUACUGUCGAGCAAUUGAUAUAAAAUCACAAAUUUAUGACGAUAUCCAAGGAAAUGAUUAUGAAUAUAGGCAUGACAUCUGUGUCAACUAGACCGACUCCUGCCUGCAUCUACUACUAUUACUCCACACAUCGAUCGCUAUCCAGCAUGCAUCUAGAGUAUUAAGUUCAUAAGAACAGAGUAACGCCUUAAGUAAGGUGACAUGAUCUAGAGGGAUAAAAUCAAGCAAUAUGAUGAAAACCCCAUCUUUUUACCCUUGAUGGCAACAAUACAAUACGUGCCUCGCUACCGCUACUAUGUCACUGGGUGAGGACACCGCAAGAUUGAAACCAAAACUAAGCACCUCUCCCAUUGCAAGAAAUACCAAUCUAGUUGGCCAAACCCACCGAUAAUUCGAAGAGAAAUACAAAGAUAUCAAAUCAUGCAUAUAAGAAUUCAGAGAAGAUUCAAAUAAUAUUCAUAGAUAAGAUGAUCAUAAAUACACAAUUCAACGGAUAUCGACAAACACACCGCAAAAAAGUAUUACAUCGGAUAGAUCUCCAAGAACAUCGAGGAGAACUUUGUAUUGAAGAUAAAAGAGAGAGAAGAAGCCAUCUAUCUACUAGAUAUGGACCCAUAGGUCUAUGGUAAGCUACUGACACAUCAUCGGAGAGGCAAUAGGGUUGAUGUAGAUUCCCUCCAUGAUCGAAUCCCCCUCUGGCAGACGGUCGGAGAAGGCCCCAAGAUGGGAUCUCACGGGAACAAAGGCUUGCGGUAGCAAAAAAGUAUUUUGGUGUACGCUUCUGGUCGUUUGGGAAUAUUUGGGAAUUUAUAGGCGAAGAAUUAGGGUUCGAGGAGCCUCAGGUCACCCACAAGCCAGGGGGUGCCCCUUUAGGGCGCGCCCCUAAGGCUUGCCGCUGCCUCGGGACUCCUCUAACUUCAUCUCCAAGUCCUACGUGUGUCUUCUGGUCCAAGUAAAAUCAUUGCGAAAGUUUUAUUCCGUUUGGACUCCGUUUGAUAUUCCUUUUCUGAAAACUCAAAAACAAGGAAAAAAAACAGAAACUGGCACUGGGCUCUAGCUUAAUAGGAAAACAUCCAAAAUAGAUAAUAUAAUAGCAUGGAACAAUAAAAAAUUAUAGAUACGUUGGAGACGUAUCAAGCAUCCCUAAGCCUAAUUCCUGCUCGUCCUCGAGUAAGUAAAUGAGAAAACACAGUUUUUUAUGUGGAAUGCUACCUAACAUAUUUAUCCAUGUAAUAUUCUUUAUUGUGGCAUGAAUGUUCAGAUCCAUAAGAUUCAAAGAAAAAGUUUAAUAUUGACAUAAAACAACAAUACUUCAAGCAUACUAAUAAAGAAACAUGUCUUCUCAAAAUAACAUGGCCAAAGAAAGCUAUCCCUACAAAUUCAUAUGGUCUAGAUAUGCUCCAUCUUCACCGCACAAAAAUAUUUCAAUCAUGCACAACCCCUGAGUCAGCCAAGCAAUUGUUUCAUACUUUAGUGUUCUCAAACUUUUUCAACUUUCACGCAAUACAUGAGCGUGAGCCAUGGAUAUAACACUAUCGAUGGAAUAGAAUAUGGUGGUUUGUGGAGAAGACAAAAAGAAUGAGAUAGUCUCCCAUCAACUAGGCGUAUCAACGGGCCAUGGAGAUGCCCAUCAAUAGAUAUCAAUGUAAGUGAGUAGGGAUUUCCAUGCAAUGGAUGCACUAGAGCUAUAAGUAUAUGAAAGCUCAAAAAGAAACUAAGUGGGUGUGCAUCCAACUUGCUUGCUCACGAAGACCUAGGGCAAUUUUGAGGAAGCCCAUCAUUGGAAUAUACAAGCCAAGUUCUAUAAUGAAAAAUUCCCACUAGUAUAUGAAAGUGACAAAAUAGGAGACUCUCUAUCAUGAAGAUCAUGGUGCUACUUUGAAGCACAAGUGUGGAAAAAGGAUAGUAGCAUUGCCCCUUCUCUCUUUUCUCUCAUUUUUUUAUUUUGGGCUCUUUGGCCUCUUUUUUUCCUACUUUUUUACAUCCAGAGUCUCAUCCCGACUUGUGGGGGAAUCAUAUUCUCCGUCAUCCUUUCCUCACUUGGGACAAUGCUCUAAUAAUGAUGAUCAUCACACUUUUAUUUACUUUACAACUCAAGAAUUACAACUUGAUACUAGAACAAAUAUAGGUGUACCGGGAUGUGCAAUGACUCAAGAGUGACAUGUAUGACAAAUAUGAAUGUUGGCUUUGCCACAAAUAUGAUGUCAACUACAUGAUCAUGCAAAGCAAUAUGACAAUGAUGAAGCGUGUCCUAAUAAAUUGAACCGUGGAAGUUGCAUGGCAAUAUAUCUCGAAAUGGCUAUGGAAAUGCUAUAAUAGGUAGGUAUGGUGGCUAUUUUGAGGAAGGUAUAUGAUGGGUGUAAUGCACGGGCGAGAGUUGUGCGGUACUAGAUAGACUAGCAAUGGUGGAAGGGUGAGAGUGCGUAUAAUCCAUGGACUCAGCAUUAAUCAUAAAGAACUCACAUACUUAUUGCAAAAGUCUAGAAGCUAUUGAAAUAAAGUACUACAUGCAUGCCCCUAGGGGAACGGUUGGUAGGAGUUAACCAUCGCGCGAUCCCAACCUCAACACAAAAGAUGGCAAUCAAAAAAAUAAAUCAUGCUCCGACUUCAUCACAUAGUGGUUCACCUUAUGUGCAUGCUACGGGAAUCACAAACUUUAACACAAGUAUUUCUACCAAUCCAUAAUUACUCAUUAGCAUGUCUCUAAUAUCACCAUCUUUAUAUCUCAAAACAAUAUGCAAGGAAUCAAACUUCUCAUAUUAUUCAAUGCACUUUAUAUGAAAGUUUUUAUUAUAUCCCUCUUGGAUGCCCAUCAUGUACUAAAUUCAUAACCUAAGCAAAUUACCAUGUUGUUUAAGACUCUCAAAAUAAUAUAAGUGAAGCAUGAGAGUUCAAAAAUUUCUAUAAAAUAAAGCCACCGCCGUGCUCUAAAAAGAUAUAAGUGAAGCACUAGAGCAUAUUGCCUAGCUCAAAAGAUAAAAGUGAAGCACAUAGAGUAUUCUAAUAAAUUCACGAUUAAUGCAUGUCCCUCUCAAAAGGUGUUUACAGAAAGGAUAAUUGUGGCAAACUAAAAAUCAAAGACUCAUAUCAUACAAGAUGCUCGAAGCAAAACACAUAUCAUGUGGUGAAUGAAAAUAUAGCCCCAAGUAAAUUUUUAUAUGGAUUGAACACGAAAGAGGGGAUGCCAUCCGGUGCAUCCCCAAGCUUAGAUGAUUGAUUGUCCUUGAAUGUUACCUUGGGGUGCCUUGGGCGUCCCCAAGCUUAGGCUCUUGCCACUCCUUAUUCCAUAGUUCAUCAAAUCUUUACCCAAAACUUGAAAACUUGACAACACAAAACUCAACAGAAAACUCAUGAGAUCCGGUAGUAUAAGAAAAUAAAAUCACCACUUUUGGUACUGUUGUGAACUCAUUAUUUAUUUAUAUUGGUGUAAUAUCUACUGUAUUACAACUUUUACAUGGUUCAUACCCCCCGAUACUACCCAUAGAUUCAUCAAAAUAAGCAAACAACACAUAGAAAACAGAAUCUGUCAAAAACAAAACAGUUUGUAGCAAUAUGGAAAUUUCGAAUACUUCUAUAACUCUACGAAUUCCAAAAACUCGGGACAACCUGGGAAAUUUGUAUAUCAAUCUUGUGUAAAACAUUCAGAAGGUUUGGUCACUUCUGUGAAUUAUCAAAAGUAUUUUACUGGACGCAAAAGUUUCUGUUUUUCAGCUAGAUCAAAUCAACUAUCACUGCAGACCAUCCCAAAGGUCUUAUUUGGCUCAAACAGUAACUAAAACACCAAAAAACCAUUACUACAAAGGUAUAAUGUGUAUUUCACAUAAAAACAUAAAACAAAAAUAUUGGGUUGUCUCCCAACAAGCGCUUUUCUUUAAAGCCUUUUAGCUAGGCAUUGAUAAUUUCAAUGGUGCUCACAUAAAAGAUAGCAAUCGAAACACGAAGAGAGCAUCAUGUAGCAUGUGAAUUUUUUUAAGUCCAACAUAAUUCCUAUGCAUAUGCAUUUUAUAAGCAAACCAAUUAUCAAGACAAGCAAAAACUAGCAUAUGCAAGGAAGAAGAAAGAAACAAUAGCAAUCUCAACAUGACGAGAGGUAAUUGAGUAACAUGAAACUUUUUACAACCAUAUUUUUUCUCUCAUAAUAAUUACAUGUGGAUUCAAAUUCAACAAUAUAGCUAUAACAUAUAAUAUUCUCUAGAUGAUCCACAUGCAUGCAAGGUUGACACUCUUCCAAGAUAGUGGGAUUAACAUUAACUAAAGUCAUGACCUAUUAAAACCCACUUUUAUCAAAAAUUUCAUAUGAUUGAUCAUUAUCCAAAGUAGUGGGAUCAUUGUUAACUAGAGUCGACACUCUUCCAAACCCACUUUCAAUAUUAUCGCAAACAUAUUCAUCACGAGGCUUAAAUAAAUUUUCAAGAUCAUAAGAAGAAUCACCCCAAUCAUGAUCAUUGCAAUAAGUAGCGGACAUAUCAAAAUUAGCAUCCCCAAGCUUGGGGUUCUGCAUAUUAUUAGCACAAUUGAAAUUAAUAUAAUUUAUAAUAACACCAUUUAAAUCAUGCUUUUCAUUCAAGGAGCUAUCGUGAAUCACUUCAAAAUUUUCCUCUUUAAGUACUUCAUCACAAUUUCCAGAUUCACGAAUUUCAAGCAAAACUUCAUAAAGAUAAUCUAGUGCACUCAACUCACUAGCAAUAGGUUCGUCGUAAUUGGAUUUCUUAAAAAGAUUAGAAAGUGGAUGAGGAUCCAUAAACUCUUUUCUUCCUUAUUUUCAAUAAAUACACAAUUAUACCAAGUGAACAGGCAAACAAACACUACUAGGGAAAACCCUAUCAGUAGCGCGGGUAUUUUGCCUAUCAGUAGCGCGGGACGACGCGCUACUGAUAAGGCGCUAUAGCUAACAUGUAGCAGUAGUGCCUGUCGUCCCACGCUACUGCUAUACAUAGCUAGCAGUAGCGCGCUUUAGUGUAGAGCACUGCUGCUAAUAUCUGCAGUGCUUUUUAGCAGGUAGCGCUACUGGUAAGGCAGCGCUAAUGCUACUUUGUUCCCCUCACUACUACUAGUUUUAUUAGUUUCUGUUUUUUUCUGCAUAUUUGUUUUGUAUUUGAAUAGGCUUUAUACAAUAAUCUUUAGCAUAUCAUACACAUAAAAUGUAUGUUGGGUUUCGUAGUAAUUUCAAAAAAUUUCCUACGCACACGCAAGAUCAUGUGAUGCAUAGCAACGAGGGGAGAGUAUUGUCUACGUACCCAACGCAGACCGACUGCGGAAGCGAUGACACGACGUAGAGGAAGUAGUCGUACGUCUUCUCGAUCCAACCGAUCAAGCACCGAAACUACGGCACCUCCGAGUUCGAGCACACGUUUAGCUCGAUGACGAUCCCCGGACUCCGAUCCAGCAAAGUGUCGGGGAAGAGUUUCGUCAGCACGACGGCGUGGUGACGAUCUUGAUGAACUACAGUAGCAGGGCUUCGCCUAAACUCCGCUACAGUAUUAUCGAGGAAUAUGGUGGCAGGGGGCACCGCACACGGCUAAGGAAUAGAUCACGUGGAUCAACUUGUGUCAACUUGUGUGUUUAGAGGUGCCCCUGCCUCCGUAUAUAAAGGAGGAGAGGAGGGGAGGCUGGCCGGCCAAGGGGGGGAGGCGCAGGAGAGUCCUACUCCCUCUGGGAGUAGGAUUCCCCCUCCAAUCCUAGUCCAACUAGGAUUCCUCGGAGGGGAAAAGAGGAGGAGGGGGCCGGCCACCUCUCCUAGUCCUAAUAGGACUAGGGGAAGGGGGGGGGGCACGCAGCCCAUCUAGGGCAGCCCCUUCUCUUUUCCACUAAGGCCCACUAUGGCCCAAAUAGCUCCCGGGGGGUUCCGGUAACCCUCCCGGUAUUCCGGUAAAAUCCCGAUUUCACCCGGAACACUUCCGAUAUCCAAAUAUAGGCUUCCAAUAUAUCAAUCUUUACGUCUCGACCAUUUCGAGACUCCUCGUCAUGUCCGUGAUCACAUCCGGGACUCCGAACAACCUUCGGUACAUCAAAAUGCAUAAACUCAUAAUAUAACUGUCAUCCUAACCUUAAGCGUGCGGACCCUACGGGUUCGAGAACAAUGUAGACAUGACCGAGACACGUCUCUGGUCAAUAACCAAUAGCGGGACCUGGAUGCCCAUAUUGGCUCCUACAUAUUCUACGAAGAUCUUUAUCGGUCAGACCGCAUAACAACAUACGUUGUUCCCUUUGUCAUCGGUAUGUUACUUGCCCGAGAUUCGAUCGUCGGUAUCCAAUACCUAGUUCAAUCUCGUUACUGGCAAGUCUCUUUACUCGUUCCGUAAUACAUCAUCUCACAACUAACGUAUUAGUUGUAAUGCUUGCAAGGCUUAUGUGAUGUGUAUUACCGAGAGGGCCCAGAGAUACCUCUCCGACAAUCGGAGUGACAAAUCCUAAUCUCGAAAUACGCCAACCCAACAUCGACCAUUGGAGACACCUGUAGUACUCCUUUAUAAUCACCCAGUUACGUUGUGACGUUUGGUAGUACCCAAAGUGUUCCUCCGGUAAACGGGAGUUGCAUAAUCUCAUAGUCAUAGGAACAUGUAUAAGUCAUGAAGAAAGCAAUAGCAACAUACUAAAUGAUCGGGUGCUAAGCUAAUGGAAUGGGUCAUGUCAAUCAGAUCAUUCUGCUAAUGAUGUGACCUCGUUAAUCAAAUAACAACUCAUUGUUCAUGGUUAGGAAACAUAACAUCUUUGAUUAACGAGCUAGUCAAGUAGAGGCAUACUAGUGACACUUUGUUUGUCUAUGUAUUCACACAUGUAUUAUGUUUCCGGUAAAUACAAUUCUAGCAUGAAUAAUAAACAUUUAUCAUGAUUAUAAGGAAAUAAAUAAUAACUUUAUUAUUGCCUCUAGGGCAUAUUUCCUUCAGUCUCCCACUUGCACUAGAGUCAAUAAUCUAGAUUACACUGUAAUGAUUCUAACACCCAUGGAGCCUUGGUGCUGAUCAUGUUUUGCUCGUGGAAGAGGCUUAGUCAAUGGGUCUGCAACAUUCAGAUCCGUAUGUAUCUUGCAAAUCUCUAUGUCUCCCACCUGGACUAGAUCCCGGAUGGAGUUGAAGCGUCUCUUGAUGUGUUUGGUCCUUUUGUGAAAUCUGGAUUCCUUUGCCAAGGCAAUUGCACCAGUAUUGUCACAAAAGAUUUUCAUUGGACCCGAUGCAUUAGGUAUGACACCUAGAUCGGAUAUGAACUCCUUCAUCCAGACUCCUUCAUUUGCUGCUUCCGAAGCAGCUAUGUAUUCCGCUUCACAUGUAGAUCCCGCUACGACGCUUUGUUUAGAACUGCACCAACUCACAGCUCCACCGUUUAAUGUAAACACAUAUCCGGUUUGCGAUUUAGAAUCGUCCGGAUCAGUGUCAAAGCUUGCAUCAACGUAACCUUUUACGAUGAGCUCUUUGUCACCUCCAUAUAUGAGAAACAUAUCCUUAGUCCUUUUCAGGUAUUUCAGGAUGUUCUUGACCGCUGUCCAGUGAUCCACUCCUGGAUUACUUUGGUACCUCCCUGCUAAACUUAUAGCAAGGCAUACAUCAGGUCUGGUACACAGCAUUGCAUACAUGAUAGAUCCUAUGGCUGAUGCAUAGGGAACAUCUUUCAUAUUCUCUCUAUCUUCUGCAGUGGUCGGGCAUUGAGUCUUACUCAAUUUCACACCUUGUAACACAGGCAAGAAUCCUUUCUUUGCUUGAUCCAUUUUGAACUUCUUCAAAAUUUUGUCAAGGUAUGUGCUUUGUGAAAGUCCAAUUAAGCGUUUUGAUCUAUCUCUAUAGAUCUUAAUGCCUAAUAUGUAAGCAGCUUCACCGAGGUCUUUCAUUGAAAAACUUUUAUUCAAGUAUCCCUUUAUGCUAUCCAGAAAUUCUAUAUCAUUUCCAAUCAGUAAUAUGUCAUCCACAUAUAAUAUCAGAAAUGCUACAGAGCUCCCACUCACUUUCUUGUAAAUACAGGCUUCUCUGAAAGUCUGUAUAAAACCAAAUGCUUUGAUCACACUAUCAAAACGUUUAUUCCAACUCCGAGAGGCUUGCACCAGUCCAUAAAUGGAUCGCUGGAGCUUGCACACUUUGUUAGCUCCCUUUGGAUCGACAAAACCUUCCGGUUGCAUCAUAUACAACUCUUCUUCCAGAAAUCCAUUCAGGAAUGCAGUUUUGACAUCCAUCUGCCAAAUUUCAUAAUCAUAAAAUGCGGCAAUCGCUAACAUGAUUCGGACGGACUUAAGCAUCGCUACGGGUGAGAAGGUCUCAUCGUAGUCAAUCCCUUGAACUUGCCGAAAACCUUUUGCGACAAGUCGAGCUUUGUAGACAGUAACAUUACCAUCAGCGUUAGUCUUCUUCUUAAAGAUCCAUUUAUUCUCAAUUGCUUGCCGAUCAUCGGGCAAGUCAACCAAAGUCCAUACUCUGUUCUCAUACAUGGAUCCCAUCUCAGAUUUCAUGGCUUCAAGCCACUUUGCGGAAUCUGGGCUCACCAUCGCUUCUUCAUAGUUCGUAGGUUCAUCAUGAUCUAGUAGCAUGACUUCCAGAACAGGAUUACCGUACCACUCUGGCGCGGAUCUUACUCUGGUUGAUCUACGAGGUUCAGUAGUAUCUUGAUCUGAAGUUUCAUGAUCAUUAUCAUUGGCUUCCUCACUAACUGGUGUAGGUGUCACUGAAACAGUUUUCUGUGAUGAACUACUUUCCAGUAAGGGAGUAGGUACAGUUACCUCAUCAAGUUCUACUUUCCUCCCACUCACUUCUUUCGAGAGAAACUCCUUCUCUAGAAAUGAUCCAUUCUUAGCAACGAAUGUCUUGCCUUCGGAUCUGUGAUAGAAGGUGUACCCAACAGUUUCCUUUGGGUAUCCUAUGAAGACACAUUUCUCCGAUUUGGGUUCGAGCUUAUCAGGUUGAAGUUUUUUCACAUAAGCAUCGCAGCCCCAAACUUUAAGAAACGACAACUUUGGUUUCUUGCCAAACCACAGUUCAUAAGGCGUCGUCUCAACGGAUUUUGAUGGUGCCCUAUUUAACGUGAAUGCGGCCGUCUCUANNNNNNNNNNAAAAUGAUAGCGGUAAAUCUGUAAGAGACAUCAUAGAUCGCACCAUAUCUAGUAAAGUACGAUUACGACGUUCGGACACACCAUUGCGCUGUGGUGUUCCAGGUGGCGUGAGUUGUGAAACUAUUCCACAGUUUUUCAAAUGUACACCAAACUCGUAACUCAAAUAUUCUCCUCCACGAUCAGAUCGUAGAAACUUUAUUUUCUUGUUACGAUGAUUUUCAACUUCACUCUGAAAUUCUUUGAACUUUUCAAAUGUUUCAGACUUAUGCUUCAUUAAGUAGAUAUAUCCAUAUCUGCUCAAAUCAUCUGUGAAGGUGAGAAAAUAACGAUAUCCGCCUCGAGCCUCAAUAUUCAUUGGACCACAUACAUCGGUAUGUAUGAUUUCCAACAAAUCUGUUGCUCUCUCCAUAGUACCGGAGAACGGUGUUUUAGUCAUCUUGCCCAUGAGGCACGGUUCGCAAGUACCAAGUGAUUCAUAAUCAAGUGGUUCCAAAAGUCCAUCAGCAUGGAGUUUCUUCAUGCGCUUUAUACCGAUAUGACCUAAACGACAGUGCCACAAAUAAGUUGCACUUUCAUUAUCAACUCUGCAUCUUUGGCUUCAACAUUAUGAAUAUGUGUAUUACUACUAUCGAGAUUCAAUAAGAAUAGACCACUCUUCAAGGGUGCAUGACCAUAAAAGAUAUUACUCAUAUAAAUAGAACAACCAUUAUUCUCUGAUUUAAAUGAAUAACCGUCUCGCAUUAAACAAGAUCCAGAUAUAAUGUUCAUGCUCAACGCUGGCACCAAAUAACAAUUACUUAGGUCUAAUAUUAAUCCCGAAGGUAGAUGUAGAGGUAGCAUGCCGACUGCGAUCACAUCGACUUUGGAACCGUUUCCCACGCACAUCGUCACCUCGUCCUUAGCCAAUCUUCGCUUAAUCCGUAGCCCCUGUUUCGAGUUGCAAAUAUUAGCAACAGAACCAGUAUCAAAUACCCAGGUGCUACUGCGAGCAUUGGUAAGGUACACAUCAAUAAUAUGUAUAUCACAUAUACCUUUGUUCACCUUGCCAUCCUUCUUAUCCGCCAAAUACUUGGGGCAGUUCCGCUUCCAGUGACCAGUCUGCUUGCAGUAGAAGCACUCAGUUUCAGGCUUAGGUCUAGACUUGGGUUUCUUCUCUUGAGCAGCAACUGGCUUGCUGUUCUUCUUGAAUUUCCCUUUCUUCUUUCCUUUGCCCUUUUUCUUGAAACUAGUGGUUUUGUUAACCAUCAACACUUGAUGCUCCUUUUUGAUUUCUACCUCCGCAGCUUUCAGCAUUGCGAAGAGCUCGGGAAUAGUCUUGUUCAUCCCUUGCAUAUUAUAGUUCAUCACGAAGCUCUUGUAGCUUGGUGGCAGUGGUUGGAGAAUUCUGUCAAUGACGCAAUCAUCCGGAAGAUUAACUCCCAAUUGAAUCAAGUGAUUAUUAUACCCAGACAUUUUGAGUAUAUGCUCACUGACAGAACUGUUCUCCUCCAUCUUGCAGCUAUAGAACUUAUUGGAGACUUCAUAUCUCUCAAUUCGGGCAUUUGCUUGAAAUAUUAACUUCAACUCCUGGAACAUCUCAUAUGCUCCAUGACGUUCAAAACGUCGUUGAAGUCCCGAUUCUAAGCCGUAAAGCAUGGCACACUGAACUAUCGAGUAGUCAUCAGCUUUGCUCUGCCAGACGUUCAUAACAUCUGGUGUUGCUCCAGCAGCAGGCCUGGCACCCAGCGGUGCUUCCAGGACGUAAUUCUUCUGUGCAGCAAUGAGGAUAAUCCUCAAGUUACGGACCCAGUCCGUGUAAUUGCUACCAUCAUCUUUCAACUUUGCUUUCUCAAGGAACGCAUUAAAAUUCAACGGAACAACAGCACGAGCCAUCUAUCUACAAACAACAUAAACAAGCAAGAUACUCUCAGGGACUAAGUUCAUGAUAAAUUUUAAGUUCAAUUAAUCAUAUUACUAAAGAACUCCCACUUAGAUAGACAUCCCUCUAAUCCUCUAAGUGAUCACGUGAUCCAAAUCAACUAAACCAUGUCCGAUCAUCACGUGAGAUGGAGUAGUUUCAUCGGUGAACAUCAUUAUGUUGAUCAUAUCUACUAUAUGAUUCACGCUCGACCUUUCGGUCUCCGUGUUCCGAGGCCAUAUCUGUAUAUGCUAGGCUCGUCAAGUUUAACCUGAGUAUUCUGCGUGCGCAACUGUUUUGCACCCGUUGUAUUUGAACGUAGGGCCUAUCACACCCGAUCAUCACGUGGUGUCUCAGCACGAAGAACUUUCGCAACGGUGCAUAUUCAGGGAGAACACUUCUUGAUAAUUUAGUGAGAGAUCAUCUUAUAAUGCUACCGUCAAUCAAAGCAAGAUAAGAUGCAUAAAAAGAUAAACAUCACAUGCAAUCAAUUAUAAGUGAUAUGAUAUGGCCAUCAUCAUCUUGUGCUUGUGAUCUCCAUCUCCGAAGCACCGUCAUGAUCACCAUCGUCACCGGCGCGACACCUUGAUCUCCAUCGUAGCAUCGUUGUCGUCUUGCCAAUCUUAUGCUUUCACGACUAUUACUACCGUUUAGUAAUAAAGUAAAACAUUACAUCGCGAUUGCAUUGCAUACAAUAAAGCGACAACCAUAUGGCUCCUGCCAGUUGCCGAUAACUUGGUUACAAAACAUGAACAUCUCAUACAAUAAAAUUCAGCAUCAUGCCUUGACCAUAUCACAUCACAACAUGCCCUGCAAAAACAAGUUAGACGUCCUCUACUUUGUUGUUGCAUGUUUUACGUGGCUGCUACGGGCUUAAGUAAGAACCAAUCUCACCUACGCAUCAAAACCACAACGAUAGUUUGUCAAAUAGACUCCGUUUUAACCUUCGCAAGGACCGGGCGUAGCCAUACUUGGUUCAACUAAAGUUGGAGAGACAGUCGCCCGCAAGCCAUCUCUGUGCAAAGCACGUCGAGGGAACCGGUCUCGCGUAAGCGUACGCGUAAGGUUGGUCCGGGUCGUCUCGUCCAACAAUACCGCCGAACCAAAGUAUGACAUGCUGGUAGGCAGUAUGACUUGUAUCGUCCACAACUCACUUGUGUUCUACUCGUGCAUAUAACAUCAACAUAAAUAACCUAGGCUCGGAGGCCACUGUUGGGUUUCGUAGUAAUUUCAAAAAAUUUCCUACGCACACGCAAGAUCAUGUGAUGCAUAGCAACGAGGGGAGAGUAUUGUCUACGUACCCAACGCAGACCGACUGCGGAAGCGAUGACACGACAUAGAGGAAGUAGUCGUACGUCUUCUCGAUCCAACCGAUCAAGCACCGAAACUACGGCACCUCCGAGUUCGAGCACACGUUCAGCUCGAUGACGAUCCCCGGACUCCGAUCCAGCAAAGUGUCGGGGAAGAGUUUCGUCAGCACGACGGCGUGGUGACGAUCUUGAUGAACUACAGCAGCAGGGCUUCGCCUAAACUCCGCUACAGUAUUAUCGAGGAAUAUGGUGGCAGGGGGCACCGCACACGGCUAAGGAAUAGAUCACGUGGAUCAACUUGUGUCAACUUGUGUGUUUAGAGGUGCCCCUGCCUCCGUAUAUAAAGGAGGAGAGGAGGGGAGGCUGGCCGGCCAAGGGGGGGAGGCGCAGGAGAGUCCUACUCCCUCUGGGAGUAGGAUUCCCCCUCCAAUCCUAGUCCAACUAGGAUUCCUCGGAGGGGAAAAGAGGAGGAGGGGGCCGGCCACCUCUCCUAGUCCUAAUAGGACUAGGGGAAGGGGGGGGGGCACGCAGCCCAUCUAGGGCAGCCCCUUCUCUUUUCCACUAAGGCCCACUAUGGCCCAAAUAGCUCCCGGGGGGUUCCGGUAACCCUCCCGGUAUUCCGGUAAAAUCCCGAUUUCACCCGGAACACUUCCGAUAUCCAAAUAUAGGCUUCCAAUAUAUCAAUCUUUACGUCUCGACCAUUUCGAGACUCCUCGUCAUGUCCGUGAUCACAUCCGGGACUCUGAACAACCUUCGGUACAUCAAAAUGCAUAAACUCAUAAUAUAACUGUCAUCGUAACCUUAAGCGUGCGGACCCUACGGGUUCGAGAACAAUGUAGACAUGACCGAGACACGUCUCUGGUCAAUAACCAAUAGCGGGACCUGGAUGCCCAUAUUGGCUCCUACAUAUUCUACGAAGAUCUUUAUCGGUCAGACCGCAUAACAACAUACAUUGUUCCCUUUGUCAUCGGUAUGUUACUUGCCCGAGAUUCGAUCGUCGGUAUCCAAUACCUAGUUCAAUCUCGUUACUGGCAAGUCUCUUUACUCGUUCCGUAAUACAUCAUCUCACAACUAACGUAUUAGUUGUAAUGCUUGCAAGGCUUAUGUGAUGUGUAUUACCGAGAGGGCCCAGAGAUACCUCUCCGACAAUCGGAGUGACAAAUCCUAAUCUCGAAAUACGCCAACCCAACAUCGACCAUUGGAGACACCUGUAGUACUCCUUUAUAAUCACCCAGUUACGUUGUGACGUUUGGUAGUACCCAAAGUGUUCCUUCGGUAAACGGGAGUUGCAUAAUCUCAUAGUCAUAGGAACAUGUAUAAGUCAUGAAGAAAGCAAUAGCAACAUACUAAACGAUUGGGUGCUAAGCUAAUGGAAUGGGUCAUGUCAAUCAGAUCAUUCUGCUAAUGAUGUGACCUCGUUAAUCAAAUAACAACUCAUUGUUCAUGGUUAGGAAACAUAACCAUCUUUGAUUAACGAGCUAGUCAAGUAGAGGCAUACUAGUGACACUUUGUUUGUCUAUGUAUUCACACAUGUAUUAUGUUUCCGGUAAAUACAAUUCUAGCAUGAAUAAUAAACAUUUAUCAUGAUUAUAAGGAAAUAAAUAAUAACUUUAUUAUUGCCUCUAGGGCAUAUUUCCUUCAAUGUAAUCAUAGCAUAUACAUACAAAUGGUCUCAUCAAAUCAUGUCAUCAUCAUAAUCAUCAUCCAACACAAAGUGGUCUCUCGUCAUCAUCUCGAAAAUAGCGAUACAAGUCUCGAUUACUUGCAACUACAUUGUCAUCCAUCUAAACAAUGAUAUACGUGAGAAGAGCUAUCACUUUGAGUGAGAGCGGAGCUAUGCAGUACAUGAGUUUGUAUCCCUCUCUUGCAUUAGCGUGAACCUAAACUAACUACUGCCUGUCUCUCGGAAACCGGAAACUGGUACACCUGGGCCUGACACUCCGACCACUCGUCAUAUAUAUACUCCUGGCGUAGCACUUCUUCGCCAUCGAUGAUCUAUGCACCUGCAUCGUCACAUGAGUCGAUGAUAUGCAACAUAUAUAGUUGAGCAACAGAAAGAGACGGACUUGGCAAAAAUAGAAGCAACAUAUCAUAAGCAUAAAUAACAAAGUUGAUCGUACCCAAAAUGCCCUAACUAGAGUGGUCGUCGCUAGUCGAGGAGGACGGUUUAAUUACAUCACAAAUAAAGUUUCGUCGUGCAUAACUCAAAGUUUCGUCAUACAGAAAGUAUGGACUAAACGGACACAUUGUCAUAUAUCGACAAUCACUCCAACAUGUAGUGUCAUCCAUCCAAGUCAGGGAGAUAGUCCCCGAGCCUAGUGAAAGGCUUCAGGUCGAGAUGCUGAGCGGCUACCCGUGUUCGGACGUCUUCCCGCGACAUUUGUCCUUCUUCGUAGAACAUCCCUGUUUUUCCGACGACCUCCAUCAUGAUGAUUUGGACAAGUCCGUGCUGGAUGUGAUAGAACUCAGCUCGAAGUCGAUGAUCCUCGAUAUCUCCUACGUUCUUUGCCCAUUGCAAAAUAUGGGCGUCGCCGGAUGUAGGUGACAUGUGAAGGUUCUGGUGAUCCUGUCUGUACUCCAGCAUGUGGUGUAGGACAUAGAAUCCAUCAUUAAGAGAAUCACUCAGUUGCUGGAUGCAGCAGAGGUCGGUCUUAUGGCCGAAGGCGGGCCUACCGUCCCUUCUCUUCUUGUCCUUGACCUCUCCACCCCGUGCAUCGUAGUAAAGCAUAGCACUGUCGAGAACAUCCUUGAUGUGGGUGUAAUCCUUUUUGUUAAUGUUCUUCGGCCAGUCCAAGUAAAGAGCGUGGGAGUAUCGGGGGUAGAGGAUGAUGAGGACGGCGCGCCAGCCGAUGCGCAAAAUAAGUACACCUCAAAUUAAUUAGCCUCCACCGUGCAAAUGAAUGAUUGAAAUCGAAGGAAGGAUAUCCGCGCGGAUCACUUACAGGAGAUGAUAAGGGACGAGAAUCGCCUCCUUGUCCUUAUUAGCGGGCAUGAAAUUGACGAUGUAUUCCCUCGCAUAUUCAUGGUGCUUUGCGCAGACUCCCAAGAAGCCCUCGUGCAUGAAGUACGGGUCAGUGAUACGGAUAUGAGGUAUCUGCUCUACCCCGAUAUUUUAGUUCAUGUGCAAGGCAUAAAGGUGGACAAACGUAAAAUCCAGCUUCAUGUCGAAUAUGUAAUUGAAUCGAAGGAAGAACUUCUCCGCGGGGAAUGUGUCGACGUACGAUAAUUGUCGCGGAACGUUAACCACGUAGAAUGGGUAUCCUGGAUCUUUUGAGGCGAUGAUGCCUUUCUCUAUCCGCGGCACAUCGUCAUGAAGUCUCCUCAAAUCGUCGAAUCUGGCCCCUAGGGAUGCUUCAAGUAGGAUUGGUUAACCGGGGAUAUGCCACUUUUCCGCACGGGGGAUAUCUAUACGGUCUUGAAGCCGAGGCUGCUGAGGCAGCUGGAUCAUAGAAGCAACUUUUUUUCUUUUCCCCGGUCUCUUCCUAGACUUCUUUACUACCGGAAGGUCGUCCAUAAUACGUUCAGCCUCCGGAGACGGCAAUUCAGGCACCGACUCAUGACGCUCAAACCCUAAGUAGGCGCCAGUAUUGACAUACUGUUGAGUUUCAUCGUCAUCCUCAUCCUCAUAUAUGGCGAUGUCACCAGCAACUAAUGGAGCCUUUUCCUCACCCCCUCCGCUAUCACCCAGCAUGACAGCCAACGCUAAUUGGGUAGGUGAGGUGUUGAUGUUCAUACCUAACUGCGUGCUCGUGGGUGUGCUCCUGGCCGCCUCCAAGCGAAGCUGACUCUUUGGCCACAACAGGACCCACCCAUUGCAACAAUCACCAAGCCGCCGUGGGGUCUCAUCGUCAUCCCCCACUAGUACCAGAGGAGGCAAAUUCUCGUGGCCCGGUUUGACACUGGCCACGAAAACCUUGAAGACGUCCGGGGGUCGGCCGGCUAUGGAACAAUGGUUCCUUCGGCUCCAUUAUCUUCACCUUCCCCACGUCCACCUUCUGGUCGCCGAUGGUGUACAAUAUGGUGCAUGUGGUUUUGUCAACCUGCAAAGAAAAGUCUGCGACGUGAGACAUCCGAAAGGCAACGAAAACGUGAGAUUAUACAUUUAUUGAAGGGGGCCGAUGUGACAGAUACCGUGAGGGCAUCGAGCUCAGCCAAAGACGAAGCACCGCCAAGCAUGUUCGGUGCCGGAGCCGAUGCGGGAGCAUGUGCAGGAGCCAGCGCGGGAGCAGGUGCAAGUGCAGGUGCUGGUGCUGGUGCAAUGAUACUUGAGCUUCUCCCCAAGAAGUCAGCAAGGGGAAAGUCUGCUGCAUUUUUUCUGGAUUUUUCCUGCUCCAAUUGAAAACGGACGGAACCAAGGAAGUAGACAUAUCUACAAGCACCUGUUUUGCGGCAGCUACCACUGUUGCGACUAUAUCAGAUGAUUUCUUCACAACCGCAAUCUCAACCUUCUUGUCGAUGUUUUCUUCAGUUAACCUCCGUCUUUCCUUUCUCUCCUCCGUGGUCUCAUGGUAGUACUUCUUCCACGUGGCGCCGUCUCCGACACCGUGCACGCGUCCAUACGACGGUCGAGUCUCCAUCGGGAGUCGUUUCAAUAUGUUCAACGCCCGGUUGAGUGGAGUGUCCCACUUGGGCCUCGCCAACGCCUCAGACGGCGAGUCGCUUUCGGUUGUAAUUCGGUGCUUCUCUCUCUGCAAAAGGCACAAGGAUCGUUUACAAAUAUGACUAACGUGCAGUCGAAUUGAUCAGAAACUAAAAUUACCAGCAGUCUCAUGAACUCCGUCGUGACCGCGUUCAUCUAGAAAAUCUUCUUCACUGGGUCCCAACGGUGCCGGGCCCUAAGGACGUCACACUCCUGUGGGACGGUGAACUCCGCCAAGGGGUCUGGGAUGCCCAGACUCGCGGCUUCCGCGUCCUCCUUGGCCCAUAUGGACCUCUUCCCGCUGUGACCACGGCUUCCGAGGUGGUGGCACCCAAUGUUCCUCUGUUGAAGCCCCUUCAUGUACUUCGACUUUUUUUUGGCAGCUUCGGCCUCGCAAGCCGCCUUGAAUAUUUCAAAGUGCUCUGUCGUGAUUGUCGGAUUAUCCUUUACAAUCUCGGAGUAGGGUUCCUUUUGUUGACGAUAUGAUAUUUCACCCUUGAUUUCCAGGCGGCCAACGCGUCACUAAACUUGGUCAUGGUGUGUUUGUUUAUCUUCUUCAUUGCCGGGUCCUUAUCUGGAUCUUUAUAAUCCUUUUCAUUUCGGCCCGGGAACAAGAAUAUCUGGUGCAGCUUCUUUAGGAGGGAGGGCCUCAUAUUAUCUAUCUUCUGUAGUUUCUCAUCGUUGAUGGUGGCGCUUGUCCGUAUGAUGCAGAUUAUUUGAUUCUCGUAGCACGCGCGCGCUUCCUCGGACGCGGUUGGCUCAAAAUUGCCGUCGUCCACCUCCGUGACCACCAGUCUAGUAGUCCUGAACUUGUUAGGAAGCUGUUGCCACUUUGCUUUCGGUUCUAUACCGGCUCCGCUAGUCUCGGCGCCAGUCUCAGUCUGAGCGCCGGUCUCGACGCCGGUCUCAGUCUCAGCGCCGGUCUCGAUGUCGGUCUCAAUCUCUGAUGUGACAGGUGGACCCAGCAACAUCAACUCUUGAUCGUCGGCUUCUCUCAAAAAUUCUUCUGCCGCCAGGUAGACGUUGUCGCAGUCACCAGAACCCUGUCCUUCAUCGUUGCUAGCCAUGUUUCCUACGAUUAAAUCUAGUCAAUUAAUUCUAGACCUAAUAAAAUGAAUAAUGACAUAAAAAAGUCCUAUGCUUUGCAGGAACAUUGACUCCUUCCCGGUGCGGCAAAUCGCGGGCACUCGAUAUGUCCUAGUUUGUAGCACAAGUCAUGCCAAAAUUCACGGAAAAUUUCGGCAUGACCUUUGCUAAAAAGUGGACAAAUCGAGCACCUGAAAUUUGCCGGAACGGAAAUGAAUCAACAUUCCGGCAAAACAUAGGCCAUCCGCGCUUCAUUCCCUGGAAACAACAAAAGGCCACAUGGGCACAAUCGAACCGCACUUCAAUGAAAAGAUAUAACAUGACCACUUCAAUGAAAAGAUAUAAUCAACAAUAAAAGUCUAGGAAGGAUCAUCUUUAAAAUAAAACUUGCCUAAAUUCUUUUCCUAUAAAAAUAGUGGUAUUUUCAAAAAUCAAAAAUCUUUGCAAAAUGACCUCACUAAACACUUCUGUGCCUAGGACAGAAAUCAAAUUCUGUCCCUUCUCACCUAAUGCUCUAAAAUAAAUUUUUCCUCUAACCUGGCGAACCUAGUUAACCUAGCUUGUUAACCUAACAAACCUAAUUAACCUAGCUAUUUAACCUAGUUAGUUAACCUAGUUUACCUAGAUAAUUAACCUAAUUAAAGUAGUUAACCUAGCUAGUUCUUUGUCAAAGCCCUAACUAAAUUUUUGCACUAACCUAGAUAAUUAACCUAAUUAAACUAGUUAACCUAACUAGUUCUCUGUCAAAGUCCUAACUAAAUUUUUGCAAUAACCUAGAUAAUUAACCUAAUUAAACUAGUUAACCUAGCUAGCUAGUUCUCUGUCCAAUGUUUGUGCUAUGCAUGAGAGAGAGGAGGGGUGGGGGCUUACAAAGGAUGGCUCCGGUCGUGCCGAGGGAGGCAGUGGUGGCGAGGGAGGCAGGGGCGUCUCCGAUGACGGCGAGGGAGGCAGGGCGUCGAGGGUGGCUCCGCUGGCGCCGAGGGAGGCUCCGGUGGCGUUGAUGAGGCCGCUUGGCUCCAGGGGCGUCGACGGCUGAUACGUCUCCAAUGUAUCUAUAAUUUUUUAUUAUUCCAUGCUAUUAUAUAUUCUGUUUUGGACGUUUAAUGGGCUUUAAUAUACACUUUUAUAUUAUUUUUGGGACUAACCUAUUAACCGGAGGGCUAGACCCAAAUUGUUGUCUUUUGCCUAUUUCAGUGUUUCGAAUGAAAGGAAUAUCAAACGGAGUCCAAACGGAAUGAAACCUUUGGGAGAGUUAUUUUUGGAACAAACGUGAUCCAGAGGACUUGGAGUGGACGUCAAGAAAUCAUCGAGGAGGCCACGAGGCAGGAGGGCGCGUGUACCCCCUGGGAGCGCCCUCCACCCUCGUGGGCCCCUCGUAGCUCCACUGACCUACUUCUUCCUCCUAUAUAUACCUACGUACCCCCAAACCAUCAGACACGGAGCCAAAACCCUAUUUCCACCGCCGCAACCUUCUGUACCCGUGAGAUCCCAUCUUGGGGCCUUUUCCGGCGCUCCGCCGGAAGGGGCAUCAAUCACGGAGGGCUUCUACAUCAACACCAUAGCCUCUCCGAUGAUGUGUGAGUAGUUUACCUCAGACCUUUGGGUCCAUAGUUAUUAGCUAGAUGGCUUCUUCUCUCUCUUUGGAUCUCAAUAGAAAGUUCUCGUCGAUUCUCUUGGAGAUCUAUUUGAUGUAACUCUUCUUUUGCGGUGUGUUUGUCGAGAUCCGAUGAAUUGUGGGUUUAUGAUCAAGAUUAUCUAUGAACAAUAUUUGAAUCUCCUUUGAAUUCUUUUAUGUAUGAUUGGUUAUCUUUGGAAGUCUCUUCGAAUUAUCAGUUUGGUUUGGCCUACUAGAUUGAUCUUUCUUGCAAUGGGAGAAGUACUUAGCUUUGGGUUCAAUCUUGCGGUGCUCGAUCCCAGUGACAGAAGGGGAAACGACACGUAUUGUAUUGUUGCCAUCGAGGAUAAAAAGAUGGGGUUUAUAUCAUAUUGCAUGAGUUUAUCCCUCUACAUCAUGUCAUCUUGCUUAAAGCGUUACUCUCUUCUUAUGAACUUAAUACUCUAGAUGCAUGCUGGAUAGCGGUCGAUGUGUGGAGUAAUAGUAGUAGAUGCAGGCAGGAGUCGGUCUACUUGUCUCGGACGUGAUGCCUAUAUACAUGAUCAUACCUAGAUAUUCUCAUAACUAUGCUCAAUUCUAUCAAUUGCUCGACAGUAAUUUGUUUACCCACCGUAAUACUUAUGCUAUCUUGAGAGAAGCCACUAGAUGUAGAGGGAUAAACUAGCUAUUUUCUAUUUUCCAUCAUAUUAAUCUCCCGUCAACUAGCUAUUUCUAGCACCGUUUAUUUUUCUUUCUUUACUUUUACUCUUUACCAUAAAAAUACCAAAAAUAUUAUCUUAUCAUCUCUAUCAGAUCUCACUCUCGUAAGUGACCGUGAAGGGAUUGACAACCCCUUUAUCAUGUUGGUUGCGAGGUUCUUAUUUGUUUGUGUAGGUGCGUGGGACUCGAGCGUGGUCUCCUACUGGAUUGAUACCUUGGUUCUCAAAAACUGAGGGAAAUACUUACCUUACUUUACUGCAUCACCCUUUCCUCUUCAAGGAAAAACCAACACAGUGCUCAAGAGGUAGCAAGAAGGAUUCCUCGCGUCGUGCCGGGGAGUCUACGCACAAGUCAAGACAUACCAAGUACCCAUCACAAACUCUUAUCCCUCGCAUUACAUUAUUUGCCAGUUACCUCUCGUUUUCCUCUCCCCCACUUCACCCUUGCCGUUUUAUUCACCCUCUUUUCCGUUCGCUUCUUUUUCGCUUGUUUCUUGUUUACUCGUGUGUUGGAUUGCUUGCUUGUCACGAUGGCUCAAGACAAUACUAAAUUGUGUGACUUUACGAAUACCAACAACAAUGAUUUUCUUAGCACUCCGAUUGCUCCUCUUACCGAUGCUGAAUCUUGUGAAAUUAAUGCUGCUUUGUUGAAUCUUGUCAUGAAAGAUCAAUUCGCCGGCCUUCCUAGUGAAGAUGCCACAACCCAUCUAAAUAGCUUUGUUGAUUUGUGUGACAUACAAAAGAAGAAAGAUGUGGACAACGAUAUUGUUAAGUUGAAGCUAUUUCCUUUUUCGCUUAGAGAUCACGCUAAAACUUGGUUUUCGUCUUUGCCUAAAAAUAGUAUUGAUUCUUGGAAUAAGUGCAAAGAUGCUUUUAUCUCUAAGUAUUUUCCUCCCGUUAAGAUCAUCUCUCUUAGAAACGAUAUUAUGAAUUUUAAGCAACUUGAUCAUGAACACGUUGCACAAGCUUGGGAGAGAAUGAAAUUAAUGAUACAUAAUUGCCCUACACAUGGUUUGAAUUUAUGGAUGAUUAUACAAAAAAUUUAUGCCGGAUUGAAUUUUGCUUCUAGAAAUCUUUUAGAUUCGGCCGCAGGAGGCACUUUUAUGGAAAUCACUUCAGGAGAAGCUACUAAACUCCUAGAUAAUAUUAUGGUUAAUUCUCAAUGGCACACUGAAAGAUCUACUAGUAAAAAAGUGCAUGCGAUAGAAGAAAUUAAUGUUUUGAGUGGACAGAUGGAUGAACUUAUGAAAUUAUUUGCUAAUAAGAGUGUUUCUUCUGAUCCUAAUGAUAUGCCUUUGUCUACUUUGAUUGAGAAUAAUAAUGAAUCUAUGGAUGUGAAUUUUUUUGGUAGGAAUAAUUUUGGUAACAACGUGUAUAGAGGAAACUUUAAUGCUAGGCCGUUCCCUAGUAAUUCCUCUAAUAAUUAUGGUAAUUCCUACAAUAAUUCUUAUGUAACUUUUAAUAAGAUGCCCUCUGAAUUUGAGACUAGUGUUAAAGAGUUUAUGAAUUCACAAAAGAAUUUCAAUGUUUUGCUUGAAGAAAAAUUGCUUAAAAUUGACGAAUUGGCUAGGAACAUGGAUAGAAUUUCUCUUGAUGUUGAUUCUUUGAAACUUAGAUCUAUUCCACCUAAGCAUGAUAUCAAUGAGUCUCUCAAAGCCAUGAGAAUUUCCAUUGAUGAGUGCAAAUAAAGAACCGCUAGGAUGCGUGCUAAGAAAGAAUGCUCUGUAAAAGCGUGUACUUCAAAUUUUUAUGAGAAUAAAGAUGAAGAUCUAAAAGUUAUUGAUGUGUCUCCUAUUAAACCAUUGUUUUGCAAUAUGAAUCUUGAUAAUGAUGGGACUGGAGAUGAGUCAACUUUAGUUAGGGCGUCCCAAAAAUUUGGAGUUUUUAGAUCUUGAUGCAAAAAUUGGUAAAAGUGGGAUUGAAGAGGUCAAAACUUUAGAUAUCAAUGAACCCACUAUCUUGGAUUUUGAUAAUCCCCAAGUGCAGGGAAUCAUCAUAGCAAUUCCCAAAGGUGGAAGUGAUAAGUAUGGAGUGUCGAACCCACAAGGAGCUAAAGGUAAGAUCAAUAUUCUCUCAAGUCCUAUCUGCCACUAAUACGAAUCUACGUACACCGAACGUUUGCUUCCAACUAGAAACGAGAAAUAAAACUAUGUUGUGUGUAUGAAGAGGAUAACUUUGCAUGAUAUCGGAGAGCUAAAAUAUAAAAUUAGGUGCUGUUAUCAUAAAUUUAGAAUAUAUUACUAAAUAUUAUAAAUAGCGAGUGUGGAAUAAUGAUGGCGGUGUGCGGAAUUGUCCUAGGCAAUUGUUAACAAGACCGGUAGUCGUCAUUGCAAUUUCAUAUGAGGGAGAGGCAUAAGCUAACAUACUUUCUCUUCUUGGAUCAUAUGCACUUAAGAUUGGAACUCUAGCAAGCAUCCGCAACUACUAAAGAUCAUUAAGGUAAAACCCAACCAUAGCAUUAAAGCAUCAAGUCCCCUUUAUCCCGUACGCAACAACCCCCUUACUCGGGUUUAUGCUUCUGUCACUCAAGCAAUCCACUAUAAGCGAAUCAUGAACGUAUUGCAACACCCUAUAGCGAGAAUCCCUCACGCUUGCGCGACACGGAGGGCACCAUAGGACAGCACCAAAAUAAAACAUAUAACUCGUACCAAUCUAGAUCAUCAAUCAACCCAAGGACAAAGGAUAUCUACUCGAAACAUCAUAAGAUGGCAACACAUCAUUGGAUCAUAAUAUGUGGCAUAAAGCACCAUGUUCAAGUAGGGAUUACAACGGGGUGCGGGAGAGUGGACCGCGUAAAAGAGAUGAGGAUGGUGAUGAUGAUGGUGAUGUUGAUGAAGACAAUCACCGUGGCGAUGAUUCCCCUCCCGAUGGCACUCCGGCGCCACCGAGAGAGAGGAGGAGAGGUUCUCCCCCUUGUGCUUCCUCCUCCAUGGCCUCCCCCUAGAUGGGGAGAGGUUCUCCCUUUGGUCCAUGGCCUUCAUGGCGAUGAAGGCCCCUCCGGGAUCCUCCUCCAUGGCCUCCGGUGAUGAUGGCCCCCUCCGGCAGGGUGUCAGAGAGGGCCUAGAUUGAUUUCUCGUGGCUACAGAGGCUUGCGGCGGCGGAACUCCCGAUCUCGGUUAUUUUCUGGGGGUUUCUGUAUUUAUAGGAAUUUUUGGCGUUGCUUUCACGUCAGGGGGGUCUUCGAGUCGUCCACGAGGCAGGGGCCCAUGCCCAGGGGGGUGCGCGUGCCCCCCACCAUCGUGGACAGCCCGGGACUCUUCUGGCCCAACACUUUUGGUCCAGGGGCUUCUUUUGGUCCAUAAAAAAUCAACAAAAAACGGCACGUCAAUUGGACUCCGUUUGGUAUUCCUUUUCUGUAGAACUCAAAAACAAGGUAAAAACAGAAACUAGCACUGGGCUCUAGGUUAAUAGGUUAGCCCCAAAAAUCAUAUAAAAUAGAAUAUAAAACAUCUCAGAUGGACAAUAUAAUAACAUGAAUACUUCAUAAAUUAUAGAUACGUUGGAGAUGUAUCAAAUUUCAAGGAAUUUAAUUAUGAUAAUUGCUCUUUGAUAGAUUGUAUUUCCUUGUUGCAAUCCGUGCUAAAUUCUCCUCAUGCUUAUAGUCAAAAUAAAGCUUUUACUAAACAUAUCGUUGAUGAUUUAAUGCAAUCUUAUGAAGAAAAACAUGAGUUGGAAGUUUCUAUCCCUAGAAAACUUUAUGAUGAGUGGAAACCUACUAUUAAAAUUAAAAUUAAAGAUCAUGAAUGCUAUGCUUUGUGUGAUUUGGGUGCUAGUGUUUCCACGAUUCCAAAAACUUUGUGUGAUUUGUUAGGUUUCCGUGAAUCUGAUGAUUGUUCUUUAAACUUGCACCUUGCGGAUUCCACUAUUAAGAAACCUAUGGGAAGAAUUAAUGAUGUUCUUAUUGUUGCAAAUAGGAACUAUGUGCCCGUAGAUUUCAUUGUUCUUGAUAUAGAUUGCAAUCCUUCAUGUCCUAUUAUUCUUGGUAGACCUUUCCUUAGAACGAUUGGUGCAAUCAUUGAUAUGAAGGAAGGGAAUAUUAGAUUCCAAUUUCCGCUAAGGAAAGGCAUGGAACACUUCCCUAGAAAGAAAAUUAAAUUACCAUAUGAAUCUAUUAUGAGAGCCACUUAUGGAUUGCCUACCAAAGAUGGGAAUACCUAGAUCUAUCCUCGCUUUUAUGCCUAGCUAGGGGCGUUAAACGAUAGCGCUUGUUGGGAGGCAACCCAAUUUUAUUUUUAAUUUUUAGUUUUUUUGUUUAUGUUUAAUAAUAAAUCUUUGAUCUAACCUCUGGUUAGAUUUUUUUAUGUUUUAAUUAGUGUUUGUGCCAAGUGAAACCUAUAGGAUCUUCUUGGAUGAUAGUUAUUUGAUCUUGCUGAAAAUUCCAGAAACUUUCAGUUCACGAAAACAAUUUUUAAAAAUCACCAGAACGUGAUAAAAUACUGAUUCCAAUUGCAGCAGAUCAAUAAACAAAUUAUCUAGGUCUUCCUGUUUUGGUAGAUUAUUCUGAGUUCCAGAAGUUUGUGUUAGUUACAGAUUACUACAGACUGUUCUGUUUUUGAAAGAUUAUGUUUUCCAUGUGUUGUUUGCUUAUUUUGAUGAGUCUAUGGAUAGUAAAAUUGUUUAUAAACCAUAGAGGAGUUGGAAUACAGUAGGUUUAACACCAAUAUAAAUAAAUAAUGAGUUCAAUACAGUACCUUGAAGUGGUGUUUUGUUUUCUUUCGCUAACGGAGCUCACGAGAUUUUCUGUUAAGUUUUGUGUUGUGAAGUUUUCAAGUUUUGGGUAAGGAUUUGAUGGAUUAUGGAACAAGGAGUGUCAAGAGACUAAGAUUGGGGAUGCCCAAGGCACCCCAAGGUAAAUCCAAGGACACUAAAAAGCCAAAGCUUGGGGAUGCCCCGGAAGGCAUCCCCUCUUUCGUCUUCGUCCAUCGGUAACUUUACUUGGAGCUAUAUUUUUAUUCACCAGAUGAUAUGUGUUUUUUCUUGGAGCGUCUUGUAUGAUUUGAGUCUUUGCUUUUAGUUUACCACAAUCAUCCUCGCUGUACACACCUUUUGAUAUAGACACACAUGAUUCGGAAUUUGUUAGAAUACUCUAUGUGCUUCACUUAUAUCUUUUGAGCCAUAUAGUUUUUGCUCUAGUGCUUCACUUAUAUCUUUUAGAGCACGGCGGUGGUUUUGUUUUAUAGAAACUUUUGUUCUCUCAUGCUUCACUUAUAUUAUUUUGAGAGUCCUACAAAACAGCAUGGUAAUUUUCUUAAAUUGAGAAAUUAGUCCUAAUAUGAUAGGCAUCCAAGAUUAGUAAAAAAUUUCUUAUAAGUGCGUUGAAUCUAAGAGAAGUUUGAUGCUUGAUAAUUGUUUUGAGAUAUGAAGAUGGUGAUAGUAGAGUCAUGCUAGUUGAGUAGUUGUGAAUUUUAGAAAUACUUGUGUUAAAGUUUGUGAUUCCCAUAGCAUGCACGUAUGGUGAACCGUUAUGUGAUGAAGUCAGAGCAUGAUUUAUUUAUUGAUUGUCUUCCUUAUGAGUGGCGGUCGGGGACGAGCGAUGGUCUUUUGCUACCAAUCUAUCCCCCAAGGAGCAUGCACGUAGUACUUUGUUUCGAUAAAUAAUAGAUUUUUGCAACAAGUAUAUGAGUUCUUUAUGACUAAUGAUGAGUACAUGGAUUAUACACACUCUCACCCUUCCACCAUUGCUAGCCUCACUAAUACCGCACACUUUUUGCCGGUAUCAUACACCCACCAUAUACCUUCCUCAAAACAGCCACCAUACCUACCUAUUAUGGAAUUUCCAUAGCCAUUCCAAGAUAUAUUGACAUGCAACUUACCAUCAUUCCGUUUGCUAUGACACGCGUCAUCAUUGUCAUAUUGCUUUGCAUGAUCAUGUAGUUGACAUCGUAUUUGUGGCAAAGCCACCAUUCAUAAUUUUCAUACAUGUCACUCUUGAUUCAUUGCAUAUCCCGGUACACCGCCGGAGGCAUUCACAUAGAGUCAUAUUUUUGUCCUAAGUAUUGAGUUGUAAGUAAAUAAAAGUGUGAUGAUCAUCAUUAUUAGAGCAUUGUCCCAGUGAGGAAAGGAUGAUGGAGAAUAUGAUUCCCCCACAAGUCAGGAUGAGACUCCGGACGAAAAAAAGAGUACAUAAAAAAAGAGAAAAGGCCCAAAUAAAAAAAUGAGAGAAAAAGAGAGAAGGGACAAUGUUACUAUCCUUUUACCACACUUGUGCUUCAAAAGUAGCACCAUGAUAUUCAUGAUAGAGAGUCUCCUAUGUUGUCACUUUCAUAUACUAGUGGGAAUUUUGCAUUAUAGAACCUGGCUUGUAUAUUCCAAUGAUGGGCUUCCUCAAAAUGCCCUAGGUCUUCGUGAGCAAGCGAGUUGGAUGCACACCGACUUAGUUUCUUUUGUUGAGCUUUCAUACACCUAUAGCUCUAGUGCAUCCGUUGCAUGGCAAUCCCUACUCACUCACAUUGAUAUCUAUUGAUGGGCAUCUCCAUAGCCCAUUGAUACGUCUAGUUGAUGUGAGACUAUCUUUUUUUUGUCUUCUCCACAACCACCAUUCUAUUCCACAUAUAGUGCUAUAUCCAUGGCUCACGCUCAUGUAUUGCGUGAAGAUUGAAAAAGUUUGAGAACAUCAAAAGUAUGAAACAAUUGCUUGGCUUGUCAUCGGGGUUGUGCAUGAUUAAAUACUUUGUGUGAUGAAGAUAGAGCAUAGCCAGACUAUAUGAUUUUGUAGGGAUAGCUUUCUUUGGCCAUGUUAUUUUGAGAAGACAUGAUUGCUUUAUUAGUAUGCAUGAAGUAUUAUUAUUUUUUAUGUCAAUAUUAAACUUUUAUCUUGAAUCUUUAUGAUCUGAAUAUUCAUACCACAAAUAAGAGAAUUACAUUGAAAAUUAUGCUAAGUAGCAUUCCACAUCAAAAAUUCUGUUUUUAUCAUUUACCUACUCGAGGACGAGCAGGAAUUAAGCUUGGGGAUGCUUGAUACGUCUCCAACGUAUCUAUAAUUUUUUAUUGUUCCAUGCUAUUAUAUAUUUUGUUUUGGGCGUUUAAUGGGCUUUAUUAUACACUUUUAUAUUAUAUUUGGGACUAACCUAUUAACCGGAGGCCCAGCCCAAAUUGCUAUUUUUUUGCCUAUUUCAAUGUUUCUAAGGAAAGGAAUAUAAAACGGAGUCCAAACGGAAUGAAACCUUCGGGAGAGUUAUUUUUGGAACAAACGUGAUCCAGAGGACUUGGAGUGGACGUCAAGAAAUCACCGAGGAGGCCACGAGGCAGGGGGCAUGCCUACCCCCUGGGCGCGCCCUCCACCCUCGUGGGCCCCUCGUAGCUCCACUGACCUACUUCUUCCUCCUAUAUAUACCUACGUACCGCCAAACCAUUAGACACGGAGCCAAAACCCUAUUUCCACCGCCGCAACCUUCUGUACCCGUGAGAUCCCAUCUUGGGGCCUUUUCCGGUGCUCCGCCGGAGGGGGCAUCUAUCACGGAGGGCUUCUACAUCAAAACUAUAGCCUCUCCGAUGAUGUGUGAGUAGUUUACCUCAGACCUUCGGGUCCAUAGUUAUUAGCUAGAUGGCUUCUUCUCUCUCUUUGGAUCUCAAUACAAAGUUCUCCUCGAUUCUCUUGGAGAUCUAUUUGAUGUAACUCUUCUUUUGCAAUGUGUUUGUCGAGAUCCGAUGAAUUGUGGGUUUAUGAUCAAGAUUAUCUAUGAACAAUAUUUGAAUCUCCUCUGAAUUCUUUUAUGUAUGAUUGGUUAUAUUUGCAAGUCUCUUCGAAUUAUCAGUUUGGUUUGGCCUACUAGAUUGAUCUUUCUUGCAAUGGGAGAAGUGCUUAGCUUGGGGUUCAAUCUUGCAGUGCUUGAUCCCAGUGACAGAAGGGGAAACGACAUAUAUCGUAUUGUUGCCAUCGAGGAUAAAAAGAUGGGGUUUAUAUCAUAUUGCAUGAGUUUAUCCCUCUACAUCAUGUCAUCUUGCUUAAAGCGUUACUCUGUUCUUAUGAACUUAAUACUCUAGAUGCAUGCUGGAUAGCGGUCGAUGUGUGGAGUAAUAGUAGUAGAUGCAGGUAGGAGUCGGUCUACUUGUCACGGACGUGAUGCCUAUAUACAUGAUCAUACCUAGAUAUUCUCAUAACUAUGCUCAAUUCUAUCAAUUGCUCGACAGCAAUUCGUUUACCCAUCGUAAUACUUGUGCUAUCUUGAGAGAAGCCACUAGUGAAACCUAUGUCCCCCGGGUCUAUUUUCCAUCAUAUUAAUCUCCCGUCAACUAGCUAUUUCUGGCACCGUUUAUUUUACUUUUUUUUACUUCUACUCUUUACCAUAAAAAUACCAAAAAUAUUAUCUUAUCAUCUCUAUCAGAUCUCACUCUCGUAAGUGACCGUGAAGGGAUUGACAACCCCUUUAUCGCGUUGGUUGCGAGGUUCUUAUUUGUUUGUGUAGGUGCAUGGGACUCGAGCCUGGUCUCCUACUGGAUUGAUACCUUGGUUCUCAAAAACUGAGGGAAAUACUUACACUACUUUACUGCAUCACCCUUUCCUCUUCAAGGCAAAACCAACGCAGUGCUCAAGAGGUAGCAACGGCGUGCGCCUCCGGUGGCGUCGACGGCGCGCGGCUCUAGUGGCUCUAGGGGCGUUGACGUCGGCAGGAGACGGCGGCGAAGUAGGGCGACGGCGAAUUGGGGAGACGACUGCGAAGUGAGGCGAGAGAUUUAGGGGAGAAGUGGUGGCUGGGGGGGACCACUUUUGGGUUAAGUCAAACUUAGCGGUAACGCGUUUCUGUAAACGCGCUAUAGCUAAGUUAGCUAUAGCGCUUUUCAGUAAACGCGCUACUGCUAUAGCUAUGUAUUUUCCUUUUCUUUUCUUAUUUCCUUUUCUUUUUCUAUAGUGGGGGUCUAAACAAGCGCUACUACUAAAUUAUCUAUAGCGCCUCUGAUGAACAGACGCUACUGCUAUUCCUUUCUCCUUUUUCCCUUUUUCAUUUAUUUUUCCUUACAUUUUAUUUUUUUUCCUUUUUCCUUUUUUUAUUUCUUUCAUUUUCAUUUACUUUUCUAUUUGUUUUUCAUUUAAUUUUCUUUUCAUUAACAGUAGCGCGUUUCACAGUAAACGCGUUGCUAAAAUACUUAGCGGUAGCGCUCUUUCUAGAAGACCGCUACUACUAUAUGUAGCCCCUCGGCUUAGUAGUGAGAAUUUUGGUAGUAGCGCGUUUAAAAGUAGACGUGCUACUGCUACAUUCGUGUCUGCAGUGCAUUUAUCGGCAUGCGCUACUGCUAUUUAGCAGUAGCACCCUUCUUUAACAAGCGCUACUGCUAAAGUUCUGUGUAUAAGGUUUUCCCUAGUAGCGAAACCAUGUAAGACAUAAAGGCGAAAGGAAAGAAGGCAAAUAAAAGGGCAAAUAUUUUUGUAUUUUUUUAAAUGUUUUAGAAGUGAGGGAGAGGAAAACGAGAGGCAAAUGGCGUAUAAUAUAAUGCAAGAGAUGAGAGUUUAUGAUGGGUACUUGGUAGGCUUGAUGUAGACCUCUCCGACAACGGUGCCAGAAAUUCUUCUUGCUACUUCUUGAGCUUGCAUUGGUUUUUCCCUUGAAGAGGAAAGGGUGAUGCAGCAAAGUAGAGGUAAGUAUUUCCCUCAGUUAGAGAACCAAGGUAUCAAUCCAGUAGGAGGUACAAGCAAGUCUCCAACCUAUGCACCCGCACAAACAAUCAAACACUUGCACCCAACGCGAUAAAGGGGUUGUCAAUCCCUUCACGGUCAAUUGCGAGGGUGAGCUCUAAUAGAGAUAAAUAUAAAAGAUUACUAAAAUGUAAAACCAGAUACAAACAAAUAAAUUGCGGCAAGGUAUAUUUGGAUUUUUGAUUUAUAGAUCUGAAAAUUUAUGAUGGAAAAUAGACUCGGGGGGGGGGCAUAGUUUCACUAGAGGCUUCUCUCUUGAAAGAAAAAAGAACGGUGGGUGAACAAAUUAUUGUUGAUCAAUUGAUCGAAAAGCGCAAAUUUAUGAUGAUAUCCAAGGCAAUGAUUAUGAAUAUAGGCAUCAUGUCCGUGUCAAGUAGACUGACUCCUGCCUGCAUCUACUACUAUUACUCCACACAUCGACUGCUAUCCAGCAUGCAUCUAGAGUAUUAAGUUCAUAAGAACAAAGUAACGCCUUAAGUAAGAUGACAUGAUGUAGAGGGACAAACUCAAGCAAUAUGGUGAAAACCCCAUGUUUUCACUCUUGAUGACAACAAUACAAUACAUGCCUCGCUACCCCUACUAUGUCACUGGGUGAGGACACCGCAAGAUUGAACCCAAAACUAAGCACCUCUUCCAUUGCAAGAAAUACCAAUCUAGUUGGCCAAACCAAACCGAUAAUUCAAAGAGAAAUAAAAAGAUAUCAAAUCAUGCAUAUUAGAAUUCAGAGAAGAUUCAAAUAAUAUUCGUAGAUAAGCUGAUCAUAAAUCCACAAUUCAUAGAAUCUCGACAAACACACCGCAAAAAAGUAUUAUAUCGGAUAGAUCUCCAAGAACAUCGAGGAGAACUUUGUAUUGAAGAUCAAAGAGAGAGAAGAAGCCAUCUAGAUAGUAGCUAUGGACCCGUAAGUCUAUGGUAAACUACUCACGCAUCAUCGGGGAGGUAAUAGGGUUGAUGUAGAUGCCCUCCGUGAUCGAAUCCCCCUCCGGCAGAUCGUUGGAAAAGGCCCCAAGAUGGGAUCUCACUAGAACAGAGGCUUACAGCGGCGGAACCGUAUUUUGGUGGACACUUCUGGUCGUUUGGGAAUAUUUGGGAAUUUAUUGGCCAAGAAUUAGGGAUCGAGGAGCCUCGGGGGGCCCACAAGGCAGGCGGCUCCCCUCUACGGCACGCCCCUGAAGCAUGCCGCCGCCUUGGGACUCCUCUGGCUUCAUCUCCAAGUCCUACGUGUGUCUUCUGGUCUAAGAAAAAUUAUUGUGAAAGUUUUAUUCCAUUUGGACUUCGUUUGAUAUUCCUUUUCUGUAAAAGUCAAAAACAAGGAAAACCAGAAACUCGCACUGGGCUUCGUUUGACUUCGUUUGGGAAUAUUUGAUAUUCCUUCGUUUGAUAAGUCCCCAAAAUAAUAUAAAUAGCAUAUUAAUGCAUAUAAAACAUCCGAAAUAGAUAAUAUAAUAGCAUGGAACAAUCAAAAAUUAUAGAUACAUUGGAGACUUAUCAAGGUCAAACGGAGCUAUGUGGGCCCCACAAGCCACCAAGGCGUGCCCUGGUCCCUUGUGGGAUACUGCUCCAUCUUCUCGUCCCCUCCCGAAGCUUGCAGGGUCUCUUAAUGGCAGAAAAAAAUACCCCAAAAGUUUCAUGGCAUUUGGACUUCGGUUGGUACCAAUAUUCUGAAAACCAAAAAUAAGCAACACACAACAACUGACAUUGGGCACUAAGUUAUUAGGUUAGUCCCAAAAAAUGAUAUAUAAUUGCUUGUAAGUGUAUAGAAAACAUCCAAGAUUGAUACUAUAAUAGCAUGGUGUUGGGGAACGUUGGAUGGAAAACAAAAAAAAUUCUACGCACACGCAUGAUCUAUCCAUGGAGAUGCAUAGCUACGAGAGGGGGAGAUCAUCCUCAUACCCUUGAAGAUCGCUAAGAGAAAGCGUUUAUUAACGCGGUUGAUGUAGUCGUACACCUUCACAACCAGUCCCGAUAAAGUACCAAAUGUACGGCACCUCCGCGUUCAGCACACGUUCAACUGGAUGACUUCCUCGCCUUCCUUAGACCUUUUGAAGGGUCCAACCAUGUCAAGCCCCCUGAUUGCAAAUGGCCAAUUAAUUGGAAUCAUCCAAAAUUCUUGAGCUGGCACAUGAGCCCAUCGAGAAAAUUUCUGACAUCCAUCACACUUACUAACGAUAUCCUCUGCAUCAAUAUGAGCCGUCAACCAAUAAAACCCAUGAUGAAAGGCUUUAGCCACUAAGGAUUUAGAGUCGGCUGAUGACCACAAUCACCUUCAUGGAUCUCUCUUAAAAUUUCACAGCCCUCUUCAGGAGAAACACAACGUUGGAACACGCCUGUCACACUCCAUCGGUGUAACUUGCCAUUGACAAUAGUCAUAGACUUAGAUCUCCUGGUGAUUUUUCUUGCCAAAGUUUCAUACUCAGGUAACUCGCCCCGGGUCAUAUAAGCCAAGUAGGGAAGCAUCCAAUCAGGAAUAGCAUGGAGAGCCACCACUAACUGCACCUCCGGGUCAGGAAUAGCAAGAUCCUCUUCUGAAGGAUGAUGCAAUACAUCCAAAAACUCAUUAGGAGGCACCGGCUUACAAUGAUACCCCAGCCGGCUCAAGGCGUCAGCCGCCUCAUUCUUCCUUCGAUCCAGAUGCUCUAGUUGGUACCCCUUGAAGUGACCAGCAAUGUUGUCAACCGCUCUGCGAUAAGCCGCCAUGAGCGGGUCUUUAGAAUCCCAUGUGCCUGAGACUUGCUGAGCCACCAAGUCUGAGCCGCCAAAGCACCUGACCUGACUUAAGUUCAUCUCUUUGGCGACUCGAAGGACGUGGAGUAAAGCCUCAUAUUCAGCUGCAUUGUUAUUACAAGGAAACAUCAGCCUUAAAACAUAACAAAUUUUGUCACCUCGUGGGGAAGUCAAAAUAACUCCAACCCCUGAGCCUUCCAACUGUCUUGACCCAUCAAAGUGAAUCGCCAAUACGUGUUAUCAGGCUUCUCCUCAGGUGUCUGCAAUUUUGUCCAGUCAUCGAUGAAAUCCACCAGAGCCUGAGAUUUGAUAGCUGUUCUUGGUACAUACUUCAAACCAUGAGGCCCAAGUUAUAUUGCCCACUUAGCAACCCGACAUGUUGCCUCCCUGUUCUGAAUAAUGUCUCCCAAGGGAGCAGAGCUGACCACAGUAAUGGGAUGACCAAGAAAAUAAUGCUUCAGCUUGCGACUCGCCAUGAACACCCCAUAUACCAGUUUCUGCCAGUGUGGAUAUCGUUGCUUGGACUCAAUCAACAUCUCACUAACAUAAUAACCCGGCCUCUGGACUAGGUACUCCUUACCCGUCUACUUGCGCUCCACCACAAUCGCCACACUGACGGCCUUACUAUUAGCAGCCACAUACAGGAGCAAAGGUUCUUUCUCAAUGGGAGCCGCAAGAACCGGCGUCUCAGCUAACUGCUUUUUAAGCGCCUCAAACGCCUUAUCUGCAACGCCACUCCAGACAAAAUGAUAUGUCUUCUUCAUCAUAUGGUGUAAAGGAAUUGCCUUCUCUCCCAGGCGGCUUACAAACCAGCUUAAGGCCACGAUACUGUGAUAGCCUGAUUUUUGGCCCUUUCCUUUUCUUUUGUUUUUCUGAGGUUUUUGCUUGAGUUUUCUUUUUUCGUGGCUUUGUGAUCUGAAAACUGAAGAAGAUGCCCUCUUCUUUGCUUCCAGAGUGGCUUGUCAUACCCAAAUCCUUCCCUAGACCUUGUCAUUUUCAUCCUAGCCCAAAUCCCAAUAUUCUUUUUAUUGGGAAUAUUCCUUUUUUAUUAAAGGAAUAACUCAAAUUGCCCUAGGUUGUGAAGCAACCUUUAUUUCCAUCACUCCUAAAAUUCCCAAAUAAUUCUCAUAAAUUGUUUGAGUCAUAUCUUUCUCAAAUAUGGCAAAUAUUUCAUUUGUCAUGUUUAUCAUCAUCCUCAAAUAAUUCAUUUCCUAUUCUGUCCUGAAUGGCAGAAUGUGAAGCAAGUGCCAUUUAUCUUUUCCCAAUUGACCUCAAACUCCUUGGACACCUUUUCCUGUCCAUAUCAUUGCCACAUGCCAAAGUGCAACCUCAUUUGCCUAGUAAAUAUUUCUCAGAAGUUUUCAAAGUUCCUAUCUGAGUGAAGUGGUUGUGAAGGAAGACAAGCUAGGCAUAUCCAAAUGAGUUGCCAUUUUGCAUGAUCCCUCAUAUCAUCAUAUCACAGCCCUCCACCAAAGUAGAGCUCAUGUCAUGCCUCCAUGAGAGCUCACCUUCAAUUCUUUGAUUCUGUCCAAAAUUUUAGCUUGUGAAGCAAGUAUUUUUUAUCUUGCUCCAUUAUGGCUGCCAAUUUUUCUAGGCCUUCUAUUAUCCAUAUAACUUACCUCCACCCAUUUUGGGCAUGGUUCAUCAAGCCAUUAUUCCUCUAAAUUUUUUGCAAGUUUCUGGUCAGUGGAAACGUUUGUGAAGGAAGUACCAUUUUGGUUUAUACAAUUGGUAUGAAAUCUUUUGAGAAUCUUCAUAGGACCAUAUGACUCUGCCUUGCCCAAUUUGAGCUCAAUUUGACACUCCAUGUGAGUGCAUCAUCCUAAUCUUGAUUCUGGACCAUCUUUGGCAGUUGCAAAGCAACUCUGUUAGAUCUUCAUCCAAACCCCUCCAUAGUUACCGAUGUAAGUCCUUCUUUACCUCAACCUUGCAGACAACUCCUUUUGACCCAAUCACCUCCCUAUUGAGCAGUAGUACACGAUCAAGUUUACUGCAGUAAACUUCAAGUGUUAACUGCCAUUUAACCAUGUCACUUUUACCCAAACUACCACCGCAGUUGCAACCUUCCCAGGAAGGACUCCACCCCAGAAAUCGUUCGACAUCGCUUGUGGCACUGUGUGCACUAGUGCGCGCAGUGACCACCGCUUUGGCAUGCAGUAUGCGUGGCCAGAACGUCGUUUGUGCUCGGGCCCCUCCUCCUCUUGUCGUCUUAGCGCGCGUGAGCAUGUCCAUUGUCUUCCUCUCGUCGUCGCCGAUCACCUGGACCCCGCUCCCCCUCCGGCAGCUUCCUCCCUGACGCAAACCGCCGUGUGCCCACGGACGCACAGUGGCGUUUUGGCUCAGUUCUUUGCCGCCUUCUUCCUCCUUGCGCCCCCUGGGCCUCCUCUGCCCCGUGAGAGCCUCCACUGCUCCUCCUUCGUCGCCUCCCUCCGAGCUCAUGCGCAUGGGCACGCGUCCGCGGCGGUGCCAGCUCGACCUCCUCCCCGCCGGCUAUUUAAGGCCUCCCCCGAGCCCUCCGAGCUCACCCGCAGCCUCACCCCUCCUCUCUAAGCCUCCCCGACCUCUCCUCUAAGCUCUAGGAGCUCUCCUCUCCGCGUUUGGCCGCCAUGGCCGCCGUCUCUGUCAACUCCGACUCCGGCAAGCCGGAGCUCUUCUCCUCCUUCCACCACCACCACUAGACCACCUAGACUCCAGCGCACAUCUCCCUUCUCUCAGCUUGACGGCGGGUCAACCCUGGCCUCGACCCCAACUCCGACCGAGCCGCCACCCGCCGCAGCCCUCGCCUUCGCCGUUCUCGAUCUCUCCGGUCACCGCGCUGCCCUGGGAUGGGUUGGCCUCGUCGCUCUGAGCACGUGGGUAGUUCGGGUGCCACCUACGAUGGCCGGGAUCGCCGGCAAACCUCGUCGGGGCCGGCUCUGCCUCGGCCAGGUGCGGGCGCAGGUGAGAAGAAGGAGACGACCCCCCUCCCUGCCAGCUGGCUGUGGGCCCCGCGCGUCAGCCGCACACCCGUUGACCCAGCCAGGCGCUGACGUGGAUUAGUGGAAACGUAUUCCAUAGAAUACGUUUUCACUAGUUGAAAGCGUAAGCUGCUGCGGUGCUGGGCGGAAAUGCGUUUUCGCUGCACCGAAAGCGUAUUUCCUCGAGUGCGCGUUCUGUUUUUCCGGUUGAGGGCCUGUUUGUGAAGAUUUUCUUACAGAUGGGUCCCUGGCAGAAAAACUAUCAUAUCUUUUUACUCACAACUCCAAAUGAGGUGAUUCCAAAGCCCACUUCUUCAUCUCGUCGAGCCCGUUCUGUUGGUUUCAUUUUCACUAUGGUUUGACACUGUGUAAAUGACCUGUUUGCCCUUGCACGUAAACAGCCCCUCCAAGAGAGAACUGUUUCCGACAAAUCUUCCCGCGGCUUCACCGCACUUCUCCCCGGUGCCUUCUUCAUCCCGAGGCAAGCCACAAUACCCACUUGCAUGAUAGUCAUGCAGUAGCCAUGGUUUUCAACUUGAAUAUUUAAUAAAUGUUUGCUUGUUUAAAUAUGGUUAUCGUUGUUCCGAUAAUGCUUCUGGGUUAGUGCUUACUUUCUUGCUAUGUUGUUAUGCACCUGGUUAUCAUGCCCUGCUAGUUGCUAGUAUUCCUUUCAUAUACUUAUGCUUGCUAGUAGUACCUAGUGAUGUUGGUGAUGGUCUUCGGUGCAUAACUAUCGUCUGUCCCGAGUACCGUUGUUAUAUAUGUUUCAUUGCAUUCCGUUGGUUAAAUGCUUUGCAUUGUUGUUAGGGUUCAUGCAUGAUAUUUAUGGUUGAUGCUAGUGGCCAUGUUAUGCUAUGAGUGGUGUUGCACUUAUAAUAUUUAUGCUCGUCAUUAUGCCAUGUUCAGUUGGAGAUUAUUCAUAGUUGAUAUGAUGGAUAGUUAUGUUGCAUCUCGUGCUUAUGUUGAUAUCAUGCUCAUGCUUUGUAUAUGCAUCAUGUUAUUUUAUCAUGGCUCAGCAUAUUGCAUUCAAGUUUAACCGGAUUUAAUUGAACUUGAACAACUGUUGGCUGAGUCAUGGUGCUGCCAUAUCGAAACUGACCAAUGCAACCACGCUUACCAUAUGGGAAGGUCCUAACUGGGUCUAUUGUCAUGCCUCUCACCGGUGCCUCCCGUGAGGGAAGGUUAUGCGCGGGCGCUACCCUGAUCAGGUAGGAUGGCAUAAGCCUUGUGUGCCCGUGUUUGGUUUAGAGCUCAUGUCCUCGUUUGGGACCAUUUUUGCCACGACGGUGGCUGUUGGUGCCUUUGGUAGGCACGGGGCCACCCAGGACUUAGCCCAAAGGGGAGUUGGUCGGAGUGGCUGGGGAGCGUCAUGGCAGUAGGACGGUUUUGUCGGAACGCUUUGGUCCACUCGAAUGGGAGUGAGAGGCCAGGGUUCCGUGGUGUGGGUACAGUGUGCUACCUCUGUAGUGUGUGUAUAUUAAAUCUAUCGAUAGUCGCACCCGCGGAUAAGGGCCCAGUUCGUGUCGGUCACAUCGUGAGUCAACAGUAUUAAUAAUAACUUGAUUAAUGACAACCCCGGUUCGACGAUGAGAUAAGUUGGUUGUGAUCGCCGGAAAGAUCACCGUUCGAGACCAAGUGUUGGUCAUGGUUGUGAUCGCCGGAAAUAUCACCGUUUGAGACCAAGUGUUGGUCAUGGUUGUGAUCGCCAGAAUGAUCACCGUGGUAUCGAGGAUACCAAGUUGUUGGAUAUUCGUGAUGUUGUGCGAGAAUCAUGGGUAAAGAUCAAGCUCCUUGUGGUCAUUUAAUGAUUACUACGGUAUUGUUUAUACCAAGCUUGACUUGAUCCUGAGAUGAUCGUGUGAUGUCCGAGGUUGGUAAGUGCUGCGUGUGAUGGUUACGAGAUAACCCGAGAAGAAUAAUUGGUGCAUGAAGUGUUAUCAUGUUGCAUGCUAGUAUCAUCAGAUUCAUAUGUUCAUGCCAUGCUCAUAUUGUUCUAGCUGUAUCAUGUUCAUGUUGCCUUUGGGUUCUUAGUGGCUAUUAUGAUUAUUUUCAUGACGGUAGCUGGUAUUAUUUUGGGAGUAUUACUUUGGAUUUCAUGUUGUUCAUGCCAUGUUAUUCUGAUGAUCUCAUAUUAAUCCCUGAUUAACUUGUAAUUGCCAUGCUGUUGUUUGUCUUGAAUGCUUCUGGUUAUUGUGAGCUUGCAACUACAUUCAAUGUACUGACCUGGCAUGUCAUGCCAGCUUGCAGGUCGUGCCUAGAUUGCUUGCUUGUUUGGUGUUGUUCCUGUGUUCGGGAGCUAGGAUAAGCGUUCCAGCCAGAGUCCCUGCGGAGUGGAGUUCACCACCGUCGUCGUUGUUCCACUGCCAGUAGUUUUUCCGCUGCUUCUGUUCUGCUGCUUGCAUAGAGCAACUGAGGAUGGCAUAGUGUCGCCGUGCUGAUGUUAUUCAUUGUGAUAUCGGAGACCUUGUAGUCAUAUUCGUGUAAUAAUAGAAAGCUGGUUUGUUCUAUGCUAAGCAGUGAUGUAUUCCAGAAGACAUCUCCUCGACCUCUGGGCUGGAAUACGGGGCGUUUCGGUUUUCUCUGAGCCGGGGUGCCACAGAUACGACCCGCCAGGCACUGGCCAUCAUUGACACAUGCCGGCUUAGCCAAUGAAGUGAUAGCUUUAAUCUUCUCCGGGUUAGCUUCAAUACCCCUCUCUGGGACCAGAAAACCCGAGAGCUUGCCUGCAGGUACACCAAAAAUACAUUUGGCCGGGUUAAGAAUCAUCUUAUAGACCCGAAGGUUGUCAAAAGUCUCCCUUAGAUCAUCCAGGAGAGUCUCCUUCUUUCUGGAUUUGACCACAAUGCCAUCCACAUAAGCAUGCACAUUACGCCCAAUCUGACAGUGAAAGCAAUUCUGAACACAACAUUGGUAAGUCGUCUGGGCACUCUUAAGCCCAAAAGGCAGAGAAACGUAAGAGAAGGCUCCAAAAGGGGUGAUAAAAGACAUCUUCUAUUGGUCCUUAACUGCCAUCUUAAUCUGAUGGUAACCAGAAUAAGCAUGCAGGAAACAUAAACUCUCACAACCCGCUAUGGCAUCAAUAAUCUGGUCGAUACAGGGGAGAGCAAACGGAUCAGCUGGACAAGCUUUGUUAAGAUCUGUGUAGUCAACACACAUACGCCAAGUGCCAUUCUUAUUGAUCACCACUCCGGAUGAAAGACCACCAAGAUAAACCCGGCUGCCAAGAGCCUGGCCACCUCUUCUUCAAUGGCCUUACUAUCACACCCUCGAUGCAACUAUAGCAACCACGUGUCGAGGCACGACUUAGAGACAUAAUCGCAUUGAAGGCAUAUGUCGCAAGUUAGGCAAUCUUCACAAACAUCCCAUGUAAUGUAAUAAUAAAAGGGGAGAUAACAUAGUUGGCUUACACUCGCCACGUCAGUCAAGUACAUAAAUAACAUUACAUCAGGCAUACACUCAUGGCCCGACUACGGCGCCAAAAUAAAAGAGAACCCAACAUGCGACAUGGUCCCAAUCACCCCCAACUGGGCACCACUACUGAUCGUCGGGAAAAGGAAACAUAGUAUCGUUGAGAGUCUUCGUCGAACUCCCACUUGAGCUCAUACGCGUCUCCUGGAGCGGAAUCAUCAGGCCCUGCAUCUGGUGUAAUAGUAAUCUGUGAGUCACAGGGACUCAGCAAUCUCGCACCCUCGAGAUCAAGACUAUUUAAGCUUAUGGGUAUGGCAAGGUAAAAUAUAAGUGGAGCUGCAGCAAGCGACUAGCAUAUAUGGUGGCUAACUUAUUCGCAAAAGAAAGCGAGAAGAGGAGGCAAAGCACGAGCGAGAAACUAGAGAGCAACCUGCGCAAACAUUACUCCAACACUGUGUCCACUUCCCGGACUCCGCCGAGAAGAGGCCAUCAUGGCAACACACUCAGUUAAUUAAUUUUAAUUAAUUAAGGUUCAAGUUAUCUACAACCGGACAUUAACAAAUUCCCAUCUGCCCAUAACCGCGGGCAUGGCUUUCGAAAGUUCAAUCCCUGCAGGGGAGUCCCAACUUAGCCCAUGACAAGCUCUCACGGUCAAUGAAGGAAUAGACCUCCUCCCAAGACGUUCCGAUCAGACUCGGUAUCUCGGUAAUUCAAGACACUUCGACAGGUUAAAACAAGACCAGCAACACCGCCCGAAUGUGCCGACAAAUCCCGAUAGGAGCUGCACAUAUCUCUUUCUCAGGGCACACUCAGAUUGUCUUAGGUACGGGUAGGCCAGCCCAGAGUUGCCCCUGGUGGCCACCGGCAGCUGACAGGUGGACCAACACUCAGAGGAGCAUUGGCCCGGGGGGGUUAAAAUAAGAUGACCCUUGAGUCUGCAGAACCCAAGGGAAAGAAAAGGCUAGGUGGCAAAUGGUAAAACCAAGGUUGGGCAUUGCUGGAAAAGCUUUAAUCAAGGCGAACUAUCAAGGGGUUCCCAUUAUAACCCAACCGCGUAAGGAACGCAAAAAAUCCGGGAACAUAACACCAAUAUGACGGAAACUAGGGCGGCAAGAGUGGAACAAAACACUAGGCGAGAGGCCAAGCCUUCCACCCUUUACCAAGUAAAUAGAUGCAUUAAGAUAACAUGGCAAUAUAGUGAUAUCCCAACAAGUAUAUAAAUGAUGUUCCAACAAGGAACGGCCUCCAAUCUUCACCUACAACUAGCAACGCUAUAAGAGGGGCUGAGCAAAGCGGUAACAUAGCCAAACAACGGUUUGCUAGGACAAUGGUGGGUUAGAGGUUUGACAUGGAAAUUUAGGAGGCUUUCAAGCAAGUGGUAGGCAUUGUAGCAAUGGCAUAGCAAAAGAGCGAGCAAACUGGCAUAGCAAAGGUAGUAGUGAUUUCGAGGGUAUGAUCAUCUUGCCUGCACAGCUGUCAGAGUUGACUGGAUCCUCAAAAGCAAACUCAACGGGCUCCUCGUUAGCGAACUCGUCUCCCGGCUCUACCCAAACAAGACAAACAAGCAACAAGGAUACAAUCAACCACGUGCAAGAUCAAGCAACACGAUGAAAUGAUGAUAUGCUAUGCGAGAUGCGAUGCGGGAUGCAAAAAUGCAAGAUAUGACAGGAAAAUGCAUGAACCUGGCCUCAACUUGGAAUUCCAAGGGUGCCACUAGAAAGAUGAGAAGAAAUCGCUUGAAAACGAUAUAAAGAACGCCGGAAUCGGAGUUACGGUUUGGAAAUGGCAAGCGAUUCAAAAAUGGCACCGGUCUGCAAUUUACAGCAAGUAGGCAUCUAAAUGCAAUGAGAUGAACAUGCUACAACACCCAAACAUGACAACAAAAUACAUGGCAGGGAAGCACACAACAUACGUAACAAAAGUCUAGCACUGAGCUACGGCCAAUUCACCCAUUAGGAGGUUCAAACAAGCAUGGCAAAAACGCAAAUGGUAAACAUAUCUCAGACUUAGUGAAAUUAACACUUGUCUGGAAUUUCAGAUCAUAUAGCCCUCUUCGGAGCAACAAAACAACAUGCUACAGGACAUGAACAUGACAAAGAAAGACAUGACAUGGAGCUACUCAACAAGCUUAACAAAAGUCCCUUAGUGACCUUGAGCCAAAAGGGAUCACAAAAUAUACUAGCAAGCACACGAACAUAGCAAAAACAUAAUCAGUUUUCAGACUUAGUGAGAACUGGGACAUGCUGAAACAUAACUCACGAAGGCAUGUUUACGAGCUCGAUGCACUCACCACGGUGCAAGUCAUGGCAAGACAAGCAUACAUCCCUUAAGAAGGCACAAAAUACAAGCUAGACAUGGCAAGAACAAUGGCAUGGCAUGCACGGAUCAACUACAACAACAUCGGCAAAAUCGCAAACAAGUUGACGAUCUGCCCAGAUUCACAACGAAGCAAAAGUAGAGCUCGAUUGACUCAAGCUAGGGUGCUCCAUAAUUGCAAACAAAUACAUGGAUGGAUAGAGCACUACAAGAUUAACAAAACUCCCUUACUGAACAUCCUCAAAAGAGGCACGGAUCACUAGGAAACAACAAGAACAUAUGGCAUCAUGAACUAAACAAUCCCAGACUUGGUGAAAACUACUAAGUCCCUGAAAACAGAUUUACCGGGUGCCUCACUUUGCAAGCUUGCACAAGUCACCACACACAUCACAAAAAUGCAUGGGUUGCACCUCUGGAAAGAUAACAAAAUCCUUAACAAAACAUCUAUAGGACUCAUAGGCAUAUCAUGCACACAAUAAUCAUGGCAAAAAUGACAAAAGCCUAAGAUGAACUAGCAGAUCUGACAAUUAACUCAUGAAGCCUCCUUCUAACAACAUUUCAGGCAUGAAUAUGAACUCAAAUGAAAAUGAUGCAAUGGAAUGAAAUGAUGUACUCAUCGAGUCGAACAUUUUGAUAUACCAUAUGCCCAAAUCGGAGCUACGGAUGCGGAGAUAUCACAGGUCAAAGUUUGCAUAAAAAAAUGAUGGGAGAGGUGGAAAGUCAACCCUAGGGUUUUUUUAGAUCUGGAUCUGGCGCCUAGUACUGUAGCAAUUACUGUAGCAAUCCGCGCCGAGGUCGCCAGAAAUGGCCGCGGUGGUGGCCGGAGUAGACGAGGGAGGCCGGAGAAGGUGCGGUGGCGAGGGAAGNNNNNNNNNNNNNNNNNNNNNNNNNNNNNNNNNNNNNNNNNNNNNNNNNNNNNNNNNNNNNNNNNNNNNNNNNNNNNNNNNNNNNNNNNNNNNNNNNNNNNNNNNNNNNNNNNNNNNNNNNNNNNNNNNNNNNNNNNNNNNNNNNNNNNNNNNNNNNNNNNNNNNNNNNNNNNNNNNNNNNNNNNNNNNNNNNNNNNNNNNNNNNNNNNNNNNNNNNNNNNNNNNNNNNNNNNNNNNNNNNNNNNNNNNNNNNNNNNNNNNNNNNNNNNNNNNNNNNNNNNNNNNNNNNNNNNNNNNNNNNNNNNNNNNNNNNNNNNNNNNNNNNNNNNNNNNNNNNNNNNNNNNNNNNNNNNNNNNNNNNNNNNNNNNNNNNNNNNNNNNNNNNNNNNNNNNNNNNNNNNNNNNNNNNNNNNNNNNNNNNNNNNNNNNNNNNNNNNNNNNNNNNNNNNNNNNNNNNNNNNNNNNNNNNNNNNNNNNNNNNNNNNNNNNNNNNNNNNNNNNNNNNNNCCUCCCGCGGGCUCGGGCGGGCCGGCGGCAGCAGUGGGUGGCGCCUGCCACAUGGCGAUGCAGGAUUGGCGGCGGCGGAAUCCGGACACGUCCGGCUCGCGCGGACGUUGUCCGGCGGCGGCGGAGAGGGAUUUUUAGGGUUAGGGGGGAGAGGAUCCGCGAAUUGGAAUAGGGGGGUGUAUAUAUAGGCAUAGGAGGAGCUAGGAGAGUCCAAAUAAGGUGCAGUUUUCGGCCACGCGAUCGUGAUCGAACGCUCUAGGACAUGGAGUAGAGUUUGGUGGGUGUUGCGCCAAAUUGGAGGGGUGUUGGGCUGCAACACACACGAGGCCUUUUCAGUCCCUUGGUUAACCGUUGGAGUAUCAAACGAAGUCCAAAUGGCACGAAACUUGAUAGGCGGUCUACCGAUAGUAAACCAAGGCCGCUUGACAAGUCUCGGUCCAAUCCGGAAAUGUUUAAUCCCCACACACGAAAGAAAGCUAGAAAUGACCACUGGAGGAGAACGAAGCGCCGGAAUGCAAAACGGACAACGGGGAAAAUGCUCGAAUGCAUGAGACGAACACGUAUGCAAAUGCAAUGCACAUGAUGACAUGAUAUGAGAUGCAUGACAAAGACAACAACACGAAAGACAAAAGACCCAAACCCGAGAAAAUAAAAUAACUUAACGCCGGAAACGGUAAGACUUGGAGUACAAAUUGGGAAAGUUACAUCCGUGGCGUUACAACACUCCACCACUACGAAAGGAUCUCGUCCCGAGAUCUAGGACUGAAAGAACGCGGGUACUCAGAACAGAGGUGGUCCUCGCGUUCCCAGGUAGCUUCACGAUCGGAAUGGUGUGACCACUUGACUUUAAGAAAUUUGAUUGACUUAUUGCGAGUCUUGCGUUCAGUCUCUUCAAGAAUAGCAACUGGGUGCUCACGAUAGGAAAGAUCUUCUUGGAUCUCAAUGUCCUCGAAGUUAACGGUGCGGUCAGGAGUCUUGAAGCACUUUCGAGGCUGAGAGACAUGGAACACGUCAUGAACAUUUGCAAAGUUUGAAGGAAGCUCGAGUUGAUAGGCGAGGUCGCCUCUCUUGCUGACAAUCUUGAAAGGUCCCACAUAUUUAGGGGCAAGCUUCCCUUUGAUACCGAAGCGACGAGUACCUUUCAUAGGAGAGACACGGAGGUAAACAUGAUCUCCGAUCUCGAAAGCCAAAUCACGAUGCUUACUAUCAUAGUAGCUCUUCUAGCGGGAUUGGGCCGCUUUGAGGUUAUCACGAAUGACUUUGCACAUUUCUUCUGCUUCUGUGAUUAAGUCAUUACCCAAAAGCUGACGUUCACCGGUUUCAGACCAGUUGAGAGGGGUAUGGCACUUCCUGCCAUACAGAAUUUCAAAUGGGGCCUUGCCCGAACUUUCUUGAAAACUGUUGUUGUAGGAGAAUUCAGCAUAAGGAAGACAAUCCUCCCACUUCAUACCGAAGGAGAUCACACAAGCCCUGAGCAUAUCUUCAAGAAUCUGGUUGACACGCUCGACUUGACGGCUUGUUUGAGGAUGGAAAGCUGUGCUGAAGCGGAUGUUGGUGCCCAUGGCCUUCUGAAAAGAAUCCCAAAAUUUUGAGGUAAAGAUGCUGCCACGGUCUGAAGAGAUCACUUGAGGAAUACCAUGCAGAGAGACAAUACGAGAGGUAUAGAGUUCCGCCAAUUGAGCUGCAGUGAUCGACUCUUUGAUAGGCAGAAAGUGAGCCACUUUGGUGAGUUUGUCGAUGACAACGAAUAUAGCAUCAUUGCCACGCUUGGACUUUGGAAACCCAGUCACAAAGUCCAUUUCAAUGUGGUCAAACUUCCAUUCUGGAAUGGCAAGAGGUUGGAGGAGACCUGCUGGCCUUUGGUGUUCUGCCUUCACUCUUCUGCAGACAUCACAUUCAUUCACGAAUUGAGCAAUCUCGCGCUUCAUUCGAGUCCACCAAUAAGCUUGCUUAAGGUCCUGAUACAUUAUCGUGCUCCCAGGGUAGAUGGAGAGGAGAGAAUUGUGAGCCUCGUUCAUGAUCACUUUACGAAGGUCACCUUUGGGUACAACAAUACGAUCCUCGAAGAAGAGAGUGUCCUUGUCAUCAAGGCGGUAGCACUUGUACUUGGACUAACUCUUGGCAAUCCCAAUCUUCACUUUUUUCACCAUAGCAUCAAGAAGCUGGGCUUGGCGAAUCUGGUCUUCUAAGGUAGGAGAGACUUGAAGGUUGGCGAGGAAACCUUGAGGAACAACUUGCAGAUUAAGUUUGCGGAAAGCUUCACAAAGCCCGGGUUGAUAAGGCUUGAGAAUCAGACUGUUGCAGUAAGCCUUUCUGCUCAAAGCGUCAGCAAUCACAUUAGCCUUGCCUGGAGUAUACUCAAUACUCGGAUUAUACUCUUGAAUUAUUUCGACCCAUCGAGUUUGCCUAAGGUUGAGAUUAGGCUGAGUGAAGAUGUACUUGAGACUCUUGUGAUCAGUGAAAAUGUCCACUUUUCUUCCCAAUAGAAGAUGUCUCCAAGUCAAAAGAGCAUGCACAACUGCCGCCAACUCGAGAUCAUGAGUGGGGUAGUUCUUCUCAUUAGGCUUCAACUGGCGAGAUGUAUAAGCAACAACUUUCUUCUCUUGCAUCAAAACUGCGCCAAGACCUUGGAGAGAGGCAUCACAAAAGACCUCGUACGGCUUGAAUUCAUCAGGCGGAGUCAGAACUGGAGCAGUGAUCAAUUUCUCUUUCAAAGUGUUGAAAGCAAUAUCACACUCCGGAGACCAAACGUACUUGACGUGCUUCUGGAGAAGAUUUGAGAGAGGCUUCGCGAUCUUAGAAAAGUUUUCAACGAAUCUUCGGCAAUAGCUUGCGAGACCGAGAAAACUGCAGAGUUGCUUCACAUUCUGAGGAGGUUCCCAAUUCACAAUUGCAGACACCUUCUUAGGAUUCACGGCAAUGCCCUUGGCAGAGAUGAUAUGACCAAGAUAAAGAACCUCAUCAAGCCAAAAUUCACACUUGAAGAACUUUGCGUAGAACUGAUGUUCCCUGAGCUUGUCAAGAACCAAACACAAGUGCUUGGCAUGAUCUUCCUUGUUCUUGGAGAAAACCAGAAUGUUGUCGAGAUAGACCAAAACGAAGUCAUUGGUGUAGGCGUUGAAGAUGAAGUUUUUCAUGCGAGAGAACGUCGGAGGAGCGUUGGCGAGGCCAAAAGACAUGACAGUGUAUUCAUAUGAACCAAAGCUUGUUCUGAAUGCUGUCUUGGGAAUAUCUACUUCACGAAUGCGAAUCUGGUGAUAACCCAUACGGAGAUCAAGCUUGGAGAAUACUUGGGCACCUUUGAGUUGUUCGAACAGCUCAUUGAUGUUGGGAAGUGGGUAUUUGUUCUUGAUGGUCUUCUUGUUCACUGGACGGUAAUCAACACAAAGUCGGUCCGUUCCAUCCUUCUUCUUCACAAAAAGAACACCACAACCCCACGGAGAAGAACUAGGCCAGAUGAGACCCAUUCUUUCUUUCUCAUCGAGUUGCUUCUUCAGCUCCUUCAACUCUUCAGGUCUGAGCUUGUAAGGAUGUUUGCACACAGGUUCCGUACCAGGCUCAAGAUCAAUAACUAAUUCAACUAGCCGGUGCGGAGGCAUUCCUGGAAGCUCUUCUGGAAAGACGUCUUGAUAUUCGCAAACGACUGGAAUUUGAGAGAUGGCAUCCAAUUCACCCUUCUCAUUGAGAGAAAACAGACGGAUAGUAUUAUCCCGAGCGGCAAAGACAAUAACAUCCUCAGACGAAUGAGUCAAUUGAAUCUGCCUGGCUGCACAAUCAAGCUGAGCCUUGUGCUUAGAAAGCCAAUCCAUCCCGAGAAUAAGAUCAAUAUCCGAGUCACCGAGAACCGUUGGAGAAGAUAGAAACUUGUAGUCACCCAAAGUGAUAGAAACAUCCGGAACAAUGGAGUUAGCAUGCAUGCACUUACCGGGAGAGACAACUGCUAAAGGACUAGGCAAAAUUUGCAAAGGCAAACCAUGCUUAGAUGAAAACGGUCUCGAGAUGAAACAAUGCGAUGCACCCGUGUCAAAAAGAACUUUUGCAGGAAUAUCAUUAACAGGAAGGUUACCCAUGAUCACAUCUGACGAGUCCCCUGCCUGAGCUGCAUUCAUCAAAUUGACCUUGGCAUGCUUGGUAUUAUGCUUGACCACAACUGUACUUGCCGAUCUGACAGGAGGAGGAGGAGGAAGACGCCUCUGGUUGAAACACUUGUUGGCAUAGUGACCCUUCUGUUGGCACUUGUUGCACGUGACCUCUGAAAGCGGACGGUGAUACGGAGUAGUCGAUCUUGGUGGUUGAGACGGAGUCUUGUUCUGAAAGCCUGGGUUGGGUGGGUGGGAAGAACCACUGCCACCUUUGCUCUUCUGCUGAUACGGCUGACCGUACGGAGGAGGAGGAAGCCAAAACUUCUGCUGCUUGGCCACUUGAGUAGAGGAAGAAGGAGCAACAUCUCUGACUCGCUUCUUGGAAGCAUCACACCUCAACUGAGCAGCCUCUUGCUUCAGUGCCAUGUUGUAGAACUCAUCGUAUCUCAAGGGCUCGAAAAGAACAAGAGCGAGCUGAAUAUCUUCUCUGAGACCACCCUUGAACUGAUAUAUCAUGCUCUUCUCAUCAGGGACGUCCUGCUUGGCAAAGCGAGCGAGCUUCUGGAACAACUUGUUGUAGUCAUAGACAGACAAAGAGCCUUGCUUCAGAUUGCGGAAUUCCUCACGCUUGCUUUCAACCACGCUCUGCGGAAUAUGAUGAGCUCGGAAAUCUCGACCGAAAUCAUCCCAAGUAAUAACACGUCCACCUCUGGAGUCCUUGUACUGCUGGAACCAUUCUGCAGCUUGAUCUUUGAGUUGGAAAGAAGCGAACUUAACAAAGUCCUCAGGCCUGACGUUACUGCACUCGAAAUGCUUACACAGAUCCACAAGCCAAUUGUCAGCAUCGGUUGCCUCAACACAAUUGCUGAAAGUCUUUGCCCCGUUAGCAAGGAACUGGUUGAGUGUAGCAAAGUGACUCUGAUGGCUGCCUUGAUUCCCUUGACUGCCCUGAUUGCGCUCUUGAAGAAUUUGCAUGAUCAGCUGUGUGUUUGCAUUGGUUGCGGCCAUCACAGCUUGCCAUGCCUCUGGAGGAGGUGGGGAUGGUGGCGGAUCAGGAUUUGGAGUUGUGCACGUUGGAGGAGCCAUCCUGAAGAGGUUGACCACCAUUAGCACAAUGAUAGAUAAAUAUUGAAGCUGAAUCCAAUGGAAUGAGGAUUGCAACAUAUAGUCUUCACAUCCGAACAAAAUGAACGAAUGCAUUCCUCUUGAAAUGGUCACAUAUCCAUAAAUUGAGAAGCCACGUAGAAUUAAGGUAGAGAAAUAAAUCAACAAGGUACGGAUCAAGAACGAAUAAUCGGUAAGAAAUCCCAAUCUCAAACCAAUAUCCAUGGAAGAAGAACUAGAGCUACUAGAAUUCCCACCUAUGAAACUUCCGAACCUUUCCGGUUAUGCAAUCAGGUGUUGGGGAUACAGGGGAAGCAUAAUAUUUCACCCAAACUAGCAAAUCCUACAUCUAGCUAUAUCCAUCCUUCAACACAUAACCAAGAAACCUUCGGAAACCAUCUACCUCAACCUUCGAAAAGCAUCCGUUAUACAAGUUAUGGCGAUACUACCGAACUCCUGCCCCAGUACUGGGUGGCGUCGAGGUUAUCUCACCAACGAACUGCAUAAAAGAGAUUUUUGAUGUCGGCGUACUAAACUCAGGUAUUCCAGAACUACAACGAUAAAAUUAUGAUGACAACACCUCAGAGCUCAACUCCCCAGGACACUUCCACUAAACCCCUCACAGGAGGCACAAAGUCAAUGUUCUCAUCAUAAAACCAUCGGAACGAUUCCAAGAUACCCGCGUGAUCCUAAAUUUUUUUUAGUGAAAUUUGAGAAGAGAAGAGUCAAAACUCUACGUCAGGAUGCCUUACCAGAGCGAUGAGGAGACUGGGAAGUAAAAAAAGAAUUCCUAAACUCUCAGAUAUAUAAUUCCUAAAAGACUCAAAACAUUUUUCUAGACACAACUCGACCGCUAAAACGAUCAAGCAAUGGGGCUCCUAAGGUCGGGGAAGGCUCUGAUUACCAACUUGUCACACCCUCGAUGCGAAUAUAGCUCCCACGUGUCGAGGCACGACUUAGAGACAUAAUCGCAUUGAAGGCAUAUGUCGCAAGUUAGGCAAUCUUCACAAACAUCCCAUGUAAUGUAAUAAUAAAAGGGGAGAUAACAUAGUUGGCUUACACUCGCCACGUCAAUCAAGUACAUAAAUAACAUUACAUCAGUCAUACACUCAUGGCCCGACUACGGCGCCAAAAUAAAAGAAAACCCAACAUGCGACACGGUCCCAAUCACCCCCAACUGGGCACCACUACUGAUCGUCAGGAAAAGGAAACAUAGUAUCGUUGAGAGUCUUCGUUGAACUCCCACUUGAGCUCAUACGCGUCUCCUGGAGCGGAAUCAUCAGGCCCUGCAUCUGGUGUAAUAGUAAUCUGCGUGCCACAGGGACUCAACAAUCUCGCACCCUCGCGAUCAAGACUAUUUAAGCUUAUGGGUAUGGCAAGGUAAAAGAUAAGUGGAGCUGCAGCAAGCGACUAGCAUAUAUGGUGGCUAACUUAUUCGCAAAAGAGAGCGAGAAGAGGAGGCAAAGCACGAGCGAGAAACUAGAGAGCAACCUGCGCAAACAUUACUCGAACACCGUGUCCACUUCCCGGACUCCGCCGAGAAGAGGCCAUCACGGUAACACACUCAGUUGAUUCAUUUUAAUUAAUUAAGGUUCAAGUUAUCUACAACCGGACAUUAACAAAUUCCCAUCUGCCCAUAACCGCGGGCACGGCUUUCGAAAGUUCAAUCCCUGUAGGGGAGUCCCAACUUAGCCCAUGACAAGCUCUCACGGUCAAUGAAGGAAUAGACCUCCUCCCAAGACGUUCCGAUCAGACUCGGUAUCUCGGUAAUUCAGGACACUUCGAUAGGUUAAAACAAGACCACAACACCGCCAGAAUGUGCCGACAAAUCCCGAUAGGAGCUACACAUAUCUCUUUCUCAGGGCACACUCAGAUUGUCUUAGGUACGGGUAGGCCAGCCCAGAGUUGCCCCUGGUGGCCACCGGCAGCUGACAGGUGGACCAACACUCAGAGGAGCACUGGCCCGGGGGGGUUAAAAUAAGAUGACCCUUGCAUCUGCAGAACCCAAGGGAAAGAAAAGGCUAGGUGGCAAAUGGUAAAACCAAGGUUGGGCAUUGCUGGAAAAGCUUUAAUCAAGGCGAACUAUCAAGGGGUUCCCAUUAUAACCCAACCGCGUAAGGAACGCAAAAAAUCCGGGAACAUAACACCGAUAUGACGGAAACUAGGGCGACAAGAGUGGAACAAAACACUAGGCGAGAGGCCGAGCCUUCCACCCUUUACCAAGUAUAUAGAUGCAUUAAGAUAACAUUGCAAUAUAGUGAUAUCCCAACAAGUAUAUAAAUGAUGUUCCAACAAGGAACGGCCUCCAAUCUUCACCUGCAACUAGCAACGCUAUAAGAGGGGCUGAGCAAAGCGGUAACAUAGCCAAACAACGGUUUGCUAGGACAAUGGUGGGUUAGAGGUUUGACAUGGCAAUUUAGGAGGCUUUCAAGCAAGUGGUAGGCAUUGUAGCAAUGGCAUAGCAAAAGAGCGAGCAAACUGGCAUAGCAAAGGUAGUAGUGAUUUCGAGGGUAUGAUCAUCUUGCCUGCACAGCUGUCAGAGUUGACUGGAUCCUCAAAAGCAAACUCAACGGGCUCCUCGUUAGCGAACUCGUCUCCCGGCUCUACCCAAACAAGACAAACAAGCAACAAGGAUACAAUCAACCACGUGCAAGAUCAAGCAACACGAUGAAAUGAUGAUAUGCUAUGCGGGAUGCGAUGCGGGAUGCAAAAAUGCAAGAUAUGACAGGAAAAUGCAUGAACCUGGCAUCAACUUGGAAUUCCAAGGGUGCCACUGGAAAGAUGAGAUGAAAUCGCUUGAAAACGAUAUAAAGAACGCCGGAAUCGGAGUUACGGUUUGGAAAUGGCAAGCGAUUCAAAAAUGACACCGGUCUGCGAUUUACAGCACGUAGGCAUCUAAAUGCAAUGAGAUGAACAUGCUACAGCACCCAAACAUGACAACAAAAUACAUGGCAGGGAAGCACACAAGAUACGUAACAAAAGUCUAGCACUGAGCUACGGCCAAUUCACCCAUUAGGAGGUUCAAACAAGCAUGACAAAAACGCAAAUGGUAAACAGAUCUCAGACUUAGUGAAAUUAACACUUCUCUGGAAUUUCAGAUCAUAUAGCCCUCUUCGGAGCAACAAAACAACAUGCUACAGGACCUGAACAUGACAAAGAAAGACAUGGCAUGGAGAUCCUAAACAAGCUUAACAAAAGUCCCUUAGUGACCUUGAGCCAAAAGGGAUCACAAAAUAUACUAGUAAGCACACGAACAUAGCAAAAACAUAAUCAGUUUUCAGACUUAGUGAGAACUGGGACAUGCUGAAACAUAACUCACGAAGGCAUGUUUACGAGCUCGAUGCACUCACCACGUUGCAAGUCAUGGAAAUACAAGCAUACAUCCCUUAAGAAGGCACAAAAUACAAGCUAGACAUGGCAAGAACAAUGGCAUGGCAUGCACGGAUCAACUACAACAAACAUCGGCAAAAUCGCAAACAAGUUGACGAUCUGCCCAGAUUCACAACGAAGCAAAAGUAGAGCUCGAUUGACUCAAGCUAGGGUGCUCCAUAAUUGCAAACAAAGACAUGGAUGUAUAUAGCACUACAAGAUUAACAAAACUCCCUUACUGAACAUCCUCAAAAUAGGCACGGAUCACUAGGAAACAACAAGAACAUAUGGCAUCAUGAACUAAACAAUCCCAGACUUAGUGAAAACUACUAAGUCCCUGAAAACAGAUUUACCGGGUGCCUCACUUUGCAAGCUUGCACAAGUCACCACACACAUCACAAAAAUACAUGGGUUGCACCUCUGGAAAGAUAACAAAAUCCUUAACAAUACAUCUAUAGGACUCAUAGGCAUAUCAUGCACACAAUAAUCAUGGCAAAAAUGACAAAAGCCUAAGAUGAACUAGCAGAUCUGACAAUUAACUCACGAAGCCUCCUUCUAACAGCAUUUUGGGCAUCAAGAUGAACUCAAAUGAAAAUGAUGCAAUGGAAUGAAAUGAUGUACUCAUCGAGGUGAACAUUUUGAUAUACUAUAUGCCCAAUUCAGAGCUACGGAUGCGGAGAUAUCACAGGUCAAAGUUUGCAUAAAAAAUGACGGGAGAGGUGGAAAGUCAACCCUAGGGUUUUUUUUAGAUCUGGAUCUGGCACCCGGUACUGUAGCAGUUACUUUAGCAAUCCGUGCCGAGGUCACCGGAAAUGGCCGCGGUGGUGGCCGGAGUAGACGAGGGAGGCCGGAGAAGGUGCGGUGGCGAGGGAAGGAANNNNNNNNNNNNNNNNNNNNNNNNNNNNNNNNNNNNNNNNNNNNNNNNNNNNNNNNNNNNNNNNNNNNNNNNNNNNNNNNNNNNNNNNNNNNNNNNNNNNNNNNNNNNNNNNNNNNNNNNNNNNNNNNNNNNNNNNNNNNNNNNNNNNNNNNNNNNNNNNNNNNNNNNNNNNNNNNNNNNNNNNNNNNNNNNNNNNNNNNNNNNNNNNNNNNNNNNNNNNNNNNNNNNNNNNNNNNNNNNNNNNNNNNNNNNNNNNNNNNNNNNNNNNNNNNNNNNNNNNNNNNNNNNNNNNNNNNNNNNNNNNNNNNNNNNNNNNNNNNNNNNNNNNNNNNNNNNNNNNNNNNNNNNNNNNNNNNNNNNNNNNNNNNNNNNNNNNNNNNNNNNNNNNNNNNNNNNNNNNNNNNNNNNNNNNNNNNNNNNNNNNNNNNNNNNNNNNNNNNNNNNNNNNNNNNNNNNNNNNNNNNNNNNNNNNNNNNNNNNNNNNNNNNNNNNNNNNNNNNCUCCCGCGGGCCCGGGCGGGCUGGCGGUGGCGGCGUGGCGAUGCGUGAUUGGCGGCGGCGAAAUCCGGACACGUCCGGCUCGCGCGGACAUUGUCCGGCGGCGGCGGAGAGGGAUUUUUAGGGUUAGGGGGAGUGGAUCCGCGAAUUGGAAUAGGGGGGUGUAUAUAUAGGCAUAGGAGGAGCUAGGAGAGUCCAAAUGAGGUGCAGUUUUCGACGACGCGAUCGUGAUCGAACGCUCUAGGACAUGGAGCAGAGUUUGGUGGGUGUUGGGCCAAAUUUGAGGGGUGUUGGGCUGCAACACACACGAGGCCUUUUCGGUCCCACGGUUAACCGUUGGAGUAUCAAACGAAGUCCAAAUGGCACGAAACUUUACAGGCGGUCUACCGGUAGUAAACCAAGGCCGCUUGACAAGUCUCGGUACAAUCCGGAAAUGUUUAAUCCCCACACACGAAAGAAAGCUAGAAAUGACCACCGGAGGAGAACGACGCGCCGGAAUGCAAAACGGACAACGGGGAAAAUGCUCGAAUGCAUGAGACAAACAUGUAUGCAAAUGCAAUGCACAUGAUGACAUGAUAUGAGAUGCAUGACAACGACAACGACACGAAAGACAAAAGACCCGAACCCGAGAAAAUAAAAUAACUUAACGCCGGAAACGGUAAGAGUUGGAGUACAAAUUGGGAAAGUUACAUCUGGGGCGUUACAACACUCCACCACUACGAAAGGAUCUCGUCCCGAGAUCUAGGACUGAAAGAACGCCGGGUACUCAGAACGGAGGUGGUCCUCGCGUUCCCAAGUAGCUUCACGGUCGGAAUGGUGUGACCACUUGACUUUGAGAAAUUUGAUUGACUUGUUGCGAGUCUUGCAUUCAGUCUCUUCAAGAAUAGCAACUGGGUGCUCACGAUAGGAAAGAUCUUCUUGGAGCUCAAUGUCCUCGAAGUGAACAGUGCGGUCAGGAGUCUUGAAGCACUUUCGAAGCUGAGAGACAUGAAACACGUCAUGAACAUUUGAAAAGUUUGAAGGAAGCUCGAGUUGAUAGGCGAGGUCGCCUCUCUUGCUAACAAUCUUGAAAGGUCCCACGUAUCUAGGGGCAAGCUUCCCUUUGAUACCGAAGCGAUGAGUACCUUUCAUAGGAGAGACACGGAGGUAAGCAUGAUCUCCGAUCUCGAAAGCCAAAUCACGGUGCUUACUAUCAUAGUAGCUCUUCUGGCGGGAUUGGGCCGCCUUGAGGUUAUAACGAAUGACUUUGCACAUUUCUUCUGCUUUUGUGAUUAAGUCAUUACCCAAAAGAUGACGUUCACUGGUUUCAGACCAGUUGAGAGGGGUACGGCACUUGCUGCCAUACAGAAUUUCAAAUGGGGCCUUGCCCGAACUUGCUUGAAAACUGUUGUUGUAGGAGAAUUCAUCAUAAGGAAGACAAUCCUCCCACUUCAUGCCGAAGGAGAUCACACAAGCCCUGAGCAUAUCUUCAAGAAUCUGGUUGACACGCUCGACUUGACCGCUUGUUUGAGGAUGGAAAGCUGUGCUGAAGCGGAUGUUGGUGCCCAUGGCCUUCUGAAAAGAAUCCCAAAAUUUCGAGGUAAAGAUGCUGCCACGGUCUGAAGAGAUCACUUGAGGAAUACCGUGCAGAGAGACAAUACGAGAGGUAUAGAGUUCCGCCAAUUGAGCUGCAGUGAUCGACUCUUUGAUAGGCAGAAAGUGAGCCACUUUGGUGAGUUUGUCGAUGACAACGAAUAUAGCAUCAUUGCCACGCUUGGACUUUGGAAACCCAGUCACGAAGUCCAUUUCAAUGUGGUCAAACUUCCAUUCUAGAAUGGCAAGAGGUUGGAGGAGACCUGCUGGCCUUUGGUGUUCUGCCUUCACUCUUCUUCAGACAUCACAUUCAUUCACGAAUUGAGCAAUCUCGCGCUUCAUUCGAGUCCACCAAUAAGCUUGCUUAAGGUCCUGAUACAUCUUCGUGCUCCCAGGGUAGAUGGAGAGGAGAGAAUUGUGAGCCUCGUUCAUGAUCACUUUACGAAGGUCACCUUUGGGUACAACAAUACGAUCCUCGAAGAAGAGAGUGUCCUUGUCAUCAAGGCGGUAGCACUUGUACUUGGACUGACUCUUGGCAAUCCCAAUCUUCACUUUUUUCACCAUAGCAUCAAGAAGCUGGGCUUGGCGAAUCUGGUCUUCUAAGGUAGGAGAGACUUGAAGGUUGGCGAGGAAACCUUGAGGAACAACUUGCAGAUUAAGUUUGCAGAAAGCUUCACAAAGCCCGGGUUGAUAAGGCUUGAGAAUCAGACUGUUGCAGUAAGCCUUUCUGCUCAAAGCGUCAGCAAUCACAUUAGCCUUGCCUGGAGUAUACUCAAUACUCGGAUUAUACUCUUGAAUCAUUUCGACCCAUCGAGUUUGCCUGAGGUUGAGAUUAGGCUGAGUGAAGAUGUACUUGAGACUCUUGUGAUCAGUGAAAAUGUCCACUUUUCUUCCCAAUAGAAGAUGUCUCCAAGUCAAAAGAGCAUGCACAACUGCCGCCAACUCGAGAUCAUGAGUGGGGUAGUUCUUCUCAUUAGGCUUCAACUGGCGAGAUGUAUAAGCAACAACUUUCUUCUCUUGCAUCAAAACUGCGCCAAGACCUUGGAGAGAGGCAUCACAAAAGACCUCGUACGGCUUGAAUUCAUCAGGCGGAGUCAGAACUGGAGCAGUGAUCAAUUUCUCUUUCAAAGUGUUGAAAGCAAUAUCACACUCCGGAGACCAAACGUACUUGACGUGCUUCUGGAGAAGAUUUGAGAGAGGCUUCGCGAUCUUAGAAAAGUUUUCAACGAAUCUUCGGCAAUAGCCUGCGAGACCGAGAAAACUGCGGGAGUUGCUUCACAUUCUGAGGAGGUUCCCAAUUCACAAUUGCAGACACCUUCUCAGGAUUCACGGCAAUACCCUUGGCAGAGAUGAUAUGACCAAGAUAAAGAACCUCAUCAAGCCAAAAUUCACACUUGAAGAACUUGGCGUAGAACUGAUGUUCCCUGAGCUUGUCAAGAACCAAACGCAAGUGCUUGGCAUGAUCUUCCUUGUUCUUGGAGAAAACCAGAAUGUCAUCGAGAUAGACCAAAACAAAGUCAUUGGUGUAGGCGUUGAAGAUGAAGUUCAUCAUGCGAGAGAACGUCGGAGGAGCGUUGACGAGGCCAAAAGACAUGACAGUGUAUUCAUAUGAACCAAACCUUGUUCUGAAUGCUGUCUUGGGAAUAUCUACUUCAUGAAUGCGAAUCUGGUGAUAACCCAUACGGAGAUCAAGCUUGGAGAAUACUUGGGCACCUUUGAGUUGUUCGAACAGCUCAUUGAUGUUGGGAAGUGGGUAUUUGUUCUUGAUGGUCUUCUUGUUCACUGGACGGUAAUCAACACAAAGUCGGUCCGUUCCAUCCUUCUUCUUCACAAAAAGAACACCACAACCCCACAGAGAAGAACUAGGCCGGAUGAGACCCAUUCUUUCUUUCUCAUCGAGUUGCUUCUUCAGCUCCUUCAACUCUUCAGGUCCGAGCUUGUAAGGACGUUUGCACACAGGUUCCGUACCAGGCUCAAGAUCAAUAACAAAUUCAACUGGCCGGUGCGGAGGCAUUCCUGGAAGCUCUUCUGGAAAGACGUCUUGAUAUUCGCAAACGACUGGAAUUUGAGAGAUGGCAUCCAAUUCACCCUUCUCAUUGAGAGAAAACAGACGGAUAGUAUUAUCCCGAGCGGCAAAGACAAUAACAUCCUCAAAUGAAUGAGUCAAUUGAAUCUGCCUGGCUGCACAAUCAAGCUGAGCCUUGUGCUUAGAAAGCCAAUCCAUCCCGAGAAUAAGAUCAAUAUCCGAGUCACCGAGAACCGUUGGAGAAGAUAGAAACUUGUAGUCACCCAAAGUGAUAGAAACAUCCGGAACAAUGGAGUUAGCAUGCAUGCGCUUACCGGGAGAGACAACUGCUAAAGGACUAGGCAAAAUUUGCAAAGGCAAACCAUGCUUAGAUGAAAACGGUCUCGAGAUGAAACAAUGCGAUGCACCCGUGUCAAAAAGAACUUUUGCAGGAAUAUCAUUAACAGGAAGGUUACCCAUGAUCACAUCUGACGAGUCCUCUGCCUGAGCUGCAUUCAUCAAAUUGACCUUGGCAUGCUUGGGAUUAUGCUUGACCACAGAUGUACUUGCUGAUCUGACAGGAGGAGGAGGAGGAAGACGCCUCUGGUUGAAACACUUGUUGGCAUAGUGACCCUUCUGUUGGCACUUGUUGCAUGUGACCUCUGAAAGCGGACGGUGAUACGGAGCAGUCGAUCUUGGUGGUUGAGACGGAGUCUUGUUCUGAAAGCCUGGGUUGGGUGGGUGGGAAGAACCACUGCCACCUUUGCUCUUCUGCUGAUACGGCUGACGGAACGGAGGAGGAGGAAGCCAAAACUUCUGCUGCUUGGCCACUUGAGUAGAGGAAGAAGGAGCAACAUCUCUGACUCGCUUCUUGGAAGCAUCACACCUCAACUGAGCAGCCUCUUGCUUCAGUGCCAUGUUGUAGAACUCAUCGUAUCUCAAGGGCUCGAAAAGAACAAGAGCGAGCUGAAUAUCUUCUCUGAGACCACCCCUGAACUGAUAUAUCAUGCUCUUCUCAUCAGGGACGUCCUGCUUGGCAAAGCGGGCGAGCUUCUGGAACAACUUGUUGUAGUCAUAGACAGACAAAGAGCCUUGCUUCAGAUUGCGGAAUUCCUCACGCUUGCUUUCAACCAUGCUCUGCGGAAUAUGAUGAGCUCGGAAAUCUCGACAGAAAUCAUCCCAAGUAAUAACACGUCCACCUCUGGAGUCCUUGUACUGCUGGAACCAUUCUGCAGCUUGAUCUUGGAGUUGGAAGGAAGCGAACUUAACAAAGUCCUCAGGCCUGACGUUACUGCACUCGAAAUGCUUACACAGAUCCACAAGCCAAUCGUCAGCAUCGGUUGCCUCAACACAAUUGCUGAAAGUCUUUGGCCCGUUAGCAAGGAACUGGUUGAGUGUAGCAAAGUGACUCUGAUUGCUGCCUUGAUUCCCUUGACUGCCUUGAUUGCGCUCUUGAAGAAUUUGCAUGAUCAGCUGUGUGUUUGCAUUGGUUGCGGCCAUCACAGCUUGCCAUGCCUCUGGAGGAGGUGGGGGUGGUGGCGGAUCAGGAUUUGGAGUUGUGCGCGUUGGAGGAGCCAUCCUGAAGAGGUUGACCACCAUUAGCACAUUGAUAGAUAAAUAUUGAAGCUGAAUCCAACGGAAUGAAGAUUGCAACAUAUAGUCUUCACAUCCGAACAAAAUGAACGAAUGCAUUCCUCUUGAAAUGGUCACAUAUCCAUAAAUUGAGAAGCCACGUAGAAUUAAGGUAGAGAAAUAAAUCAACAAGGUACGGAUCAAGAACGAAUAAUCGGUAAGAAAUCCCAAUCUCAAACCAAUAUCCGUGGAAGAAGAACUAGAGCUACUAGAAUUCCCACGUAUGAAACUUCCGAACCUUUCCGGUUAUGCAAUCAGGUGUUGGGGAUACAGGGGAAGCAUAAUAUUUCACCCAAACUAGCAAAUCCUACAUCCAGCUGUAUCCAUCCUUCAACACAUAACCAAGAAACCUUCGAAAACCAUCUACCUCAACCUUCGAAAAGCAUCUGUUAUACAAGUUAUGGCGAUACUCCCGAACUCCCGCCCCAGUACUGGGUGGCGUCGAGGUUAUCUCACCAAUGAACUGCAUAAAAGAGAUUUUCGAUGUCAGCGUACUAAACUCAGGUAUUCCAGAACUGCAAUGAUAAAAUUAUGAUGACAACACCUCAGAGCUCAACUCCCCGGGACACUUCCACUAAACCCCUGACAGGAGGCACCAAGUCAAUGUUCUCAUCAUAAAACCAUCGAAACGAUUCCAAGAUACCCGCGUGAUCCUAAAAAAAAUUUAGUGAAAUUUGAGAAGAGAAGAGUCAAAACUCUACGUCAGGAUGCCUUACCAGAGCGAUGAGGAGACUGGGAAGUAAAAAAAGAAUUCCUAAACUCUCCGAUAUAUAAUUCCUAAAAGACUCCUAAGGUCGGGGAAGGCUCUGAUUACCAACUUGUCACACCCUCGAUGCGAAUAUAGCUCCCACGUGUCGAGGCACGACUUAGAGACAUAAUCGCAUUGAAGGCAUAUGUCGCAAGUUAGGCAAUCUUCACAAACAUCCCAUGUAAUGUAAUAAUAAAAGGGGAGAUAACAUAGUUGGCUUACACUCGCCACGUCAAUCAAGUACAUAAAUAACAUUACAUCAGGCAUACACUCAUGGCCCGACUACGGCGCCAAAAUAAAAGAGAACCCAACAUGCGACAUGGUCCCAAUCACCCCCAACUGGGCACCACUACUGAUCGUCGGGAAAAGGAAACAUAGUAUCAUUGAGAGUCUUCGUCGAACUCCCACUUGAGCUCAUACGCGUCUCCUGGAGCGGAAUCAUCAGGCCCUGCAUCUGGUGUAAUAGUAAUCUGUGAGCCACAGGGACUCAGCAAUCUCGCACCCUCGCGAUCAAGACUAUUUAAGCUUAUGGGUAUGGCAAGGUAAAAUAUAAGUGGAGCUGCAGCAAGCGACUAGCAUAUAUGGUGGCUAACUUAUUCGUAAAAGAGAGCGAGAAGAGGAGGCAAAGCACGAGCGAGAAACUAGAGAGCAACCUGCGCAAACAUUACUCCAACACCGUGUCCACUUCCCGGACUCCGCCGAGAAGAGGCCAUCACGUUAACACACUCAGUUGAUUCAUUUUAAUUAAUUAAGGUUCAAGUUAUCUACAACCGGACAUUAACAAAUUCCCAUCUGCCCAUAACCGCGGGCACGGCUUUCAAAAGUUCAAUCCCUGCAGGGGAGUCCCAACUUAGCCCAUGACAAGCUCUCACGGUCAACGAAGGAAUAGACCUCCUCCCAAGACGUUCCGAUCAGAGUCGGUAUCUCGGUAAUUCAAGACACUUCGACAGGUUAAAACAAGACCAACAACACCGCUCGAAUGUGCCGACAAAUCCCGAUAGGAGCUGCACAUAUCUCUUUCUCAGGGCACACUCAGAUUGUCUUGGUAUGGGUAGGCCAGCCCAGAGUUGCCCCUGGUGGCCACCGGCAGCUGACAGGUGGACCAACACUCAGAGGAGCACUGGCCCCGGGGGGUUAAAAUAAGAUGACCCUUGAGUCUGCAGAACCCAAGGGAAAGAAAAGGCUAGGUGGCAAAUGGUAAAACCAAGGUUGGGCAUUGCUAGAAAAGCUUUAAUCAAGGAAAACUAUCAAGGGGUUCCCAUUAUAACCCAACCGCGUAAGGAACGCAAAAAAUCCGGGAACAUAACACCGAUAUGACGGAAACUAGGGCGGCAAGAGUGGAACAAAACACUAGGCGAGAGGCCGAGCCUUCCACCCUUUACCAAGUAUAUAGAUGCAUUAAGAUAACAUGGCAAUAUAGUGAUAUCCCAACAAGUAUAUAAAUGAUGUUCCAAUAAGGAACGGCCUCCAAUCUUCACUUGCAACUAGCAACGCUAUAAGAGGGGCUGAGCAAAGCGGUAACAUAGCCAAACAACGGUUUGCUAGGACAAUGGUGGGUUAGAGGUUUGACAUGGCAAUUUAGGAGGCUUUCAAGCAAGUGGUAGACAUUGUAGCAAUGGCAUAGCAAAAGAGCGAGCAAACUGGCAUAGCAAAGGUAGUAGUGAUUUCGAGGGUAUGAUCAUCUUGCCUGCACAGCUGUCAGAGUUGACUGGAUCCUCAAAAGCAAACUCAACGGGCUCCUCGUUAGAGAACUCGUCUCCCGGCUCUACCCAAACAAGACAAACAAGCAACAAGGAUACAAUCAACCACGUGCAAGAUCAAGCAACACGAUGAAAUGAUGAUAUGCUAUGCGGGAUGCGAUGCGGGAUGCAAAAAUGCAAGAUAUGACAGGAAAAUGCAUGAACCUGGCAUCAACUUGGAAUUCCAAGGGUGCCACUGGAAAGAUGAGAUGAAAUCGCUUGAAAACGAUAUAAAGAACGCCGGAAUCGGAGUUACGGUUUGGAAAUGGCAAGCGAUUCAAAAAUGACACCGGUCUGCGAUUUACAGCAAGUAGGCAUCUAAAUGCAAUGAGAUGAACAUGCUACAGCACCCAAACAUGACAACAAAAUACAUGGCAGGGAAGCACACAAGAUACGUAACAAAAGUCUAGCACUGAGCUACGGCCAAUUCACCCAUUAGGAGGUUCAAACAAGCAUGGCAAAAACGCAAAUGGUAAACAUAUCUCAGACUUGGUGAAAUUAACACUUCUCUGGAAUUUCAGAUCAUAUAGCCCUCUUCGGAGCAACAAAACAACAUGCUACAGGUCCUGAACAUGACAAAGAAAGACAUGGCAUGGAGCUACUCAAAAAGCUUAACAAAAGUCCCUUAGUGACCUUGAGCCAAAAGGGAUCACAAAAUAUACUAGCAAGCACACGAACAUAGCAAAAACAUAAUCAGUUUUCAGACUUAGUGAGAACUGGGACAUGCUGAAACAUAACUCACGAAGGCAUGUUUACAAGCUUGAUGCACUCACCACGGUGCAAGUCAUGGCAAGACAAGCAUACAUACCUUAAGAAGGCACAAAAUACAAGCUAGACAUGGCAAGAACAAUGGCAUGUCAUGCACGGAUCAACUACAACAACAUCGGCAAAAUCGCAAACAAGUUGACGAUCUGCCCAGAUUCACAACGAAGCAAAAGUAGAGCUCGAUUGACUCAAGUUAGGGUGCUCAAUAAUUGCAAACAAAGACAUGGAUGGAUAGAGCACUACAAGAUUAACAAAACUCCCUUACUGAACAUCCUCAAAAGAGGCACGAAUCACUAGGAAACAACAAGAACAUAUGGCAUCAUGAACUAAACAAUCCCAGACUUAGUGAAAACUACUAAGUCCCUGAAAACAGAUUUACUGGGUGCCUCACUUUGCAAGCUUGCACAAGUCACCACACACAUCACAAAAAUGCAUGGGUUGCACCUCUGGAAAUAUAACAAAAUCCUUAACAAAACAUCUAUAGGACUCAUAGGCAUAUCAUGCACACAAUAAUCAUGGCAAAAAUGACAAAAGCCUAAGAUGAACUAGCAGAUCUGACAAUUAACUCACGAAGGCUCCUUCUAAUAGCAUUUCGGGCGUCAAGAUGAACUCAAAUGAAAAUGAUGCAAUGGAAUGAAAUGAUGUACUCAUCGAGGCGAACAUUUUGAUAUACUAUAUGCCCAAAUCGGAGCUACGGAUGCGGAGAUAUCACAGGUCAAAGAUUGCAUAAAAAAUGAUGGGAGAGAUGGAAAGUCAACCCUAGGGUUUUUUUAAGAUCUGGAUCUGGCGCCCGGUACUGUAGCAAUCCGCGCCGAGGUCGCCGGAAAUGGCCGCGGUCGUGGCCGGAGUAGACGAGGGAGGCCGGAGAAGGUGCUGUGGCGAGGGGAGGAAGCCGGGGCGGCGCGGGCCGGCGAUGGCCGCGGCGAGGGGGUCCGGUGGGGGCGAGUCGCGGCGCGGGGCGGUCCGGUGNNNNNNNNNNNNNNNNNNNNNNNNNNNNNNNNNNNNNNNNNNNNNNNNNNNNNNNNNNNNNNNNNNNNNNNNNNNNNNNNNNNNNNNNNNNNNNNNNNNNNNNNNNNNNNNNNNNNNNNNNNNNNNNNNNNNNNNNNNNNNNNNNNNNNNNNNNNNNNNNNNNNNNNNNNNNNNNNNNNNNNNNNNNNNNNNNNNNNNNNNNNNNNNNNNNNNNNNNNNNNNNNNNNNNNNNNNNNNNNNNNNNNNNNNNNNNNNNNNNNNNNNNNNNNNNNNNNNNNNNNNNNNNNNNNNNNNNNNNNNNNNNNNNNNNNNNNNNNNNNNNNNNNNNNNNNNNNNNNNNNNNNNNNNNNNNNNNCGGCGGCGGUGUGUGGCGCCUGCCACGUGGCGAUGCGGGAUUGGCGGCGGCGGAAUCCGGACGGCGGCGCGGAGAGGGACUUUUAGGGUUAGGGGGGAGAGGAUCCGUGAAUUGGAAUACGGGGGUGUAUAUAUAGGCAUAGGAGGAGUUAGGAGAGUCCAAAUGAGGUGCAGUUUUCGGCCACGCGAUCAUGAUCAAACGCUCUAGGACAUGGAGCAGAGUUUGGUGGGUGUUGGGUCAAAUUGGAAGAGUGUUGGGCUGCAACACACACGAGGCCUUUUCGGUCCCUCGGUUAACCGUUGGAGUAUCAAACGAAGUCCAAAUGGGACGAAACUUGACAGGCGGUCUACCGGUAGUAAACUAAGGCCGCUUGACAAGUCUCGGUCCAAUCCGGAAAUGUUUAAUCCCCACACAUGAAAGAAAGCUAGAAAUGACCACCGGAGGAGAACGAAGCGCCGGAAUGCAAAACGGACAACGGGGAAAAUGCUCGAAUGCAUGAGACGAACACGUAUGCAAAUGCAAUUCACAUGAUGACAUGAUAUGAGAUGCAUGACAACGACAACAACACGAAAUACAAAAGACCCGAACCCGAGAAAAUAAAAUAACUUAACGCCGGAAACGGCAAGAGUUGGAGUACAAAUUGGGAAAGUUACAUCCGGGGCGUUACACUUACGUCGUUCUUCAUUGAAGCGACGAAGAAACUGCUUGACCGGCUUAAGCUUAGGAUCCACAUUAAGAGUGUUCUCAGCGAAUUCUCUCGGUACACCCAGCAUGUCAGAAGGUUUCCAUGCAAAUAUGUCCCGAUUCUCAUGGAUGAACUCAAUGAGUGCACUUUUCUAUUUAGGAUCCAUAUUAGCCCCCACUGUAAACUGCUAACAUGAGUCGCCAAGGACAAAGUCAACCUGCUUAGUAUCAUAAGAUGAUUUAAACUUCAACAAAGGGUCUUGCUCAGUGGUGGGAUUCUUCAAAGGGGUCAUAUCUGCUGGGUCAACAUUAUCUUUAUAAAACUUAAGCUCUUCUAUCGCGCAGGCCGACUCAGCAUAAGCAGUAUCUCCUUCUUCACAUUCCAGGGAAAUUUUCUGAUCACCAUGGACCGUGAUAGUACCCUUACACCCUGGCAUCUUAAGCUGUAAAUAAACAUAACAAUGCCGAGCCAUAAACUUGGCAUAAGCCGGACGUCCAAACAAGGCAUGAUAAUGGCUCUUGAUUUUAACCACCUCAAACCAUAGUAUCUCUGCCCUGUAGUCAUGUUCAUCACCAAAGGCCACUUUUAAGGAUAUUUUCCCCACAUGAUGUGCCGACUUACCAGGCACCACACCGUGAAAGACUGUUGAGGAUGGUUUGAGAUCCUUGUCAGUCAAAUUCAUCUGCCGAAACGUGUGAUAAUACAAGAUGUUAAUACUGCUGCCGCCAUCCAUGAGCACCUUAGUGAAUUUAUAACCCCCAACUUGAGGGGCUACCACCAAUGCUAGCUGACCCGGAUUAUCAACCCGGGGCGGGUGAUCCGCCCGACUCCAUGUGAUUGGUUGCUCUGAUCACUGAUGUCUACUACGCAACUUGUUCUUGUAGACUUGUGUUGGGUCUCCAAGCGCAGAGUUUUGUAGGACAGUCGAAAUUUUCUCUCAAGUGUAUGACUUAAGGUUUAUCAAUACGUGGGAGGCGUAGGAUGUAGAUGUUCUCUCUCAAACAACGCUGCAACCAAAUAACAAAAAGUCUCGUGUGUCCCCAACACACCAAAUACAAUGAUAAAUUGUAUAGGUGCACUAGUUCGGCGAAGAGAUGGUGAUACAAGUGUAAGUGUAGUAAUGAUAGUAGAUAUUGAUUUUUGUAAUAAUAACAAUAAAAAAAUAGCAAGGUAGCAAGUAACAAAAGUAAGCACAAACGGUAUUGCAAUGCUUGAAAACAAGGCCUAAAGUCCGUACUUUAGUGCAAUCUCUCAACAAUCUUAUAUAUCUCAAGAGCCUCCACGUUAACCCACAUCAACAAAAUUAGUUUAGCCAUCAGAUAUAAAAUUCGAUGGUCAAGAUCUAUUAAAAUAAGUUGCUUCCUUAAAAAAAAGAAACACUACGUACAUAGAUUGGAAUAAGAUGACACGUUCAAAAAAAGUUUAAGCUGACACGUUCCCAAAGGUGUCCCCCAACACCCACGUCCAAUUUCUGAGAAAAUCUUAAAAAACGCUACCUGUUUUGAAAAAAAAAACACCACGUACAUAGAUAGGAUCAACCUGGACGCUGCUUCUUUUGAAAAAAAAAAACACCACGUCCCAACACCCACGUCCAAUUUUUGAACAAAUACAAAUAUUGUGCGUGACUUCUUCCUUUAAUAUUGUCCAAAUGAGAAGUCCUGAAGUCCCACGUCUCAUGUGCCAAUCUCAUAAAAUGAAAUCCAUGCACGUACAAGAAAGAGACCUCAAGCCUCACGUUUUGGGGAAAGGGGAGGCUUCCUGAUUUUGAAAAAGAAAUUUAUAUGUUGGGGUAGAGGUAGGCCGGACAUGUUGCCGACGUUGUCGAAUUCCUGUCAAUCAUAUCUCUCGAAAAAGUCUCUGGCCGUCGAAGCUGACACUAACCCCUCCCACCCGCUGCUCUUGCAUUCUGACCCCCUUGCUCAUCACGGUCUCGAUCUGUCGGCCCUGCGUACAGGUUCCCCAUGGCGGUGCAUCCACCCAGAACCUCUUCCGCCUCCGUCCUCCCACUGGCGUACAUCACCAACUCGGAUCAGAUUUUUUUUGUGUCUCCGACCAUGGGUGCCUGGUUGCCUGCCCUUCUUUUCCCAAAAGAAAAGCUCGAUCCGUCAACGAAUCCCAGACUCAAUACGAAAUCGAAUUGCCAUGACUUUUGAAAUUCUCGGUCGAAUGUUGUCACCGAGGUAGUGCCUUGGGCUGAAGCCCAGAACUAUACUAUCAUCUAAUAUGUCGUGGACUUCGAUUUUGGGGGAGGGGCGAUCUUGGGCAUACAACCUCACCGACAAGCAUAAGAAGCUUCAAGACCCCUCACGGGGCGGCGCUGGGAUGCGGCAGUUGGGUGUGCAGGCGACAGGAAAGAGAAGUUGGUGCAUCACUGCGGCUUCCACCACCGCAUGGUCUGUCCCUUCGCCUAUAAAUCGCUAACGAAGGAUAGAUAUACCCGGGGAUGCCCAAAUUGACGCAUGCGGCUCUAGGACGUGACUGCUGGAUGCACGAGUGAUGGGGGAGAAGUUGGUACAUCAAUGUAAGAUGGCGGCGCAGGGUAGUGUUGCAGUGAUACACGAGCACGGGCGGUAGAGAGAGGGAGGCGAGCAGGGAUGGGGUGAGGCGGUGAAGAGAGAGGACGGUGGAGAAGGUGUGUAGCUGUGUGUUUGGGCGGCGAGAGGUGUGGCCAUGUUGGAGUCGUUGGGUGCAGGGGCCGACGUUGCAUGCAGGGGUGCUGCUGUCGAGAGAGAAACUGAGGAUGCUGCUCUUGCAUACGUUGCUGUUGCUGCGUGUUGUCUCGGGAGAGCAGAGAGAGAAGUAGAAAGUGAGAGGGUGUGCUUCUGAUUAUAUUUGGAUUGUCGUAGCAGUUUAUAAUUUAUACAUGGUUGAUUGCUUAAUGCUACUGCUGAUUAUUGAUUGUUAGAUUUUGUUUAAUAUAACUGCUCUUUGCUAGAGAGAACAGAGAGGUGUCCAUACAGUAUUCCCAUCGUUUAAUGCCCCUAGAUGUGAAUGCUGCUGCUGAAAAUGUGAUUGGUUGUGUUGUUUCGUAUUGUUAUAUAAAAAAUGUAUUUUUUUUUUGUUUUAUGAUAGUUUCACAUUGUAGUUUACUGAAAAUGCAUAGGGUAUUACAAUGAUGAACAUAUGAAUUUGAUAGUUAAAUAAUAUUAUUAAAUAUAGAAUGUUAAAAUAUAGGGGUUGAGAUUUUGGAGUGCUACUGGUGUUAAGCAAAUUUUAGGGAAAAUAUUUUUAAGGAAGUCCCCUAGAUAGAAAAUUAGGGGUGAGAUUUUAGGAAAAAUGUUGGACUUGCUCCUGUCCCACCUCAACCAUACCCGUGUGACAUGCUCAACAUCCAUGUAUGUCCGCUCUGACAUCGGCAAGGAGUUAGAGAGGGUGCGGGGAGGAAGACAGAGCGUGGGAAAGUGGAGAGAGGGAGAUAUGGGGAGGGGCGGAAGAACGAGAUAGAGAGAGGUUUACAUGACAAUUUUUAAAAAGUUUUAUAAACAUUCCCUCGCACGGUUCAAUGGCAAGUGUGUCGUGCGUUGGCUCAGUUGUCGCUUUAGAUUGAUCAAGUUCGACACAUUGCGAUCAGGUGCACACUAGGACCAUCGUCGAGAAGGGCGUGAAAGAGGAUAAGCAUUGCCAUAGAUUUCGUGACGUGUUGAAAUAGACGACGUCGACCUGUAGGGACUUGAACCUUGUUUACUGGGCUAGAGAUGUGUGUGUUUUCUCACGUUGCAAAAUAUUUGUGUUGUUUAAUCAUUAGUGAAGUACGGCCCGCAUGUCGAACAAUGCAUACAUACCUCAUUGUAGAAUAUAUUUUGAAAGACAUGGUUGCUUGUUGAUCAGCUCGGAGGUCCAAAUGGUUGGUAGGCUCAUCAAGGAGCAGCAAUGUUGGCUGCAUGAAGAGAGCACGGGCAAGCGAGAUGCGCAUCCUCCAGCCACCACUGAAGGACUUUGUGGACCUUGCCUGCAUCGCCUGAUCAAACCCCAGCCCCGCGAGGAUUUUGGACGCACCCGCGCGUGCAGCAUCAGAGUCGCAUAGAUUUAGUUUCUCAUAUACCUCGGCAAGCUUGUCGUUGUCAUCGGGGUCGUUAGAGGCCUCAAGCUUUGCCUGCUCAGACCGGAGCGCCGUGAGCUCCUCAUUGGCUGCAACCACCACCUCGGUUGCCGAGCGGUCAUCACCAACAAUCUGCUGCUCCACAAGCAGGACAUCAAUGUUCUUGGGCACAGGCACCUGCCGCCAAGAGAAGAGAGCAGCUUCAGGAGGGUAGAUUUGCCCAUGCCAUUGGGCCCCACGAGCCCGUAGCGGCGACCAUGCGAGAUCCGGAGGGAGGCGCCCUUGAGCAGCUCCUUCCCUCGCGCAGAGACAGAGAAGUUGUCGAGCACGGUGUCCUUGAUGUUUCCUUCGGCUGCAUCGCCCUCAGCGGCGGAUCCGGGGACGCGCGCUCCUAUGACGACGGAGAUGGCGUCCCGGUCGUCGCGGAGCGCCUCCCGCUUGGCAGCCUCGGCGACGGCCGCCGCCAUCAUCUCUCGCUUUUCCUUCUUCUUCGCGUCCUUGUCCGAGGGCCCGAGGGCGUUGAGGUCGACGGUGGCGCGAGCCGGCUUGAACUGGAAGACUUCGUAGAAAAAAAAUCAAUGUAGUUGAUCAUAACCUCUUCGACGAAAUCUUAUGCGACGACAAAAUCGGAAACAGACCCACACUAAUGUCCACCCAUUCUCUCGCUUUGGCCUAUUGACUUGACUAUAGGAUUGUCCAACAGAGAGGACAAUAUGACGUUGUCACCUUUUGCAUCUACACACACUCCCUUCUACAAGCAACCAUUAUUUCCUUCUUAACGAACUUCGCGAUAAUCCCUGGGACAAACAAUCUCCAAAAGGCAUAUGAGUCGGCAAAUCUUUUAAAAUGGACCCUGAUAAGUGUCACAUGUGUAGCACGAACACAUGGCAACUCCGCACAUUUUUCAUGGCCAGUUUAAUAAUACGAGGAUGGCAACUUUAAUUGUCAAGCAUAACAACUUUCUUUUUGAACGGUAAGUUUUAGUUUUCUUUUCUUUUUUCUUUUCGGGUGACAACAAAAGCGUGAGGGCCGGAGUGCUUUGUGCUACACGUGUGGCACAUAUCAUUUGGGUAUAAAAAAUAUUAGGUUUAUGUUCUAAAAAUGAAAUAAAAUAUCAGAGCACGGAACUUGCUUUGUAACACAUGGCACACAAGUUGGUUUCUUUCCUUGGUUUAUUUUCUUCCUUGACUUAAAGCCAAUGUGAUCCUGCCGUCGUUUUGUUUCUAAAUUUAUUUUUUCUGAAAAACUGGCGAGCCCAAGAGCAAUCCCUUCUCAACCGCGUGGGGCGCUAAAACCUUUUUAUAGCGUGGAAAUAGGAAAACAAAUGCGCGCGGCAGGGCGCUGGCUCCAGCGACUGCUUCAAAAUAUGGCGCGCAUGAGCAGCUUCAGCAGGCGCGCUAACUUACAGCGCACGCAAGCAGCCGGCGCUUGCGAAUAAGAUUUUACAUGUCCAUUUUGACAAUAUGAAGAUGUUUCAAACAUUAAACAAAUGUGCAAAAUAAAGACAUAGUAUAGUUCAAUUGCACGGCACAUCAAUCAUUUGGGAGCUUCGAGAGGGGGGCACGUGGCUUCACGGCGGGUGCCAGUGCGACGCCACCCGCCGAGGUCGUCCGUGGCGUCAUGAAAAGGUCGCACGCGAGAACGGUGUUUGUAGGAGCACCGUCGGAGGCGAAGAUAAAACUCCCCGGGCUAGGGUUUGCGCCGCCGGCGACGGUGGUGGAGGGGUCACGGGUGUAGGGAGGGGGGAUGUCAGUGCGGCCGUCCAUCAGACGAAUUUGCCGCCGGUGGCGUGGGGCGCAGCGAAGGCGGGGCGGCCGGAGAGGGUGGCGGCAGUGCGGCGCUGGCGCUCGAGUGUGCAGCGCACAGGAGCGGGUGCACGAAAUAAGUGGCGCGUGAUGUCAUUUCGCUCCGUGUGCUGAACCAAUUAUACUGCACGUGUAUUUUAAUGAAAAAGCUUCCGCCCCGCUUUAUAUAUAAAACACACAGCCAAACUGAUACAAGGUGAUAAGGAGAACCUCUUACAAAGCAGAUCAAAGGAAAAUACAAGAAACUAAAAGAGAUCACACCCUACCACAAAGCCACCUAGACUACCAACAAGGACGGAGACUCACCGCCAAGGGAAACCAUCGGACAUCGUUUCGCCACUCACUCCAAGUUUCCGCCGAAGGGGGCCCCCCUGCCCUCCUGCUCCGGACGGUGGAGCCCGAACCUGUCUGCAGAAAACACGGGACGCGAGAGGAACCAACAAGGACCCUUCCCCCCUCAUCNNNNNNNNNNNNNNNNNNNNNNNNNNNNNNNNNNNNNNNNNNNNNNNNNNNNNNNNNNNNNNNNNNNNNNNNNNNNNNNNNNNNNNNNNNNNNNNNNNNNNNNNNNNNNNNNNNNNNNNNNNNNNNNNNNNNNNNNNNNNNNNNNNNNNNNNNNNNNNNNNNNNNNNNNNNNNNNNNNNNNNNNNNNNNNNNNNNNNNNNNNNNNNNNNNNNNNNNNNNNNNNNNNNNNNNNNNNNNNNNNNNNNNNNNNNNNNNNNNNNNNNNNNNNNNNNNNNNNNNNNNNNNNNNNNNNNNNNNNNNNNNNNNNNNNNNNNNNNNNNNNNNNNNNNNNNNNNNNNNNNNNNNNNNNNNNNNNNNNNNNNNNNNNNNNNNNNNNNNNNNNNNNNNNNNNNNNNNNNNNNNNNNNNNNACCCUAGGCGCUGCCGACCCUUGGCAUUGGUGACGAUGAUGCUCGUGGGCAUCACAUCCUUCUUGGGGGCGUCGUUGAGGGUCCUCCCACCGAGCCAGGGCUUCGGGUGAAAACCCUUGACCGGUCAUUCGGUCUCGACGGCGGCGGCACGGUGUGUCGUCUCCCUCUUGAGGGUGUUGCCGUGCAGUCCAGCUUACUUCUAGUGCAUCAUGUUGUCAUUGGCUAACGUGCUAGAUCCUGUCUUGGAGCUACCUCGACUCUAGCGUAGGCGGAUUUACUUACCUCCUAUCUUUUACCCCACGCGUAUUUUGCGCGUCUGCUGGAGCGUCUGGAACGACUGCGCGCGCAAAAAAAAAUUUAAUUUUUCCAGCGCGGCGCUAAUAUCACGUGCCUGAUGGAGAUGCUCUAAGCGUGAGGUGUUUUCCCACUAAAAUUUUCAUCUUUACACCCGCAAAAAAAAAAACUCAUCUUUACCCCCAAAACCCCUGCUAUAAAUCUCCCUCUUGUGUGAGAAGUACUCCUGUAUAAGUCACCCUCGCUACCCCACUGAACCCACCACCCAUCCGUCGGUGAGAAAGAACCCACCAAAUUCCCACGGGAUUCUCCUGGAGAGCGCCAGCGCCAUGGAGUCGUCACGCGGCACCAUCAUCCCCGGCACGCCGCCGCUGCCCUCCUCCUUAACCGACGUCAACGGCCAGGAGGGCAGGCGGACCAGGACCAGCGGCGGCGUGAGGUGGCACGCUUGGGCCGCCGUGCUGGCCGUGGUGGCGCUCGUCGUCGCCGCCGUGGUCUUUGGGGCCAGCAGGGUCCACCCGGACGCGGUGGCGUCCUCCUCCGUACGGGCUAUGGCAGAACACGGCGUGUCGGAGAAGACGUCCGGGGCAUACUCCGCCAGCGGCGGCUUCCCGUGGAGCAGCGCGAUGCUGCAGUGGCAGCGCACCGGCUUCCAUUUCCAGCCGGACAAGAACUACAUGAACGGUACGUACUGACCGAGUUCAUCCGUGCGAUUAGAUUUUCAGAUUCAGAUUCCGUUUAAUUUUCUCCGACGUGGUUUGAUCCAGAAACUGACCUCCCUGCCUUAUUUGCUUCCUGUUUGCUCGCCGGCGGUGGCAUUCUCCGGCGACAUCCAUCCGUGCAGAUCCCAACGGUUAGUAUUACACUAUUACUACGCUCCACCUAACGAAUCCUCUCAAUCGGGUAUUCCUAUUCAGAAGUUUUGUGACCUGUGCGGGAUAUAAUUGCACCACCACGAACAGUAUUUUUUUUAAAGUUGAAAAAUCAACAAAUUCUGAAUUUUUUUAUGAACGUUGAUAAAUUUUUACCUCCGCAACAAUUUCGUGGUGCAUUUUCUUUUGUCAGGCCUCUAUAAAUGUCAUUUCAUCAUGAAAAUUUUCACAUAGGUAAAACAUUCAUCGAUGUUUAUUACAAAAAAAAUCAGUUUUUUGUUGUUCUUUUUAUUUUUUGGAUCCUAAUGUUCACCCGGGUGCAUAUAACCUCGCGAUUAGUAGAGCACUUUCUCUGAAAUGCAUUGUCCACUGCAGGUCCGGUGUACUAUAGAGGAUGGUACCAUUUGUUCUACCAACACAACCCCGGAGGCACUGGGUGGGGCAACAUCUCAUGGGGGCACGCCGUGUCGCGGGACAUGGUCCACUGGCGCCACCUACCGCUCGCCAUGGUGCCUGACCACUGGUAUGAUAUCGAGGGCGUCUGCACCGGAUCCAUCACCAUACUCCCUGAUGGCAGGGUCAUCGUGUUCUACACUGGGUACACCGAGACGUUUGCGCAAGUGACCUGCCUCGCGGAGGCCGCCGACCCGAGCGACCCCCUCCUCCGCGAGUGGGUGAAGCACCCCGCCAACCCCGUGGUGUACCCGCCCCCUGGCAUCGGCAUGAAGGACUACCGUGACCCAACCACGGCGUGGUUCGACAACUCCGACAACACGUGGCGCAUCAUCAUUGGCUCCAAGAAUGACACGGACCACUCCGGCAUCGUCUUCACGUACAAGACCAAGGACUUCGUCAGCUACGAGCUGAUACCGGGAUACUUGUACCGCGGCCCCGCCGGCACCGGCAUGUACGAGUGCAUUGACAUGUUUGCCGUUGGUGGUGGCCGCAAGGCCAGCGACAUGUACAAUUCGACGGCCAAGGACGUGUUGUACGUGCUCAAGGAGAGCAGCGACGACGACCGGCGCGACUAUUACGCGCUCGGGAGGUUCGACGCAGCGGCCAACACAUGGACGCCGAUCAACACCGAGCGGGAACUCGGGGUCUCGCUGCGGUACGACUAUGGCAGGUACGACGCGUCCAAGUCCUUCUACGACCCCGUGAAGAAUCGGCGGAUCGUCUGGGGGUACGUCGUCGAGACCGACUCCUCGAGCGCCGACGCCGCCAAGGGGUGGGCCAACCUCCAGGUAACCAUCAUCGUCAUCAACAUGAGUGUUUUACCUUACACUUAUCAACAUCGGUCAUCAUUGCUACUCUUAGACUUAACUAGAUUGAAUUAUUGAACCAAACUGGAUUAAUGUUGUGUGUUGUGCGUGCAGUCGAUUCCGAGAACCGUGGAGCUUGACGAGAAGACCCGGACGAACCUCAUCCAAUGGCCAGUGGAGGAGCUCGAUACCCUCCGCAUCAACACCACCGAUCUCAGCGGCAUCACUGUCGGUGCCGGAUCCUUCGUCUCCCUCCCCCUCCACCAGACCUCCCAACUUGACAUCGAGGCAUCCUUCCGCAUCAACACCUCCGCCAUUGAGGCCCUCAAUGACGUCGAUGUCGGCUACAACUGCACCAUGACAAGCGGCGCUGCCACCCACGGCGCACUUGGCCCCUUCGGCAUUCUCGUCCUCGCCAACGUCGCCCUGACAGAACAGACGGCGGUGUACUUUUAUGUGUCCAAGGGCCUCGACGGCGGUCUUCGGACCCAUUUCUGCCACGAUGAGUUGCGGUCAACACAUGCCACCGAUGUGGCGAAGGAGGUGGUGGGUAGCACGGUGCCGGUGCUCGACGGCGAGGAUUUUUCCGUUAGAGUGCUCGUGGACCACUCCAUCGUGCAAAGCUUCGUGAUGGGCGGGAGGUUGACGGUGACGUCGAGGGCCUACCCGACGGAGGCCAUUUACGCAGCGGUGGUCUACCUGUUCAACAAUGCCACCAGCGCCAGCGUCACAGCGGAGAAGCUCGUCGUGCACGACAUGGACUCGUCGUACAACAAGAUAUUCACGGACGACGACUUGCUAGUCCUCGAUUAGACUGAUCACCUACAACAAGUUAUGGAGUUUUUGCUCGGUCGGUGGCUUCCUUAUCUCUUGGACAGAUAGCGGUGGAGUACCAGCUACUCUACGUAUCAUCUUGAUUUAUGUUCCUUGUUCUAGUUUUGGUUUUACUAAGAUGAAUUAGAUGAUGUUGGUCACAUGUAAAUCAAUUACGGGUAAAUUAAAAGGACAUGGAUGCCUGCCACCAAAUAUAAGUGACUACUUCGAGAGUUCAAGUUCAAGUUCUCUCAUUUCUUAUUUAUUUAUAUGCAACCUUUGUAUUUCGUAUUUUUAGGGAAAGCAAACAUUGUGUAUCUAUACCAAUAUAAAAAGACCUAAAAAGAAAGAUCCAACAAAUCCCAGCCGUCAAAUCAAGUCAAUCCAAUGACUCAGGCUGCUAUAAUAGUGAGCGCUCAACAUGUUUAGUGUGCAAUUAAUAUCAUACCAAAUAUCCAAACCAAUGUUAAUCAUUAUUAAUACACAAAUAAUAUCCUACCUAAUAUUUACGUGUAUCUAUCUACACUAAUAUAAAAAGACCCAACGGGGCAGAUCCAACAAAUCCGGUAGUCAAGUCAGGUCAAUCCAACGACUCAGGCUGCUAUAAUGGUGAGCGCUCAACAUGUUUAGUGUGCAGUUAAUAUCAUACCAAAUAUCAACACCAAUGCUAAUCACAUAAUUAAUACGUGAAUAAUAGCCUACCUAAUAUUUACGUGUAAUUAAUAUAUUACCUUAUAUCAACAUGUAUUGCACGUACACAUUUACUAGUUAAAUAUGUCCUGAUGCGUACACAUUUACUAGUUAAAUUUGUCCUGAUGCGUACACAUUUACUAGUUAAAUUUGUCCUGGUGUUUCCAUGUAGAGUAAAAUCGGGAUUCUACAAGCCUGUCUUUUGAACGUUUAUAGAUAGAAAUACGAGCAUGGGAGCACCAGAAUGUAUCCGUUGCCGCAUCAUAACAAAUAAAAAAUAAAAAUCCAUGUGACAAAAUCUACCGACAACCACUGAAAAGGUACUGAAGACACCCUUUUACGUACCUGAUGUAAUCAAAGUACAGUUGGGUGGCUCCCAUAACUUAAUAUCUUACCUCGUGAAUUCCGAAAAGAAAAUACUUAAGAAAUGAAUUUUUUGUGGACGCGCAUUAUCUUCACAGGGAGCAAAUUGCAAAAAAACACACCACAUUUUAAGUUCAUGUUUAGAUUUGCCACCACAUUUAUUUGGGCGCCCCAAAAAUCAAUCGGUUUCCUUGCUAAUUUUCUGAAUAAACACCGAUGGUUCAUUUGCGGCGAAUUAAUUCAAUUUCUGACAUACCGGGCCCAUUGAUCAGGUCCACAUGACACUAAAUGGUCAACACUGUUUGUUUUCACUAUUAAAACAAAUCACCAUGCAUCUAUUAUGUUCCACCUCCUGUCGCUUAUGGCCGACGCCGCCCCUCUCUUCCGCGCCACCCCGCAUCCUCUCUCCCGUCGACCCCUACACCUUCCUCCAUCUCUCCUCCCUCCCGGUGCGGGCAAGAUCAACAACACUGCACCCAGUCACACGCCGCCCCACACUAGAUCGGGUGGAUCCGUGACGCAGCUCCUCCCCCUGUCAUGCCUCGACGAGCUCCAUCCCCACCUCUGGCGUGCGACGAGCCUGAUAAAUGGAAUGACACAGGACGAGCAACCGGAGCACCACGCGGAUCGGAGUCUACGCAUGAGAAACACGAGCAUGUCCUCGUUAGCACGCGUCGUCAACGCCGCGUGCCACCAGCAUGGACACGGCAUGCCGCCGACACCGGAACCCAUGACCAUGUCGAAGAAGCUCGCCAGCCACGCCAUGGGGUUCCCAAUGGCCACGGCUCGGCCAUAGCGCACACCGCCGUAGCCGGCUCACGCCACCGCGUCGGCCUUCUCUAGCCAGGGAAUAUUGCGCCAUCGGCCGCCUCGCCUCCUCCUUCUUCUGGUGUUGACCUCGGCAACCCAGUUGAUCUGCAGACCAUCACCUCUGCGCCCUCUCAUCCAUCCCCGUGCAUGCAUGCGAGGUGUUUGUUUGAAUGCCCCCAAGGACGAGAAUAAGGUCUGAGAGAGAUGACAAUGCUGACAGGUGAGCCCUCCGUUUAACUUAAUGGUCGACAAGCGGUGUUGACCAUUUAGUGCCAUGUGGACCAGAUCAGUGGGUCUGGGUAUGUCAGAAAUUGAAUUAAUUUGUCCCAAAUCGAUCAUCAGUGUUUAUUGAAAAAAUUAGCAAGAAAAUUGAUAGAUUUUUUGGACACCCAAGAAAUGUGGUGGCAAAUCCAAACAAGAACUUGAAAUGUGGUUUUUUUUUUGGAAUUUACUCUUUCACAUGUCAAUUUGUGUAUGAAGAGUGUGGUCACUUGAUGCCAUAAUAUCGAGGUCAAGCUACAGAUACCCCUGUCGUCCACGGAGCCAUCGUCCAGGGAAGGUCUCCAGCUCAAUCAUGAAGAUGCAGAUGUCUUCGCUACUAAUACCAAUGCAGUAGACAAGAAAAUCAACCGGCCGUCUUAUAUUAUAUUUCAUGUAUACCAGUAUAAAAAGACCUGAACAGGCAGAUCCAACAAAUUCCGGCUGUGAAAUCAGGUUAAUCCAGCGACUUAGGCUGCUAUAAUGGUGAGCGCUCAACAUGUUUAGGGCACAGUUACUAUCGUACAAAAUAUAAAAACCAAUGCUAAUCACAUAAUUAAAACGUAAAUAAUAUCCUGCCUAAUAUUUACGUGUAUCUAUACCAAUAUAAAAAGACCCAAAGGGGCAUAUUCAACAAAUCCUGAUGGUCAAACCAGGUCAAUCAAAUGACUCAGGCUACUAUAAUGGUGAGCCCUCCACAUGUUCAGUGUGCAGUUAAUAUCAUACCAAAUAUCAACACGAAUGCUAAUUAGAUAAUUAAUACGCAAAUAAUAUUCUAUCUAAGAUUACGUGUAAUAAAUAUAUUACCUAAUAUCAACGUGCAUUGCAAGUACGCAUUUACUAGUUUUAGAAGGGAAACACAUUGGGAAUCUAUCCUGGUGUUUCCAUAUAGAGUAAAAUUGGGAUUCUAGAAGCAUGUCUUUUGAACGUUCAUAAAUAGAAAUGUGAGCAUGGGAGCACCUGAAUGUAUCCUUUGUCGCAUCAUAACAGAUAAAAAUAAAAAUCUGUGGGACAAAAUCUACCGGCAACCAUCGAAAAGGUACUGCCGACACCCUUUUAGGUACCUAACGUAAUCAAAGUACAGUUGCGUGUCUCCCAUAACUAAAUGUCUUACCUCGUGUAUUCCGAAAAGAAAAUACUUAACAAAUGAAUUUUUAGUGGACGCGCAUUGUCUUCACAGGGACCAAAUUGCAAAAAACUGCCACAUUUUAAGUUCAUGUUUAGAUUUGCAACCACAUUUCUUGGGCGCCCCAAGAACCAAUCGAUUUCCUUGCUAAUUUUCUCAAUAAACACCGAUGAUUCAUUUGGGGUGAAUUAAUUCAAUUUCUGACAUACCGGACCCACUUAUCAGGUCCACAGGACACUAUUUGGUCAACACAGUUUGUUUUGAUUGUUAAAACAAAACACCAUGCAUCCAUUAUGCUCCACCUCCUCUCGCUUAUGGCCGGCACCGCCCCUCUCCCCCGCGCCACCCCGUAUCCUCUCUCCCGUCGACCCCUCCACCUUCCUCCAUCUCUCCUCCCUCCCGGUGCGGGCGAGAUCAGUAGCACGGCAUCCCGUCACGCGCCGUCCCACACUGGAUCGGGUGGAUCCGUGACGCGGCUCCUCCCCCUGUCAUGCCUCGCCGAGCUCCAUCCUCACCUCUGGCGUGCGACGAGCCUGAUAAAUGGGACAAUGCGGGACGAGCGACCGGAGCACCACGCAGAGGCUACGCAUGAGGAACACGAGCACGUCCUCGUCGGAGCCCGUCGUCGGCGCUGCGCGCCACCUGCAUGGACACGGCAUGCCGUUGACACCGGAGCCCAUGACCACGUCGACGAAGCUCGCCAGCCACGCCAUGGGGUUCCCGAUGGCCACGGCUCGGCCAUAGUGCACACUGCAAUAGCUGGCUCACGCCAGGGAAGAUUGCGCCACCGGCCGCCUCGCCUCUUACUUCUUUUGGUGUCGACCUCGGCAGCCCAGUUGAUCUACAGACCAUCACCUAUGCGCCCUCUCAUCCAUCCCUACGCAUGCACGCGAGGUGUUUAUUGGAAUGCCCCCAAGGAGGAUAAGAAGGUUUGAGAGAGAUGACGAUGCUGAUAGGUGGGCCCUUCGUUUAACUUAGCGUUCAACAAGCGGUGUUGACCAUUUAGUGCCAUGUGGUCCUGACCAGUGGGUCUGGUAUGUCAUAAAUUGAAUUAAUUUGUCCCAAAUCAAUCUUCAGUGUUUAUUAAGAAAAUUAGCAAGAAAAUCGGUAGAUUUUUGAGACACCCAAGAAAUGCGGUGGCAAAUCCAAACAAGAACUUGAAAUGUGGUUGUAUUUUGCAAGUGGUCACUUGAUGCCAUAAUACCGAGGUCAGGCUACAGAUACCCCUGUCGUCCAUGGAGCCAUCGUCCAGGGAGGGUCUCCAGCUCAAUCAUGCAUACGCAGAUGUCCCCGCUACCAAUACCAAUGCAGUAGACAAGCAAAUCAUGCGGCCGUCUUAUAUUAUAUUCCAUAUAUAUAUAUACCAAUAUAAAAAGACCAAAGGGGAAGAUCCGACAAAUCCAGGUCGUCAAAUUAUGUCAAUUCAAUGACUCAGGCUGCUAUAACGGUGAGCGCUUAACAUGUUUAGUAUGCAGUUAAUAUCAUACCAAAUAUCAACACCAAUGUUAAUCACAUAAUUAAUACGCAAAUAAUAUCCUACCUAAUAUUUAUGUGUAUCUAUAACAAUAUAAAAAGACCCGAAGCGGCAGAUCUAACAAAUCCCGGUCGUCAAAUCAGGUUAAUCCAACGACUCGGGCUGCUAUAAUGAUGAGCGCUCAACAUGUUUUAGUGUGCAGUUAAUAUCAUAUCAAAUGUCAACACCAAUGCUAAUCACAUAAUUAAUAUGGAAAUAAUAUCCUACCUAAUAUUUACGUGUAAUUAAUAUAUUACCUAAUAUCAGCGUGCAAUGCACGUACACAUUCGGUUUGGAGGAUUUCCGUAGGAAAACAUAGGAACAAAGAUUCCGGAGGAAAAUUUCCUAUAUAUGCAUUCGGUUUGUAGGAAAUGCGUACAGGAAUUUCGUAGGAACGCUACCCAUUUCAUGUGUUUUGGGAGGAAACUACACAUCCACUCAAAGCUCAUUUUGCGCGUAGGAACGAGGCAAGUCAAUUCCUUAGGAUGGCAAUUGCCAUCCUAUCGAAUUUCUAUACUACUCCUAAUUCCUACGUUUUGAUUUCCUCCAAACCUAAUAUUUACGUGUAAUUAAUGUAUUAUCUAAUAUCAACGUGCAUUGCACCUACACAUUUACUAGUUUUUGAAGGGAAACACAUUGGGAAUCUACACUGGUGUUUCCAUGUAGAGUAAAAUCGGGAUGCUAGAAGCAUGUCUUUUGAACGUUCAUAGAUAGAAAUGCGAGCAUGGAAGCACAUGAAUGUAUCCGUUGCCGCAUCAUAACAAAUAAAAAUAAAAAUCCGUGUGACAAAAUCUACCGGCAACCACUGAAAAGGUACUGCAGAGACCCUUUUACGUACUUGACAUAAUCAAAGUACAGUUGCGUGGCUCCCAUAACUAAAUGUCUUACCUCGUGAAUUCAGAAAAGAAAAUACUUAACAAAUGGUUUUUUUGUGGACGCGCAUUGUCUUCACAGGUAGCAAAUUGCAAAAAACCAUCACAUUUUAAGUUCAUGUUUAGAUUUGCCACCACAUUUCUUGGGCGCCCCAAGAAUCAAUUGAUUUCCUUGCUAAUUUUCUCAAUAAACACCGAUGAUUCAUUUGGGGCGAAUUAAUUCAAUUUCUGACAUACCAGGCCCACUGAUCAGGUCCACAUCUAUCUAUGCCUAUACUAAUUACAGACUCUCAAGAAAUUCUUACGUUAAUCAGUAAUUAGGAGCCGUUAAUCUGGUGAGGCCGAGUUAUUACGGUUCAGAUUAACCCGUGUAACUUUUGGCUGAAAAUAGCUUAAUUCGGCCAAAAAAAAUAGAAGGCCCACAGUCCUUUGAUCUCACGGUUGUAGAAAUAGAAUCGGCCCAUAGAGCUUUCAUCUUACGGUUGUACAAAUAGAGUCCAUGUUUUAUUUUACCAAAAACAAUUGCUACAAAGUCCAUCCUCAUGCAAGUUUAUCAAAAAAACAUCCUCAUGCCCGAUGAAAUUGUAUCCAUGCGAUCUGUGAAAAGUAAAAAAUAAUAAUCAACCAGGCCGGGCUAGUGGAUCACCAACACCGUUAGAAAUCAUCACGAGGUCACUAUUACUAAACAACUCAUGUUGGCUUCGUACCCCAACUUGCAUCCGUCUUGGCAAUAGCAACCAAGAGGUAAACCAUCAGCUGCAAUGGAUAAAUAUGCCAGUUGCAUUGAUCUUUCCCACAUGUAUAUACUCACCACAGUUUAACUAAGAGGGGAAUUUCAGUCGUACAUGCUUUAGUCAGGCUCAUCUGAGGGCACCCUGAAAAUCUAGCUAAAAGGAAACCCAGUGCUCACUUGCUACUAAAGAACAUGACUACCAGUGAAGUGAAGUGGGCAAAGACUCAAACUGUGGUGAUCCGGCAGUUUCUGAAAAUUGUUUACCGAGUUUUCUUGCAAAGGAUGGUCUCUGUUUUUGUUCUACUCCUUUCGCUGGACUAGCAGUGUUGCUGUAAGUUGAUCCAUAUAAUGUUGUUCUAUGUGUUUCAUUCUCAAUGAAAAAUGCAUGGAAGCGGGCAUGAUGGUCUUUUGAUCAAAACAAAGUUACCCUCAUGAGUUCAUUAAGUGGCAUUAUUGUAUAGCAAUCCAGUUAAUUCAGUAUAAUUGUAUCCGAAUGCACAUCCAUAAUUGCUGUAGUAGAAUGUAGUUGGUAGUCAGUUUGUGGAAUCUUGCACCACAGCCCAUAUGUAUGUGUUCUAUAUACUCUUCCAAUGAAGAAAUUCCGAUCAUAUAUCCUUCAAAUAGGCACACACACAUCAGUAUAUAUAAACCACACAUUCAGUGAGAUUUAAUUUUGUUUCAUAUGCAUGAGCUUCCACUUCUUUUCUCUUGGUGUGCUAUUCGUUAUCCUUCUUAGCAUAACUAAAGUUUUGUCCCAUUGUGAGGGCAGAUAAAAAUUCAUGCUAUGAUUCUGACUGUUAGUUGCUAUCUAAAGCUCCUUGCAUCAGGAGAACAUUCAGUUUGGUGGGUUAUGUUCUUCAGUUAUAUACAUAUUUCCCCUUCUCCAUUUAAUUUUUUUCAUGGGGCUUCUUGGAGACAACAAUUGGGUUCUCUUGGUGUUUAUAUGAUUGAAUUUUGACCACCUAGCCUCUAAUGCCGCUGCUUCUUGCGGUUGUUCUGGGAAAACGGCCUCUCGCAGUGCAUCAUGCUGCUCCGUGGAACGCGAUGCUAUGCAUCCCAAUGGUCUCUUUUCAUCGCGCCGACUGUGAGCCUCCACAACAUCGAUUUUCAUCCACUACAUAAUUAAUGAGUGCUCUUCUUGAAUCCCCAUGGCAGUUUUUCCAUUUAGGCAGGUAAGCAACAUUGCCUCUUGAAUUUGAAUCUAGCGCCAAAUAUAGGUGUGAUUUUUAUUUUUUGCCUAUUUGUUGCUUCAAAGAGGAGUGUGCAAAGUAGUGACGAUAGGCUAUUUGAUAUCGCAUUAGGAAAACUACAUUCAAACUGAGCUCCUAAGAGUUUUUUUAAUCAUAUAAGUUACACUUAUACUCAGGUAGUUAAUUCUAAUGUUGAUCUGUAAAAGCCUAUAGCACAUGGGCAUCAUCAGUACAUUAUCUAGUUGUUGUUCCAAACAAAAUUGAAACAUACACAUUUUGUUUUCUACGAUUUUCCAGCCAGAUUAAUGCAUGAUUCCCAACCACACAUUUUCCUUGACAUUACUGUGUGACCCCGUGAAUAGUUGAAUGUAUAUAAUGUAAUAGUUAAAAUAUAGUAUAGCAUUUUACAAAAUUAAUGGUCUUAGUUCUUGCUGCCAAUUUACAAAAGGUCUCAUCUUACUAACAUUCUAAUGAUCAACUUCAGUACUACAAUUUUUCAUUGUACUUCCUUUGCCAUAGGUUGUCCAGCCAUUUAAAUGUAUUUUUAUUAUUUGGCAUGUAUGUGAUUCAGAAUUAUAAACCUUCAAAUGUCAUAAAUGAUGUUUGUGUGUAUCUCAGUUGUUUAUUACAUGACAGAUUUUCCAAAAGGUUCUAAUUUUUUCCCACUAUUUUGAAUCCUUUAAAAAGAUCUUGCACUACUGUUGAUGCCUAUCGAUAUCAAUACCAUUUCUUUCUUACAGUGAAAAGAAUGUUAGACAUUGCAAUUAUUUGCAUCUUUGAAGGUACAUCCAUGCUUCUUUUGUAACUAAUUAACUCUUGGGACAUUGAACAUAAUUGGAAAUUUAAGUUGUAUUGAUUGUUCUACUACAUGGGUGGACCAGUAUAGUUAUUCCUUAUUGUUGCAAGAUACUGACGAGCUUCAUCAAAUAGUUUUUAUGUCAGUUCAGACUUAAAAACAAUGUCUGAGUAAUUUCCAGUUAUGGUGAUCGAGUAUUGGUUUCUAAUUUUGGGUUUCCAGAGUUUCAAAAAGUCGGGUACGUAGUACUUGAAUUCACAUGCAUGCACCAACUAUUUUUUGGCUUUUACUCUUAUCAAAGGCAUUUUCUGAAAUAAAUCUUCCACUAUAAUUCAUUUUCAUUGUAGUUUUCCUAUGAAAACUAAAACAAUGUUCAUAUUUUAUGUUUCAUGGAUCUGUAGCUCUAAAUUAUAAACCUAUUGAAUUACCUUACAAGGAAAGUAUGUUGCUAUCACCAUGAUGCGUGACCUACAUUUACAAAUAGACAAUGUCAACACUAUUGUGACAUGUUUUCAUUUUUCCAACAUAUAUUAAUCACCAAGUUACUUCUACUCAACAUCGCUAUCCUUGAAAAAAUAUACAUAUGAAUAGAAGUAUGAAGGUUUACAUGUACCCCUGCAAGAAAUAAUCCUUUGUGUAACAACAACUUAGUUUUCCAAAUCGUAAUUGUGCGGCAGAUUUGGCUCAAAAUUGUUAUAUAUGUACUCAAAUAUUAUUAAUGAUUUGUGACACAACCACUAGCCCAUGCAGGUGCACGGGUUGACGGCUAGUGACACUAAAUAGUCCCCUCCCUGGCCGUCGAGCGAGGCUAGUGAAAGCAGAGUCAGUCAUGAUGUGGCAGACAGCAUGGUGACGGGUGAGCUCACGGCCACUACAAGAAAUAUGUCAACUUAUGACCUUCUGUCAGUGACCCUCGAAGAAUUAGUCAUAAAUUUAUGACCAUUUCAGACCAAUUGGUCAAAAGCUGUUCGGGGGGCUCCAAACCCUAAACCAUUGCGACCAUUUUGGUCAGAAAGGUCGUAAUUUCCUCACACGAAAAGGUCAUAAAGCAAACAUCGCUAGUCCGCUGCCUUAUUUCUAGUUGUUAAUGACCAAUAUAGAUGGUCAUAGCCUUGUAAAUUGUGGUGGGUUGCUAUGACUAGGCGCCACCUCAUCAGUGUUGCCUAUGUGUAAUGUCCAUGUGGCAGUUUUUGCCCUAGGUUGUGAAGCAACCUAUAUUUCUAUCAUUCCCAAAAUUCUUAAAAAAAUCUCAUAAAUUCUUUGGGUCAUAUCUUCGUCAAAUAUGUAAAACCUUCCUUGCCUAGUUCAAAAAUAAUUCAAAAAUAUUCAUUUUCCUAUUCUGUUCAGAACAACAGUUUGUGAAGGAAGUACCACUUUGGCAUGUCCAAAUAGUAUCCAUUUUCUACAGUGCUUUCCUAUGCCCAAAUAAACAUCCUCCACCAAAUGCCAGCUCAAUCUAUUCAUUAUUUUGAGCCGAGCUUCAACAUACGUAUUUAUGUCCAGUGUGGUAGUUUGCAAAGCAAGUACCACCUAGGCUCCUCCUUUUGAGCUGAAAAUUUGUGAAGACGGUCUUCUUAGUAACUGAUCAUCUUCAGCCAAAACUCACGCCCAUUAGCCAUGUACAUUUCCUGUACUGCUAAUCAAACACUUGGCUGCUAAUUCAUGUUUGAGCACCAAUCGGUCUCCUCAUGAGAAUCUUAUGUUGUAAUUUUCUUCUUAGCAUCUACCUGGGGAGUGCCCAACCCACUAGACAUGUCUAGGCCACCCGGAACACAUGGCAACGCCACGGUCACGCGGUGACCACGCGGCGGGCAUGCGAGUUUACGCGCUCUAGAGAUGGGGCCCUCGGCCACCGCCCAAACCUCGACGUAUCGCCACCAAACCAUGUACUUAUGUACCUAGAAAUGAUUUUUGGAAAAAAUAAAUAGCAAACUAUGAGGCAGAUGCAGUUCAAAUUUGACCUGCUUCCAGCUGAAUCGGUGGAAAUUUGUCUUUUUCACGAGAGGUGGAUCAAAACUUUUUACACCCAACCAUUUUGUCAAUUGUGCAUUAAAUAUGUCCUAGUAUUUUACAAAAUUGAUUUGGUCCAAUUUUGCAACAAUUAUUUGAUAGUUCCUUCACAAAAAAACCUCCUUUCGGGCACUCGGAAAAUGAAAAAUGGUUUUUUCGUCCAAAGAAAAUGAAAACUUCCUUAGGCAACAUUGUUUGCCAUUCCAAUAUGCACCCUUGUGCACAAUAUGAGAUCAUUUGAACAAAUUAUGCCACGAAUGUGGCCAUAAAAUUGAUCAUUUGGCUUGAAAGCCAUGAAUCUUCAGAGAUGAUAGCUCAUUUCUGAGAACACUUUUUUAAAAUAAUUACCGUAUUACAAGUUUGUUAUUUUUCUUGGGAACUUGGCCACAUAUAAUGACACAAUGCAAAGGUUUCCCAAUUUUUUGAUUUUUUUGAAUUUUUUAUGCCCGUUUCAAAAUGCGGUCAAAACGGCGGGCUUGACCGUUCCUAGCUAGUGGUUGGAUCUUGGAAAACUUUUGGUGUUUCUCUGAUUAAAUAGAUACUUAUGUACCUAGAAAUGAUUUUUGUAAAAAAUAAAUAGCAAACUAUGAGGCAGCUGCAGUUCAAAUUUGACCCGCUUCCAGCUGAAUCGGUGGAAAUUUGUCUUUUUCACGAGAGGUGGAUCAAAACUUUUUACACCCAACCAUUUUGUCAAUUGUGCAUUAAAUAUGUCCUAGUAUUUUAGAAAAUUGAUUUGGUCCAAUUUUGCAACAAUUAUUUGGUAGUUCCUUCACAAAAAAAACCUCCUUUCGGGCACUCGGAAAAUGAAAAAUGGUUUUUUCGUCCAAAGAAAAUGAAAACUUCCUUAGGCAACAUUGUUUGCCAUUCCAAUAUGCACCCUUGUGCACAAUAUGAGAUCAUUUGAACAAACUAUGCCACGAAUGUGGCCAUAAAAUUGAUCAUUUGGCUUGAAAGCCAUGAAUCUUCAAAGAUGAUAGCUCAUUUCUGAGAACACUUUUUAAAACUAAUUACCGUAUUACAAGUUUGUUAUUUUUCUUGGGAACUUGGCCACAUAUAAUGACACAAUGCGAAGGUUUCCCAAUUUUUUGAUUUUUUUUGAAUUUUUUAUGCCCGUUUCAAAAUGUGGUCAAAACGGCGGGCUUGACCGUUCCUAGCUAGUGGUUGGAUCUUGGAAAACUUUUGGUGUUUCUAUGAUUAAAUAGAUACUUAUGUACCUAGAAAUGAUUUUUGUAAAAAAUAAAUAGCAAACUAUGAGGCAGCUGCAGUUCAAAUUUGACCCGCUUCCACCUGAAUCGGCGGAAAUUUGUCUUUUUCACGAGAGGUGGAUCAAAACUUUUUACACCCAACCAUUUUGUCAAUUGUGCAUUAAAUAUGUCCUAGUAUUUUAGAAAAUUGAUUUGGUCCAAUUUUGCAACAAUUAUUUGGUAGUUCCUUCACAAAAAAACCUCCUUUCGGGCACUCGGAAAAUGAAAAAUGGUUUUUUCGUCCAAAGAAAAUGAAAACUUCCUUAGGCAACAUUGUUUGCCAUUCCAAUAUGCACCCUUGUGCACAAUAUGAGAUCAUUUGAACAAACUAUGCCACGAAUGUGGCCAUAAAAUUGAUCAUUUGGCUUGAAAGCCAUGAAUCUUCAAAGAUGAUAGCUCAUUUCUGAGAACACUUUUUAAAAAUAAUUGCCGUAUUACAAGUUUGUUAUUUUUCUUGGGAACUUGGCCACAUAUAAUGACACAAUGCGAAGGUUUCCCAAUUUUUUUGAUUUUUUUUGAAUUUUUUAUGCCCGUUUCAAAAUGUGGUCAAAACGGCGGGCUUGACCGUUCCUAGCUAGUGGUUGGAUCUUGGAAAACUUUUGGUGUUUCUAUGAUUAAAUAGAUACUUAUGUACCUAGAAAUGAUUUUUUGUAAAAAAUAAAUAGCAAACUAUGAGGCAGCUGCAGUUCAAAUUUGACCCGCUUCCAGCUGAAUCGGCGGAAAUUUGUCUUUUUCACGAGAGGUGGAUCAAAACUUUUUACACCCAACCAUUUUGUCAAUUGUGCAUUAAAUAUAUCCUAGUAUUUUACAAAAUUGAUUUGGUCCAAUUUUGCAACAAUUAUUUGGUAGUUCCUUCACAAAAAAACCUCCUUUCGGGCACUCGGAAAAUGAAAAAUGGUUUUUUCGUCCAAAGAAAAUGAAAACUUCCUUAGGCAACAUUGUUUGCCAUUCCAAUAUGCACCCUUGUGCACAAUAUGAGAUCAUUUGAACAAACUAUGCCACGAAUAUGGCCAUAAGAUUGAUCAUUUGGCUUGAAAGCCAUGAAUCUUCAGAGAUGAUAGCUCAUUUCUGAGAACACUUUUUUAAAAUAAUUGCCGUAUUACAAGUUUGCUAUUUUUCUUGGGAACUUGGCCACAUAUAAUGACACAAUGUGAAGGUUUCCCAAUUUUUUGAUUUUUUUUGAAUUUUUUAUGCCCGUUUCAAAAUGCGGUCAAAACGGCGGGCUUGACCGCUCCUAGCUAGUGGUUGAAUCUUGGAAAACUUUUGGUGUUUCUAUGAUUAAAUAGAUACUUAUGUACCUAGAAAUGAUUUUUGUAAAAAAUAAAUAGCAAACUAUGAGGCAGCUGCAAUUCAAAUUUGACCCGCUUCCAGCUGAAUCGGCGGAAAUUUGUCUUUUUCACGAGAGGUGGAUCAAAACUUUUUACACCCAACCAUUUUGUCAAUUGUGCAUUAAAUAUGUCCUAGUAUUUUAGAAAAUUGAUUUGGUCCAAUUUUGCAACAAUUAUUUGGUAGUUCCUUCACAAAAAAACCUCCUUUCGGGCACUCGGAAAAUGAAAAAUGGUUUUUUCGUCCAAAGAAAAUGAAAACUUUUGACAACCAAUUAUUUUGUCAAUUGAACAUUAAAUAUGGCCUAAUAUAUUAUAAAAAUGAUCUGGUCCCAUUUUGCAAUAAAUAUAUGGUAGGUCAUUUAAAAAAACUCAAUUUACGCACUCGAAAAAUAGAAAAUGAAUUUUUUGACCAAUUUAGAUGGUCAUAACGUCGUACUGUAUUCUGAUUAGUCCGUGGACGCAUCACGCGGAUCAUGCAUCGAACACCGUUGGAUGAUCGUGGAUCCAACGGCAGUCAUCAGCCCUUCCACACCAUCCCCGAAACCCUAGCUCUGCCCUGUUGUAAUUUUACAUCCACCCCCCGCCUCCUUUCUUUCCCUCGCUCUCUUCUCCUCCUCUCCCCUUCCAGAUCCGCCCUCGCCGCCACCUCCUCCUCCCCGUCCCCGGCCCCUCCCGAUCCACAUCCUCCCCGUCCUCUCCCACCCACCACCGACCUCGUCGUCCUCCUCACCGACGCCGACCUCGUCCCUCCCCCCUACCCUAGCGCCGUGCACUCCCCGCCAGCCCCUCUUCAAUCACACCAACCCCAUACACACGGAUCCGGCUCUCCGACCUCGAUUUCACUUCCCAUCCCCCUUCCCCACGCUCCUCUCGAGCUCCAGAUCCCCGGCCGCGACGACCCCUUCCUCAGCUUCCUCCGGGAACCCUAUCCCCUCAGAUCCGCCCGCCGCCACGUCAUGGUCGAGUUCUACGCGCUCUGGUGUGGCCACUGCCGCGCGCUCGCGCCUCACUGCAGGGGAUCGACGUCGCGCUGGCCAAGGUGGACGCCAUCGAGGACCACGACCUGGCGCAGGCGCACAACGUGCAGGGCUACCCCACCCUCCUCUUCUUCAUCGACGGCGUGCCCAGGGACUACUCCGGCGAGAGGACCAAGUGAGGAUCUCUGCAGAUCCCCAAUUCCCUCCCUGCUCCGUCUCCACGGCUGUUAAGAAUGAAUUUUUGCUUUGCUGCAGGGACGUCAUCGUGGCUUGGGUCGGCAAGAAGCUGGGCCCUACUCUGCAGAACCUCACCGCAGUCGACGAGGCCGAGAAGGUCGUCACCGGUGACGACGUGGCCGUGCUCGCCUACCUCCACCACCUCUCGGUACGCUACGGAAUGCGCCUUCUCCAGUGGUAGCAACGUCAACCAACCCACCCAAAUUGCUUCAAUUGCAACCCAUGUUACUCAGUUAGCUGGAUGAGCUUCGUAUGCUAGUAGUGACUGGAUGAGCUUCGUAUGCUAGUAGUUAUUUUGCUGUCUGCUCUCUUGACAUUGUGUGUUGUGUUGGGAAUAAAAUAUCCCACUAAUCGUUGCCAUGUUUUGAUAAACUCUCGGUGAAUCAACUGACAAACACCUGCUUGAGAAAAACUAGACAAAACUACUAGUUCAGUUAACCUUGAUAUAAUUAAGCUGGUGGAAGAAUUGAACUGAGAAUUAAUGUUUGGGUUUCAGUUUUAAGGAAGGUAAUUUUUUUGAAACCAUCCUCUAAUCUUUGCUUGUUUUUACAGUUUGGUGCUACAGUUUAAACCAUCACCUAAUCUGUGCCUUAUCUAGAAAUUUUGGCAUGAAAUUAAAUCUGGCUGCUUGUUUACAUUCAAAGUCCAUAUAUAUGAUGCUGAAAUAAAUGAACACCAUAUAUAGAGAACUAGUACUAAUUUAUGUUCUGAACAUGCAUGGUUUGAAAUGUCUAAAUCAAAGUCAUCUUGUAUUGUUUCUGGUUGAUUUUGUUGUGCUGACUGCUCACAAAAAAUAUAUAUCUUUCAGACUCGAUACAUAAAGGACCGCAAGAGAUUAUAUGGCAGGAUACUGGACAAUAACCGUGUCAAGUCCUCCAUUCAAGCAAAGUCCAAGGAUCGGUCUGAGAUGGAGUAGUUUGUCCUGCCUGUGCAAUGUUCUUUCCAGCAUCUCAGCUGUGUACUCUAAUUACUGGAGUAUUCUGUAGAUUCUUUUCAAUUAAACUACUCCAGAGAUGAGUCUUUUCCAUUAACUAAAUCUAAAUGAAACAUUAGAUGAAACUUGCCAGAGAUUAUUUAAAUAUUGCAGUAACUAUUUGACACACAUAUUGUCAUGCAUCAAUAGUAGCAUUAGUUGAAACUUUUAUAGUAGGACUUGCUGUUAUAGUGGGACUUAUCUCUGUAAUUUCGCCAAACUUCAUGUCACCAUGCGAAUAAUGUUUUUGCUCAAAAUUCUUUUCUGUUUGUGUGGUGCUAAACUGCCAAUAGAAGACGAGAAUUCUUGUUGAACAACGCUACAAUUGCAUUGUUGUAUGUUAUUUAGGGUUGUCCUAGUUGCAUAAGACCUGGAGUAAGAACAGGUCCAGUACUAAUUUUGUGUCUGUGUGCAUGUACAUGUGCACUUGGGCCUUCUAUAUACACAUAAUUCAGAGCAUCUUUUACUGUGCAUUUUGUUUCUUUGCUCAGUACAGAAUGUAUUGCAAGUGUUGUUCAUUAUUUUUUCCUUUUGUCUAAAUAUAUCACAAAAAGUUAUGUAUGGAGUAGUGAUUGUCUAAUGUCCUCUUAGAUUACCAAAUGGAUGAAGCGAAAUCUUGUGUGACCCCGUAGCGUAGCACGGGCAUCCUACUAGUUGGUAUGAUAAGUAUGUGUUAGGUUUGUCCAGUCCAUCAAUGUUGGUAAAUGUGUUGUGGUCUGUGAAUGUGUAUAGAUUCUUUUAAAUUUUGUUGGCUGUUGCAACACUUGGAUUAUUUAUUAAUAUAACCCAGCAGCGAUGCUUCCAUUUUAAGACAUGUACUAGUGUGCUAAAACUACUACUGUACCUGCUUCUUCUUAGCCUGAGUAGUACAUCAGGCUUGUAUUAACUUGUGUUAAUUGUAUUAACUUGUAGCCUAGUCACUGCAGUCAUCUUGUGCUUUUAUCUUCUCUGUGAUGUCAUAUGCCUUUGAGUCUACUUAUUGAAAACCUUAUGCUCAUAUAUCUUUUUAGUCCCUCUAUUUCCAUAAAUGUGACACUGUUUUGUUUCUAAAUACUUGACACAUACAAGUUUGAGGGCAUUAUCCUAAACGCCUGCUAUGAUUGAUCCAUCUCCUCUACUUUGUUACUUGUGCUUAAUUGAGAUGUUACUCAAGGGUAGUGUUUGUGCCGGCAUAUAUAAAUGAUAUGGUCGCUUACUUUAAUAUGUGUGUUGACUCAAAACUGUCAAAAUAUCUAGAAAGAGAGUGAACUCACUUCACAGAUUCUUUCAAUCUUCAAUGGUUAUGGUUUUUGCAUUAUAGAUUCCUAAUCUCGGCUGAUUCUAGAUUCUUCCAAUUGCUAGCUAGCUCCAAAAGCAAAUCGUCUUCAUUUGGAAGAUGCAACAUUCUAUCAGAAUCCAUUCUCCUGCUCUUUUUCUUGUACUGUAUGUCAUCCAUUGUUCAAACCUAUUGGCAAGUUCUUGUAGUGUGUCGUUCUGUUCAGAAGUGCAUUUUUAUUUUAGGAUUUGCUUCAUGUGUGGUACUGGAUGGCUGAGUAUUAAAACAAUUUGGUUACUAUCAAAAGCACUAUAAUUCUCUGGAAUUAAACUUUGACAAGCAUGCAUAUAUGUGUUCGUUUUUUUGGAUUACGUGAUGGCAUUCUACGAUUCUAUUUAACAACUUCCGUAUUAUCUUCUUAUUUCUCUUGUCCUUGUGCAGCAGGAUUUGAUUCGGUACAAUGGGUUCAUCGUGCCAGGCUCCUCUUUUCUGCUGCUUGCAUGCAACGGUGGUGGCGGUGGUGCUGUUUGGCAUUGGCUACAAAAACACCCAAGGUGAGAUCCUUUCCUUCCUCUGCUCCCCACCUCUGUGGUUGGUCUGAGCUUGUCGUGGUCAUGGAGCCAUGACUAUGGUGGUCGCUCUGCGUUCAUGUCCAUUGUGCCAUGUGUAUGCCUUCUACAUCAAGUUAGCAUCCUUCUGCACAAAAUUUUGUAUGUGUUAUUGGUCUGUAGAGAAAAUGCUUUGUGUCACAUGCUCAACACACUUUGAACUAUAUACCUGGUUCAGUUUUAGAGAAUGCUCCUGGUUGUUUAACACACUUACUGAACUAAUCAGCCUAUUGACUAACUACCAUCAGUAUCCACCAAACGGUUGUGGAAAUAACUUUUGCUGGUAAUCCUUUGUUUUAAACAAGUACUAAUGUUUUGGUAGGACAAGAAGUUUCAAAUUCUUAUGCUGGUUUAUGUUCUCUUUUUAGGUUAUGAGAAGAUAUGCUGCUGGAAAGAUGCUCUUAGCAAACUGGAAGGGUUGCAACCAAAUCCAAUUGACAACAUGGUAGUGGUCUCUGAAUAUCUAAGCUAGUGAUCAUCUUUUCAGCGAUUCCUUUUCUGUUUGGCCUUCUCGUAGGUAGUGUACAUUAGUUGUCUGUUGGAGUUGUGAUGGCAGUAUAUCUUCUUUGUUGCUUCGCUGUUGUUUGAUAUAGAUGGCAUUCUUUUAGUUGCUAUUGCUUAUGUAUAGAUAAUCUGAUGAAGAUGUACAUAUGAUAUAUGAUUGUACGGCGAAACAAAUAUUGCUUUGAUAGCAAAAUAAAAAAACUCAUCUAUUUCUUUGUUGUACAGUCCUAUGAAUUAGCGGGCUGAAAAUAUUGAUGGGUUGGAAGAGGCUUUGGCCCAAACAAUGCUGGACAAAGAUGGAACAAAAAAAGUCUCAAAAAUAGAAAAUGGACCACAAAAAGGCUGAGGCCCAGAAAAUGGAAAAGGCUUAGAAAACAAAAAACGCCAUGUUGGGCUAGGCCCAUGUAGCUAGCGAAAAUUAACUGAAAAAAACAUAAAAUGGGCUGAAUUAAUGGGCUCGGCCCAUGUAAAACCCCCAAUUGGACCGGGCUGAUUUUAACCACAUCAGAUUUUGCCACGUCGCAAUUUUGCCACGUCAGAUUGCCACGUCGGAUCCGACAUGGCCUGGGGAGAGAGUUAGCGACCAAAACAGAAGGUCAUAGGAUCAACGACCUUUUGUUAAAGGUCGCUAUAGUCAGUUUACGACUGCCAGCUUUUGACCUUCUGUUUUUGGUCACAAAAAGGUCGUAAAUGGAAAUUUGUGACCUUUUAGUGACCAAUAGUGGUGGUCACAAGUUGACAUAUUUCUUGUAGUGGGCGUCCGUCGAUCCCAUCCCAUGGCUGGCUUCUCCCCUGUACUGUGGCAGCAUUAUCAGUGAUAGAGUUUACCUUGUUGUCUAGGUAUUCAUCAUGUUUAUCUCGUCGCAUUAGUUUCGUUCAUGCAUGUAGUUAAGUUGAAGGCUUGAGGCUGCGGCAGUGAGCGUGCUCGUAGAAGUGUGGAGACGAGUACACAUGCAAGCUAAUAGUGCCUAGCUAGUUAGUUGUGGUUGUUAGCAACAUGCGCGUACAGCUCCGUGGAGUAAGAGUGGCCAAGUCCGGUGGCAGAUCAGCGUGGAGCUAGAAGCGGACGCACUCAGUUUUUUUUUUUUGAGGAUGCGGACGCAAUCAGUUGAGGCGUGCGUCAAGUGUGCCGUUGUGGGCAAGCUCAAGUCUGUUGCAAACUUGGAUUUGACUCAAGUCUGUACAUGCAGAAAUAAUCGGAUCAAGCAGCUGGCUUGGCCGUCGCGUCUGCAUGCAACGUAGUCGGGUUAGUGGGUGCGUGUGUGUUGUAUAGGUCUGGUACUUAAACACAUGUACUUAGUUCUAUUUGUGCGAGAAAGAACAAGAGAAAAGGCAGAAGUGUGUUGCCACAAAACUCUGUGUUCUUGUGUCCAGUGUGUGCUCGUGUGAGUGUGUCCUCUUCAACCUCCAGCUCGUGCUCGUGUGUGUAUUCUUCCUUCUUCCUCCUCGGGCUGCUCCAACAAUCAGUGCAGAUUCUGUGUGGAUCUCCCAGCCGGCAAUACUGUUGCACUGCUGCCAUGGCCGUCGAUCACCGUGUGCUGUUGUCGGCAACGACGGCCCACACGCGUGCGUGCUUUCCAUGGCUCGACUUCUCCAUCGUGUUCACUGAUUGUCUUUACAGUUUUUACCGGGCUGGAUAUCUUCCACCCAUGUUUGCUGUUGCACUAUUGCUGUUGCUUCACUGGAGUGGAGGACCGGGAUCUCGCCAGUUGAUUCGGUUCCGGGUGACUGGUGGCGGUCGACAUGCAUCGAUGGGUACAUGCAUGUCUGCCUUUUCGCCAGCAUGUUUCCAUGUUUCCCAUCACGGUCAUGUGAUGAUGCCAUGAUGGUGCAUCGUUUUCAUGGCCAGCUACUGUCGUGAGAGUCCCAAAAAGUUUUGUUUGUGUGUGAGCCAUAAGGCUAGCCGUAAUAUGAGUAUUAUAGGUAGUAUCAUGCAUGUCAACUAGGUAAAUUUGAUGAGGUGGCAUAUAAUUAAAUAAAAAAAAGAGGGUUGAGUAUCAUAUCAUGAUACCGUAUUAUAUUAAAUGUUGUGCUACUAUAUGUCAUGCAUGCUAAUAAAUAAAGUCAUCUAUGAUACCACGGAUGUAUCACUGAUAAUGCUGCCACAGUACAUCCGUAGUGCAUAGUUGGGGCAGGUCCAAGAUUCACCACCUCAUGCUGCAAAAUAUAGAAUACAUGUGGUUGCCGCAAAACGCCCAACCAGCAUCCAAAAUUAGAUCAGGAGGGCCAAGUGUUGUUAAAGCAUAUUGGGGACGGCCAAAGCAUAAAAUAAUAGAUUUUUAGCAAGAUUUUUUUACUAAUCAUGCACUGUUCAUCAGUAAAUUAGCUGCAAAUUACUAAUGUUAGGGGGGAAGGGUCCCUACUGGUCCCCGCUGUCUCUGCCACUGGCCCGCGCGCGGUCCCCAACCCGCUCGCGCUAGUCGCUACCGAAUCCUGGCCCGCGCGCGGUCCCCAACCCGCUCGCGCUAGUCGCUACCGAAUCCAGCCACUGCCGCCGGAUCCACCACUUCUCAAUCUCAAAAUGAUGUGCCGACUCAGCCUCUCAGAGGUGCUUAUAGAGGUAGGCGUGCAUUCGUGGGUUCAUAUGGUCGAAUGUAAGUGUGUAUGUAUGAGCAUACAUUUUUUUCUUUCAUUUAUUUUCUUCUUUUUGUUAUUAUAGAUUUUUUUAUUUUGACAUAUUGUAAUACAUAUAUUUCUAAAUUUAAUUAACUUCAAUUUUUAUAAUCAUUCAAUGCGCAUUUAAGAACAUUAAUGAAAUGUAAUAUAUUUAUUCACAUACUUUUAAAAACUAUUCACAAAAUUCAAAAUCAUUCACAUGUUUAGAAAAUUGUUCAUGACAUUUGAUAAAAUCGUUUGUGAAAAAUAUAAAAUUGUGUUCAUGUGAUUCAUAAUAACUGUUAUGAAAUGUAAAGGUAAUUUGACAAAUUUUGAAAAAAAUGUUCGUGACACAUAAAAAACCUUCACCGUGUAUUAAAAAAUCGUAUUCAUACAGUUUUCCCAACUAUUUAAUAAAAUAAUCAACAUGUAUUAAAAAUGUUCAACAUGCACUAAAACAAUGUUCAAUAUGUAUAUGUAGAAUGUAACAUAUCUUUAUCUUUAUCUUUACCUACUAAUAAAGCACGCAUUGCUUCCGUCGGGUUCACCGUCGCGGCAUUUUUAUGAAAAAGACAUAUUCAAGGUGGUACUAAUUUUUGCUUCGAUAAUUUUCGGUUUCAUCCGCUCCCACGUCUACAUCGCCCCGUACGUCCUAAAUUGGCUUUGUCCAGCCUGCAAACGAAGCGGCCCAUAUGUUCUUUGGCGAUGCACGCCUUCCAGCCCGCAUCAGGCACCUAGCUCGCUUUCUUCCAUCACAUGCAUUGAGACUCUUUCUUCCAUCAAAUAAUCCCACCUCACUACUUUACAUCUGACCUCACCAGUUCAUAUACGUACGCCCUAGAAAAUCAACAAGCGGCCUCCAAAAUCAAGAAGGAAGCAAAUCAAAAAGGAAAUGAAGGAAUUAAUUACUGUGCAUAUACAUACACACCCUUGAGAAUCAACAAGUGGCCCUUCAAAUUGGGAAGGGAAUGAAUGGAAUGAAGCAGCAUCCGGGAAUUAGGAAGGGAACGAACCCUUGAAAUCCGGAAUGUAAUGAAGCGGCCUCGAAAAUUAAAAAGGGAACGAAGAAAUCACCCCAAAGAACGGGGCCAAACAAAGAACAACUCAGAUUUGACACCCCACCGUGAGCUUGACCUUGAGCGUCGCCGUGCUCCUGGAAACACCGACGGGCUAUCGGCAACGCCCUGCAGAUUCAUAUCGGCUCUCUUCCGUGUACCAAAUCCGGCCGCAACGGAGCGUCAUGGCACCAGAAGAAUUUAAACUGUACAAUAUAGAUUCAGAUUGUGAGGUUAGUGGUCACAGUGCAUGCAUCGUAUUUUUUUUACACAAUACAGAUGCAGGCACUCAUGGAUAUGCAUAUACAUUCACUCAUAUGAAUGUACAUACACCUUAUCCCCAUGAGCACCUCCAAAAGGCUGAGCCGACACAUCGUUUUGAGAUUGAUGAAAUCACCAAAGACGUCUUCGUAGUCGACCGGAACAUCUUCUCCCACUAAAUGCACAUCGUCGAAAGUCCUGUAAUAAAUCCAGAAGGCAAGCUGGGGAUACCAUGGACACAUAUAAUCUUUUGUUGCAACACAUGUGCUGAUUGUGGGCGCUGCAUGAUAGAGUGUGUUUGGCUCUUUAACUAAACGUAAUUGUGAACUACUACAUGAUAGCGCAUUAGAGUAUUUAACCUGGAUUUCGUGGAAGAUGCACUCCAACAUUUUUCUAAAAUAUGUACGACGAGCACACCAUCGUUUUUUCUAAAAUAUAUAGCUUGAGGUUGUAUAUCAUAAAUGCUCCUUACCACCGAAGCUUGACAUAAAAUGCAUGCGAGGGAGUAUAACAUAAGUGUGAAGUAUAAUACAUGCAUUCCCUCCUUUUAGGUUUGUUGGCCUUAUCUCACUAUCUUUUUUGUGUUUUAGUCCUAUUUUCAUUUCUCUUUUUCACCUAUUUAGAUUUUAAGGUGCAUUAAUUUGUUGCAUGCAAAGGUUAAAAGAAAACUUAUAAAUGUAUGUGACCAUUUUUACUCAUUCCAUGGCCAUGAAUGCAUGCAUCACAUUUUAUGGAGAUCUGUAUUUUUAUUGACAUCGGGAUGCACCUCCCUACCUUUGAGGAUAUUGUCUUGCCACGUUGAUGCAAGCAUUAGUGGACGCAUCACACCCGUUGCAACGCAUGGGCAUAUGUGCUAGUAUUUAUAAAAAUCAAAAUAUGUUGAAAAAUGUUCAGUGUUAUCUGAAAAAUGAUUGACAUGCAUUCAAAAAAUGUUAAAUGUGUGUCUGAAAAAUGUUUUAAAAUGUAUUAAAAAACUAGUGUAUUAACAAAUUGUUCAUACACAAAAAAAGCUCACCAUGCAUUAAAAAUGGUAAUGUAAUGUAAAACAAUUGUCCACGUAGUUUUUAGAAAAAAUGAUAUCUAUUACCUAAUAUUAAAGGACGGACGCUUUCAUAGUUCUCCAUACGUCAUCCCCUUUUUAUCCGUUUAUUUACUAGAUUUACGGCUGAGAUUUAAUUAGAUCCGCAUAACUGUAAGUUGACAAAAUUUACACCAUAUAUGCCACCUAUAAGUGAAAAACGAUUAUUAUUAUUUUCAAACGUCGCCCGUUGCCUACGAGGCUACGACUAAUUUCUGAUCGCUACUUCCCGUAAAAAGAAAAACAAGUUCUGAUCGCUACAAGCUAAAAAAAAUUCUGAUCUGUAGCCCGUCCUCUGGUCAGCGCAACCUCCCCCGUCCAUGCGCGCUCCCCCUCCAACACCAACAAGACCACAUCGCCAAUCUAAAAAAACACGACCACAGCUCCUCUCACCCCGACUUCGGCGACGCUCUGAAAAUAGAGGGCGGGUUUGCUACUGCUCUCUUUCUCCUCCUUGCCUCCGUCCUCCUCCCGGCAGAACCUCGCCUCCGGCCUCCUCCCGGUAAAACCAUACCCCGCUGGCGCUCGUCGCCCGACUCGGAUCAGAAAGUCUCUGAUGUGUCCUGCUUGAGCACGCCAUCAAGGGGUGCCGGACACGGACUCCACUUGAACCACCCUCGUUUUGCCACAUAGAAAGACCUUGAACCUCUACAUAAGUAUUCAAUCUGGUAGUCGUUCAAUCUACUUUGCUCGAACGCUCUCCAGGGCUGAUGCAACAGGGCAGCCGUUGUCACUCGAGUCGAGGCUCCAGGCCGGCCGCUGUCACUUGAGUGCAGGGGGUCUUUGGUCUCCACCGUUUGAAUCCAGGCCCGCCAACCCGGCUGCUUCUAGACCGAGCAGGCCAGCACCAAGCCGAUAGGGCAAUAGACCCACGAAGUGGUAAUAUUUUUCAAUAUCCUAAGAUAAUCCCUCCUCUGUAAUUUGUAUCAGUGAUUCAGUGUAUGUUUUAUGUGUCCUGUGAUAACGUAAUAGAGAAUUGGAGAAUAUAAAUUAAAGAAUGGGAUUGCUCGAUGCUCUGCUGGCGUUGCUUCCUGGCGCAUUGAUUUCUUUGUACAAUUGUGACUUUAUGUGCAACUGUUGGUAGCUUGUGUGCUUUUGUACCUGUGUACUAUAUUAUUCAGAUGCCAAAGCUAAAUGCAGUUAUUUACCACAUUAUUGUGUGUUUGUACGCUGGAGGCGUAGGCACAUAUAUUUCUUUAUGAAAUUGUGACUGUGUGCCGCUGUUGUGUGCUUUUGUAGCUGCGUAGCAUAUUAUUCACAUGCCAAGUUAAAUGCAAUUCUAUUGUUAGAUUAACAAGACUACGUUCUACAUGAUCAGAGAAUGAGUAACCUUGAAGUAGCAUGCCUGUUUGCAGCACUUUUUUAAUUAUUUACUGCUAUUGACUUUAUUCAGCCCUGACAAUUUAGAGGAAGAAGUAAUUUCAUUUUUUUCAUGUACCUUCAGGAAGAUUUUAAGGGAGCCCUUUGAUGACUACGAAAUUUAGGAGUGUAGUAUGCAAGUUUAGAGAGGGACAUAUCAAGUUUACUAUGAACAAAAACCUGAAGGUUUUGACAAACAGCACACUUGAGGUUCUUGUUUAAUUGGAGUGAAGUUCCAAACCGCCUUUCCUUGCGCUGUGCUCAGAGCAUAGAAUUUUAUUCUGUUAAUUCAUUGAUCAUCACAGGAUUAAAACUGGCUCUACAGGAAAUUACUAAUUCUCUGUACUGCAUUUCAAAGUUAUAAUAGAAGGAGACAUGAGCUGUGAUAGUGUGGAAAAAUUACACUAUUUGAAGGUCUAUUUUAUGCACAAUCUCCGCCAAGAGACCGAGGUGUCGGCCUGCAAAACAGAGCCCACCUCCGCCAUGGUCUUGAACCUAGCUUGAUUCUCAUCCAUGCCAAGAUGUACCUAUUGCACUACUGUCCUACUCCUUGGACCUUAACCACCGUCUUGUUCAACCAUGGUGAUCAGUGCUGGGCGAAGGACUACGUCAAGGGUGCGGUGGCCAAUCGAGCCGCUAGACGGCGAGGCAAUGCAGAGGGCAUGUUCACCGGUGCCAUGGAUAAGCUAGACAAUUAAAGACCUCCAGGGGUCUCCAGAAAGUACUCCUGGUCUGCGGUCGCCGCCACAGCCAGUCUGCUCGCCACGCGGCGCUACAUAGCGCUCCUGUUGUUGUUCCUGGAAUUUCGGCACUCGGCCAUGGCCACGAUGGCCUCGGUUGCUGCCCACCGCGUGGCCUUGACCAACUGGCACAAAGGUAGCCCCGGCGACACCUACCGCGCGACAUACAGGUCCUCCUAGCUAGCGGCGACGGCAUCGCGAAAUUCAAUUUUCAAAAAUUCAGACAAUUUUAGACCAUAACAGGUCUAUAGAUUUGGUCCAGCCGCCCGACCCCACGCAGCUUAAUUUCAUAGAACCGAGACGUCUCUGUCGAUAUAAACUAAUAGGAGGACAGUACCGACACAACGAACCUGAAUUCCGAGCUAACACCUCUCAAAGACCCUCCCAUCCAUUGAAUCGUCAAGUUCUCCAUGAAUUCAUGUCAUUUUUGUUCCCUGUCACACACGGCGAGCAUCUCGCCAAUUCAUCGGCAUGUCAUAUUUGGCAUCAAUUUUUCAAUCACGUACUAAUUGUUGUCAAAACUUAGCUUGGUAUUGUGUCCGGUGCUCCUAAUCUCGCUUGAAUCACUGUCAAAAGUAGGAGAGCAAUCAGUUUGCCAAAACAUCAAUGAUCUCUUUGUCUAAAUAACUGGAUCAUGUCUUAACUUGGAUUCGGAAGCAUGCAUGGUUAAAAAACAAAAUCUGCAUCAUGCACUUGAUUUCGUGGAAAUUAUUACUGGCCGCCUAAAUUUGAAGUUCAUAUUUAAAAUUUGGCAUCAACUCAUUGGACGUCAUGGAGGCCGUGCUGCAACCAAGAAAAGGUCUGCAAUGCAUGUGUAUUAAAGUCAUCUUUGGAAGGACAAAAUUUCGAAGUAAAUUACCGUAGCAUGAAGCGUUGCGAUGUCAUUAAGCUUAGCAAAUGUUAUUCAAUUGACCUGAUAUAACUAGGGUAAUGUUCUUUCCGCAUUCUUUAAAGAAAUAAAACCGCUUUGGUGUGGUACGUGCAAAUCUGUUUAUUAUGUUUUCUUCUGUAUCAAAGAAAAGAAAAUUGAGUUGCACUUUAAGCUUUGUAUAGGUCAGACGUGCAAGCAGGGUUAGAAGAAAUUUCGUAAUCACUAACGGGCAUUUAGCGACUUACUAAUUAAACAUCAAUUUCUUAUUUGUCUACAUAUAUGUACGAUACUCAUGAUUUAGUCUCUCAAGUCUCAAUAAUAUAUCAACUGAUGAACAUAAUGGCUCCUUACAUAUUUAAAUUAACUGUGAAGGUAAUUUGCAUGUUUAAAUUAACCAAUUCUUUACAAUGACAAUGAGCAUGUCCUUUAUGAGCAGUGCUAUGUGAAUAUAGCUCUUUUCUUGUUUAACACUGUCGAUAAAAUACAUUACAUGACUUAUGCUGCCAGGAAAGCCUCAGUGAUAGAGGAAGAGAGGGAAAAUAUCUCAGUGAUAGCGGAAGAGAGAGAGAGAGAGAGAGAAUAUCUCAGUGAUGCAGCAAAAUAUGGUCUUGAGCCUAUGGGCUAGGAAAGUGUGGCAUUUUUUUUCUCCCGGUGCAACGCACGGGCAUGUUUGCUAGUCUAAAUAAACUUUACUGCCCUUGAAUAUCAUUGGUUCUGAUAACCAAACCGUGUCAUCAAAGAUACCAUCUUAGUGUGUAGAAACAAUCGGCUUUUUGACAAACAAAACUACAGAAUUGCUAUUUUUUGCGGCAAACAGAAUAUUUUUAUCUCGCCUGAUUUGUAAAUUAAGCUGCAUGGACAUACUGGAAAACAAUUUAUUUUUGCAGAAUUGCAGAAAGUUCUAUGAAAUCACGGGUGUCUUGGUCAUAGUGUUCAACAUGGGUUACUGCAUAUUUUGGUUCUCAGUCCACAUAACCAUGUCCACGUGCAACAAAUUUUGAUUUAAUCAAAUAAUUGUAUGACAUACUUUUUGUAAGAUUUUUGCUCCCUCCAUCUGUGGAUGGCAAGCUAUGCCCACUGCAAGUCAAAUUGUUGUAUUUCGGAAUCCCUGCCAUCUGUAUCUAAUCACAUAUUUAUGAUACUUGCACAUUUUUUGCUAGUUAGUAGAACUACAAUUUGGUCGCUCUAGUUUAAUGAUGGACUAAAAGUCACAGAUACCAUUGGUCAUUCUCUGCAGGUCCUGUUAAGUUAAUCCAUUGCUGUCUUUCUGAGUCUUCAUUUAAGUUUAUUGUCCUUGAAUAUGCUUGGUUCAGAUAACCAGACUGUGUAACCAAAGAAGCUGUGUAGUCCGCACCUAGUGUUUUUUGCUCACAAACAUUGGCCUUCGUGAUAAACUGAAGCACAGAAGUACCUGUUUUGCAUCAGUGAAAUAAUAAGGUGCAUGGACAAGCUGGAAAACAAUUUGUUUUUGCAGAAUUGUAAGGGAAAAUUUAUGAAACCAUGGUGUCGUGGGGACGGUGACUACUUUUUUUUCUUAUCCAAAAUGACAAUUCAUUGGUAGUGUUCAACGUUGGUGCAGCUUGGUCACUUGUUAAUGUUAUUUUGCGUUGAGCACUGGGUGCUUGCUUUUGAAGACAUAAUGGGUGAAGGGAUAGUCAACAAUAUCUUGUUGAUGAUCUUUCAAACUGGGUCUAUGACCUGCUUUAUAGGCUAGCAUUUCCUCCAUGUGGUUCUUGUCAAGUGUCG